AACUGAAGAUUAAAACCUAGUAUUAGAAAGGAAAACUAAAUUAACACCAAUUUGCCCAAAAUUAAACCAUGUAUUAUACUAAAUUAAUUCACAAGAGAGUUCCACAUCACUCAAAUAUUAUCUCGCACUCAAAUUCACAAAACUCACUUUCCAGGUACAAAGUUUGUAGCAUAUGACCAUGCAUUGUUUGCAACCGGGUCCGCAAGAUGGUCAGCGAGGUUCUCCAAUGGUCCCUUUCCGGUAACAAUGGCUUGAACAAAGAAUCCAAACAUAGAGAACAUGGCUAGUCUGCCGUUCUUGAGCUCCUUCACUUUCAGCUCAGCAAAUGCCUCUGGGUCAUCAGCCAGACCCAAUGGGUCGAAGCUACCACCAGGGUAAAGUGGGUCAACUACCUCACCAAGAGGUCCACCAGCAAUUCUGUAACCUUCAACUGCACCCAUCAAGAUCACUUGGGUAGCCCAGAUGGCUAAAAUGCUUUGUGCAUGGAUCAAACUUGGGUUCCCCAAGUAGUCAAGACCACCCUCACUAAAGAUCUGGGAUCCAGCCUUGAACCAGACAGCCUCACCAAACUUGACACCAUUACGCGCCAAGAGUUCGGGGAAGACGCACCCAAGAGCUCCGAGCAUGGCCCAUCUGCUGUGGAUGACCUCAAGCUCACGGUUCUUGGCGAAUGUUUCAGGAUCAGCAGAGAGCCCAGCAGUGUCCCAACCGUAGUCACCGGGGAACUCACCGGUCAGGUAAGAUGGGGCUUCGCCGGAGAAUGGGCCAAGGUACUUAACACGGUCGGGGCCGUACCAUGGACUUCCUGAUGGUGCGACUUUCUUGACUGCUGUCUUCCUCAUGGAAACCCUUCCAUUUCCGGUAAUUUCAGAACCAGAUGGUGCUACUUUCACCGCCUGUCCGACGAAAGAAGAGGAUAGUGCCAUGGUGGAAGCUGCCAUUUUUGUGAGAUUUGUUUUGAAGAUGUUUUGAUGAUAUGAUAGUAUUAUGAGUGAUGAAGAUGUGUGGAUCUGGAACGUAGAUUUAUAGGGUGGUUUUUGGGCCAGGUAGUUGAUCAAUGCUUAUCUUGAUACACUCUUUAACUUCAUUUUGAUUGGCUACCAAGAUUUUAGUUCUAUCAGAGGGUAUAUAAUUUGUGUGGUUCAAGUUCUCUGGUCCACGGGAGAUAUUUGAAGGGGCAGCGAUAUUCAUGGCUCUGGCUUAUUGAGCGAAUAUAAUGGCUCGCAUUCUCAGCCACUAGCUAGUCUUGGUGGGGUUUUAGCCAGUCUUUGUGCGGUUUUUCAUGUUUAACCAUUACCAUAGUAUCGACUAAGUUUAGUCCAAACAUGCAUUGAAGUUCAGUAGAUUUGUAUUAUCAUUUUGUUUUUUAUACAAAUUUAUCAUUUUCGUACAUAAUAUAAACUCUAGGAAAAUUAAAUAGAAUAUAUUUUGAGAUAUUGACAACAUUGACCAAAUAAUAAAAAAACGUAACACACCAUUCUAAAAAAUAACAUAUAACCAUGAUGUCCGAAAAAAAUAUAACAUAUAACCAUGAUUUUCGAAAAACAAAAUUCUUGAAGAUGUACAAUUUUCGAAGGUACUAUUUGGUGACUAAUUUUAAAAGAAGCCAUUUUCAAAAUGUAAUAUUCUCGAAGUGAUUAUUUCAGCUACUUAAGGUGAUGUUGAUUUCAAAUCUCUAACAUGACAAAAAGCUUCCCCAACAAAUCUGAAGCAUGGACAUUUCAACCUAAAGAUGGGUGAGGGAAGUUCUUUUAUUGAUCAUCUUUUGUUUUCUAACAGCUUGUAGAACAUCUAGAAAUAUUGGAUGCCACAUAUGAAAAAGAAGACUUGCCGUUGUUCCUAUUGUCAUCUUUAACAAAUUCAUAUGAUGACUUUUGUGAUAAUAUUAUCUAUAGCUGAGACACCAUUGUCUUGGAUGAGAUCAUGACCACUUUAGACUUGAACGAAAGGAUGAAACUUAUCAUUAGUGAUAGUAAUGGUGAUAUAAAGGACGAAGGUCUCCAAGUAAGAGGAAGAUAUAUGUAGGGAAGUAACGAUUCCAAAUCCCUUAACAAGUCAAGAUCCAAGUCCAAAGAGAAACGUAUAUAGUGCAAAUAUUGUGUGUCUGUUGAAGCUGAUGUGGCCGAGAUCGUCUUUGAUGGCGAGCUUCUAGAAUUAUUUCUGACGAUGGUUAUUUGAUUACCACGAACGGUGGGUUCUUGAAUUUGUGCGUGCUUUUCACAUGAGUCCAAACAAAUACUAUUGUCACACCACAUUGAAAAGGAUAGUUGAUGCCAAGUUUUAAUAGGCAACGUCGACACUUCCUCCCUUAUUUUAGGACAAGCCACAAUUAGAUUUUGAAUGUUCGAUGGUGUAGUAAGUGUUGGGUUUCUAUAACAUCAAGUACACACAAACAAGGUAGUGGAAACAAUGAAAUGAUAUACCUAAGUGCAUAUGCUCUUUAGAUCUAGGUUUUACUAGUUUUAGCAAAAUACUUAAAAAUCAACAUAAAAUAAAGAUAAAACACUUACUUUUUGUUCAUUUGUAACGUCAUAAUAAAUACUCUCUCCGUCCCAAAAUUAUUGUUCACAGACAAAAAAAAAACACACAGAUUAAGAAAACAUUAAUUACUACUAACUUUAUUCAAUAAAAUGACAGUUAUGUCCUUAUUUUGCAUUUAAUGUUCGAUUAAAUGCUUAGUUGGUUAAGUAAUAAUAAUAAAGUGUAUUUUGGUAAAAAAGUUAUUUAUUUUUAUAAGUGGACUAUAAUUUUAGGACAAACCAAAAAGGAAAGAUGGACUAUAAUUUUGGGACGGAGAGAGUAAUAAUUACUAAAAUAAAAUCCUAAAAUAGGAUAAUCUAUAGCCGUGCGCGCUGCGGACUAUAUAAUACAAGUUUCUUAUUAAGGAAAAAUAGGAAAAAUCACCCGAGUCGUCCGUAAGUCAUAAAAAUAAGUGUGCCAAAAUGUAUAUAUUAUUAUAUAUUCAAAAAGUACAUGUCGUCCUGAUCCCGAAAAUAUAAAUUUCGUAGAAAUCUUAGUUCAUAUGAAGACGAUAUGAAUUUUAUAAGACAUAAAAAUCAACAGCCUAACUAAAAAUUAUUAACGUCAAAAUGUACAAAGAGAAUGGUUGACCUUUGGGUAAAGUCACCAAAAUGAAAAUCAUAAUGCUCUUUAAUGUAAGAAUUUUGGUAAAAGAAACACAAAAACUCGGAGUCCGUAUGGGAAAGUUAUGAUUUUUGCAAAAUCAUUAAAUCAUAUAAAAAUAAGGGCUAAAAACAAAUUCAGAAUUAGCCGAUGGAGCCUAAAGGAAAGUUGUAGUAUUGUCGAGAGCUACAUGUGGAAAAAAAGAACGUCAAAAGCAGAGUCCGUAUGAAGAAGGUGAAAAUGCGACCCAAUGAGAGCUUGACACGUGACACAAUGUGGCUAGGGAGAAGUCACCUUAAAAUGCACGACGUACACCCCCAUUGCACACUGUGCACCCAAAAUCGGCUAUAAAUAGGAGGUCAAGCCUCAUUCACUCCUCAACACCGCUUCUAUCAUUCUCUUUCGAUUUCCUUUGGUUCUGGCCCAUUUUAUCUUAGUUUUAGCAUUCGGCGAAGCCCUGCGAUCCCUAAAGUAGUAGUAGUUAGCGAGUAGAAGCUUUGCCAAUGCAAUUUCCUAACUUUGUUAGGAAGAACCUUUGUAAGUUAAGCUAUACUCUAGUCUUUUCAAUGUAAGUUAUAUUUAUAGUCAUAAGUCAUUAUUAUGAACCUAUAAAUAAGAUUUAUCAAUAAUUCUAUGUCGUUAUACUGAUUGAUCUACUUACGGGAGAUGUGCCUAGAAUGGUCACGUUGGCUUGGUUGUUGGAUUUCAAAAAAGAUAAUGAUUCUGCCUCCCAACUGUCCUGCUUGGAUGAUCCUUAAUUGAUAGAUCUUGAUUUAGACAUCAAAAUUAAUGAGGAAUCUAGUCAUCAGGACCAUUAGACUAGAACUUUAUAUAAAUUAUACUUAGGUAUCGGAAAUAUCUGAGGUGUUAGGCAAAGCUCUGCCCAGAUCACCAGCCACCCACCUAAGUCAAGUGAGUACAUAGUCCCCUUCAUGAACACGAUUUAAUACAAGUAUUAAUUGAAAUAUUAAAAAUCUGCUGGAAGUCGUAUGUGAAUUAUAUACUUAUUGCCUGGAUUGUAUGUUAGGAUAUAUGGUGCUAUGUGCGAACUAGAUAUGGUUCUAUUUUAUGUUAAGAUAAAUAGAUAAUAUUACAUAAUAAUAUUCAAAGCAAAAUUGUUGAGAAGAUAAAUGAUUAAUAACACCUAAUACUCUUAUGGAAUAUAUAUAUAUAUAUAUACUAAGAUAGGUUAGUGUCGCCCAAGAAUAGAGUUGGUAUUAAAAAUUUAGUUUCAGGCACGGUAUUCUAUUCUAGGAAUAAACUUAGACUUAUGGAAGAUACCUAGUUCAAUUAAGUUGAUAUUAGAUAGUCUCAUUAGGAGAAUGUGCGUAACCUAGGAAUGGAGAGUAAAGUUUUGUUCCAUGACACUAUUAGGUGUCGAUUUGUUAUAGCUUCGUACUAGAUGACCAGAAAUGGUGGGUCCUGAUCAGGCAACUGUUAGCAGUAUGUCUAGUCACGCCACAUAGUAUUUUUGGAUUAGAUGUCCAAACCCAUAACUAUAAUUGGUAUAUACUUGACCCGAGAGUAGCAUGGUCCAUUUCAGGUUGCCUUCAUCAAAGCAAUUUGACAAGAUAGAUAUUUGAGAAAGAGGUUAUUUGUGAUUUACUAAUAUUAUAAGAAUAAUAUAUUAAUUAAGAAAUCAUAUUAUUUAAGUAGUAUUGUUCAAAAAUUAAUUUGGAAUUAAUUUAGUAAUCAAAAGAGACUAAUUAAAUUUGCAGGGACUGAUUAGGUAAAUCAGUGAUAUUUAUAGUUUGGGGCCUUUGGGCUAAUGAUCAAUGUUGAUUAGGAUUGGACUAAUUCUUUGUGAGAGUCCAUGAAGAGUUAGUCCAAAACGCUAAUGAGUUAUUGGAUUAAAAGCCCAAGUGAGUUAGGGUUUACAAGUUGAAUCCCUAGGAAUUCAUAACAUUAUUGAAGCAACAUACUAUUGAAUAAAAAAACUUCUAAACCCUAAUGGAAAUCACAAUUUUCAGAAGAAUUACAUACCUCUAAUUUGUUAUUGUAAGCAAACCUUUGAAUCCAACAAGAUCAAUCCAAAAGUCUCUUUGAAAACAAACUUCAAUUGUGAGCGAGCCUCUAAUGGUUCGCACUCACAAGACAAGAACCCUAGAAAGAUUAGGAGAGAGGUUCAAAUUUUUGGAUCUACUAUCUCAAUAGAAGUGGCCAAAAAUUUCAAGGUACAAGACCCUAUUUAUAGCUUAUUAGGAAACAUCUAGAAACCCUAAUUUGAACAUAAAAUAAAAUUAUCUCAAAUAAGUCAAUUAUUUAGUUUCUUGAUUAUCUGCAUGGAGGCUUCCUGAAACCUUAGUGGGUCUAAAAAAAAGGUCCACUGGAGGAAGGUUCUGGAAUCUCUCCUCUGCUCAACUCUUAAAACAAGUUUCGCUUUAGUCCUUCAACCUUUAAUUAAUUUUAAUUAACCAUAAAUUAAUUCCAAACCAAUUCUAAAUUAAUCAUAACUAUUUAUAAUUAAUAUAUUAAUCAUAUAAUAUAUUAAUAAAUCAUUUCUCUCUCUUCUAAAAUCAAUCUAAGCAAUUUCUUGGUUAUGAGGGCAACCCAAAAAGGACUUUGCUUUUAUUUAUCAACAUUAUAUCAAUUUAGUUUGGAUCUUAGACACCUUAAUCCAACAUAAGGUUCGUAAUACAUAUACAUGUUGUGUAUGUCCAUUAGCAAAACAAAAAUGAUUACCAUUUGUUUCUGCAAACAAUGUAUCUCAUACACCUUUUCAAUUGAUUCAUUGUGACAUUUGGGGUCCUUAUCAAAUCAAUUCACAUCGGGGUUAUAGGUUUAUCAUUACUAUUGUGGAUGAUUACACUAGAUUCACUAGGAACUAUUUGAUAAGACACAAAUCUGAGGCACAAUUUGUUAUUCCCCAUUUUUUUUUUUUAAAAAUGGUGCUCAAAUAAUAUCAUACUCAUAUAAAUAUUUUCAGAUCGGAUAAUGCAAAAGAACUUCAACUCAACGUGUUUUUUAAACUAAAUGGAGUAUUACAUCAGUUCUCGUGUGUUGAUAGACCACAACAAAACUUUGUUGUUGAGAGAAAACUUCAACAUCUCUUAAAUGUGGCAAUGACAUUGUUCUAUCAAGCUCACAUUCCUUUUAUAUGUUGGCUUGAAUGUGUUUCAACAAGUGCCUACAUGAUAAAUAGAACUCCCUCAAAAGUUCUUGGAAAUAUUUCUGCUUAUAAAAAUCUCUAUAAAGAAUAGCCUCAUUACUCAUAGCUUUGAAAUUUUGGUUGUUUACCUUUUGCAUCCACACUUCAUUCUCAAAGACAUAAGUUUGAUCAUUGAGCAAGAGCAUGUGUUUUCAUUAGAUAACCACAAGGAAUGAAAGCAUAUAGAUUUCUUGAUAUAGAAACAAAUCAAAGUUUUGUUUCUAGAGAUGUCAUAUUUCAUGAGGGGAUAUUUCCUUUUAAAUAAUGCUCGCCAUCUUCUCAUACAAAUCCAUUUAUCUUUCAUGUUUUGCCUAUACUUUUACCUAGAAUCACUCAUUCUUUUACUCCUUCAGAAAAUCUCAAUCAAUUUGAUUCCCAAAUUGAUACCUUACAAAUGAAAUUCCAAAUUCACAACCAAUAUUUCUAGACCACGAAGACAAAGAGCUCCUCCUUCAUAUCUUCAGGAUUUUCAGUAAUUUGAUAAAUCCAAUUCCAGAAGAAACAUCUAUCAAAUACCCAUUAUUUGUUGUAUUAUCUUAUUUACAUCUUUCUCCUUCUUACCAAGCAUAUACUUAUGCCUUAUCUACUCAAACUAAACCCACUUCUUUUAAAGAAGCCAUUCAACAACCUAAAUGAAAGCAAGCAAUUGAUGAAGAACGUCAUGCUUUAGAGUUAAAUAAUAGUUGAACCAUUGUAACCCUAUCUCUUGAUAGAAAACCUUUGGGCUGAAAACGGGAUUUUAAACUUAAAAAGAAGGUUGAUGGAUCCAUUGAAAUCCAUAAGGAUAUAAUGGUAGCAAUGGGCUAUAGUCAAUAAGGAGUGGAUUUUUUUGGAUACUUUCUCACUUGUGUAAAAUUUAGUCAUAGUCAAACAUUUGCUGCUAACAAAGCUUGGCCACUAAUCCAAUUAGAUGUUAAUAAGCUUUCCCAAAUGGGGAUUUAAAUGAAGAGGUUUAUAUGCACUUACCACAAGGAUAUACUCCAUCUUUGUUUCUAAUUCCAGUGGAAAAUUAGUCUGCAAUUUUGAAAAAUAUUUAUAUGGUUUACAACAAGCUUCAAGGCAAUGGUAUGAUAAAUUUUCAAAAUUUUCUUAUUUCUAAAUAUUUCAAGCAAUAUCAAUAAAAAAAUUCCUUAUUUUUCAAAGGAAAAGAUGAUAAUUUUAUGGCCUUAUUAGUAUAUGUAGACGAUAUUGUCCUUACGGCUUAUUCUCUCACAACCAUUAAUAACAUCAAACAACGUUCAAGUGAUGCCUUUUAUCUCAAAGAUUUGGGUAAACUCAAACAUUUUUUGGGUUUGGAAAUUGGAAGAUCCCCAAAUGGAAUUGUCAUUUCUCAAAGGAAAUGUGUUAGAUCUAUUUGAAGAUGUUAGCAUGUUGGUAUCCAAACCAACCUCUCAAUUAAUGGAUCCUUGUCAUAAAAAAUUAAUUUUUUAUGGAUAACCUGUAUAAGAUCCAUCUCAUUAUCGCCAUUUAGUUGGUCGUCUUCUUUAUCUCACAAUCACACCUCCCGAAAUAGCUUAUGUAGUACACAGAUUAAGCCAAUAUAUUUCUGAUCUAAAAAUACCACAUCUUCAGGUAGCUCAUCAUGUGUUAUGAUUUUUAAAGGAUAACCCUAGACAAGGUUUGUUUAUUUCAUCCAAACCAUCUUUGCAAGUCAAAGCAUUCAAUGAUUCUGAUUGGGUUGGAUGUAUUAACACUAGAAGAUCUUUUACAGGUUUUUGUGUUUUUCUUGGAGAUUUCUUAAUCUUGUGGAAAUCCAAGAAAAAAACCACUUUUCCAAGAAGAUCAAUAGAAGUAGAGUACAGGGCACUGGAUCUGUCAUAAAUGAUGUGAUCUGGUUAAGAUAACUUAUGCGUGAUUUUUUUUAUUAAUUUGGAUCCACCAACAUUUGUUUUUUGUGAUAAUAAUUUUGCAAUGCAAUUAGCUGUCAAUCCUAUAUUUCACUAGAGGACUAAGCAUAUCUAAAUCGAUUUCCAUUUCAUAAGGGAAAUGAUUGUGGAUCACACCAUCAAACUCAUGCCCAUUCAUACUUCAAAUUAACUAGCGGAUAUAUUUACAAAACCCCUUGCUUAUUCUAGAAUUGCUUUGAUUUUAUCCAAGAUGGCACUUAAAAGUAUUUUUUAGUGUACAUCUUGAGGGAGGUAUUAGAGCAUAUUGACCGCUUAGUUGAUUAAAUAUCUAUUACGAUGCCGUUUUAUAUUUGUCAUUAGAAAUAAAGGUAGUGAAACUAUGUCAUUUACUUGUGUAAAUAAGUUGUUAAGUUAGUUAGGUGCAUGUUAGCUAAUGUUGUGCAAGAUAAUAGUUAUAUAUAAUCUCAUUUUAUAUUUAUUGAUGAAUAAGAGAAGAUUAUAUUCCCUUUUCAAUUCUUUUUCUUCUUGAUUGUAAAUCUUUCCUCUACCCAUACCUUUCAUAACCCCCUAAAACUAUUUAAUCAAAUCGGUCACUGAAUUCUUGUUUCCAAUUUUGAUUCGAACGACGGUACCUCAAGCCAUUGUUUCAGAUCUUGAGGUAAAUACAAUUGCUCUAUUUCCCUUAAUUAUAAAUUGCAUUCAUGAUUUAUUGUUGAUUGAUGGUGCUAAAUGUUCAGAUGUAAAUCAUACACAUUGUGAACUUAUAGAAACAAUAUGUUGUUCCUAAAAUUGGUAAAAUCCAAAAUCCAAGAUGAUGCAAAUAUCGAUGCUCUACUAAAACUCAUAUAUGUCAAUGGCGCUACAUGAUGGAAAAAGAGCCACUUUUAGUUUGUUGUCAAAAGGCAAAGUGAAGUUAAGACAGUCUUCUCUCAAAUACGACCUCUAGCCUUAGGCUUCAAGUUGUUUCUCGUGUGAGUUUGGGUCUUUCAAAAUUCAACAAAUUUGCUACAAUGGAUACAAAUGUUCUUUAUGGAUACAUCACUAGACUGUAAAAUGAGAUUGAUAACAUUCACGAUGUUGUUAGAUUGCUUACAUUCAUGAUGUUGUUACAUUGGUAAAAGUCCGAGAUGACAUCAUGGUGGACGUUGGUAGAACGAGACAUGACAUUGUGUUCCUGCUCAGUACUACGCUUCCACCAUACUUAGUGUCACUUAUAUGUAGAAAGGUGUUAUCUAUAUCAAUUUUAUAUAUUAUGUAUAGUGUAGGGAGACAAUUUUAACAAUGUAUUGUAUAAAUAUAUUCUGCAAUAUACGCCUCCAAAUGAUGAGGUUUUUCCCACUUUAAUAUGGUAUCAAGCUACGGUUUCUACCCUCUUUAAUCAUACGUAUGGAUCAAACCUUUUACCGCCUCACAUUUUUUUUUCUGGCCAUUAAUCACGUUGUCGCUGCUCUUAUAUGCCACUAUAAUUGUCGACUGCUUCUCAAUUUUUCUCGACGUGCUCUCCUCCGUGCAUUAGGGUCUUCCUAAAAUAUGGUUGUGGUUGAUUCUUUUAUGUUUCCAACAAUAUUUUACAAUCUCCUGCUGUGAUCACAUAAUUUUGCCCUCAUCAUUAUUGUGUGCGUUUCUUGCUCCUUAAGGUAUUGCCUCCAUGACCACUCCUGGUUCAUCCUCUACCACCACUCCCAUGAAGUUAAGUCUCGUUUGUACUCUCACCAACGUUUACAAUCAUUUUAGUUUCAAAUUAAAUGUUGAUGAGCCAAACUGUAAACUAUGGAAUCAGAUUUUUUCAAACAUGUGUCGAGGCACAUUGUCCUAUGGUAAUAUUUCAUAGAAAUCGGUUCCAACCAGAGAUGAUGAGGAAUGAUAUUCGGUUGAUGCAAGGCAUCAAUUCUUAUUUUUAUAGUAUUGUGAUCCCGAGUUUCUUCAAUUCAUCUUGAGCGAUGAUUACACCACCACAAAUCUUUCGAAAAAAUUAGAUGAAUUUUUCGGAACAACAAAAUAUCUCGAAUGUUGCAAUUACAGGAUUAAUUUCGCAAUACGAAGAAGGGUUCAAGCUCCAUUACCGAAUUUUAUCACAUUCUCAAGAACCGUGCCAAUGAUCUCAAAGAUGUUGGUUCCACCAUCAUCGAAAUUGAGCUAGUAAUGCCAAUCUUGAGACAAUUACCAUCUCAUACCAUAGUAUUACGGAUGUCAUCACCAACAUCAAGCCUUUUCACUCUUUCCUUGAGGCCAAGAAUAUGCUUUUACUUCAUGAGUCUCGAGAAACGGCUUAAGAUUCCUUCACAAAUUCAUCCAUGUCUCAUAGUGUGGCUCUAUUUUCCUCAUCCAACAAUUUGGGAAAUCCAAAUACCGAUGGUCGAAAAACUGGAACAAUUCCCGAAAAAUUGAAAAACAAUGCACAUGGAAAUCAUUUUGAUUCGCAACCGCAAUUUAUUAGAAUUCUUGGAAAUGCUCUGUUGCCACCUCCGCGUGCUGCCUCUGGUUACGUUGCUGCUAUCCCAGCUGCUUCGCACUUAAUCCUACUGUCUUACAGCUCCUAUCUGUAGGUUCCAUUCUCGCCGAAUCAGCAGCCCACGUGACAACUGUCAGUGCCUCCGCAACCCUCUUCUCAACAUUUCACUUUUCAUCAGCAUCUGACUCAUGUUGUUGGGUCUUCAUCAUCAGCUACACCCCUCAGACUUGUUUCUCAACAACCAAGUCAGGUGCCUCACGGUCACUUUUCUCAACAUCAAUUUUUUGGUGGAUCUACUUUUGGUUGUCACGUUCAGACUACUCCUUAACAAUUCAUCGAUAUCGCCUCUGCCUUUCAAUCCAUGUCUCUUCAGCCGCCUCUCGACAACAACGUUUACGUGGACUCCGGUGCUAGCUAUCACAUGUCCUUCAAAUCAGUUAACAUGCCUUGCCUAUCACUACGUAAUUCUAGAUCUCUAAUAGUUGCUAAAGGUGCUAUACUUCAUAUUACUCAGACUGGUCAAAUUUUUUUUCCACAUUCACACAACUGUUUAGCUCUAAAUAGCAUACUUGUCUCAAAUAAAAUUGUUAAAAAUCUCAUUAAUGUAUGUCAGUUCACUGUUGAUAACUUUGUCUCUGUAACUUUUGACCCUUUUGGUUUCACUGUGAAGGAUUUUAAAACAUGUGCGUUUAUUUAAAGAUGUGAUAAUGGCAGUGAUCAUUGUCCCGUUAUCCCCAUGCCAACUCCUUCUUUUUCUAACACUAGUUGUGUUGUUGUUUCUCUCCCAACUUGGCAUAUGCGUCUUGGUUACCUUGGCUCAUCUAUUUUGAAUUUUUUACAUUCUUGCAAGUUUAUUUCCCAUACUACUACUAAACUACCCAUCUAUCAUGCUUAUUAGCUUGGGAUGCAUUGUCGUUUACCCUUCUCUUCGUCUAUAAUUAAAACUACUAGUAUGUUUGAAUUGGUGCAUUUAGAUUUAUGGAUAUCUCUUAUUGCUAGUCUAAGUUGUUUUAAAUAUUAUAUUUUUUGGAUGAUUUUACUCAUUUCUUAUGGGUUUUCCAUCUUCGUGAAAAAUCUGAUAUUUUUGAUGUUUUAUCUAACUUCCAUGGAUGUGUCCAAACUCAAUUUAAACCUGACAUCAAAUUUUUUCAAUGUGAUAAUGGUUGUGAAUUCAAUAACAAAUCUGUUCUCACUUUCUGUGCCCAUAAGGAAAUCAAAAUUGGCUUCUCUUGUCCGUAUACGUCCCAACAGAACGAUAAGGUUGAAAGAGUCAUACGAACCAUUAAUAACAUCCUUCGAACUUACCUGUUUCAAGCCUCCCUGCCUCCAACAUUUUGGGUUGAAGCUCUCCUCAUUACUGUUCAUACCCUUAAUCUCCUUCCCACCUCCACUCUUGCGUUUCAAACACCCUUUGAGCUUCUCUUUGGUGUUUUUUCCCUCCUAUGAUCACCUUUGAGUAUUUGGGUGCCUUUGCUACCCAAAUCUCUCAUCCACGACUCCCCAUAAGAUCUCUUAUAGGUCUUCUUCAUGUGUAGACCUCAAUCCCUCCUCUAAUCAUUGUGGCUUUUGUUGCCUUAAUCUCAUCUCCCAACGAGUAAUUAUCUCUCGUCAUGUCAUCUUUGACGAUCACUUCCAUUUCUCUACCUUUCAUGAUAAACCCUCAACCAAUUACUAUGAUCCUUUCCUUUCCGAGGAUAUACCUCCCCUCCUUACAGUAUGCACUACUCUUCGCAUCACUGAGCCCUCUCCUAGUGAAUCUUCUCCCGCUCUUUCUGAUAGUAGUUCCCCUCAACCCACUGCCUCCUCCUCCUUUCCUAAUACUAUUCCUACCCCCUCCUCCUACCCAUCCCAUGGUCACUUGCUCUCGCACUGGCUUUCUCAGGCCUAAGUAGAUUUUUAAUCUAUUUGCCACUUCUGAUGUCUCCCCUAUCCCUCGCUCUAUAUCUCAAGCUCUAUGUGAUCCUAACUGGAUUUUUCCAUGGACUCUGAAAUGCAGGCUCUUCACUCCAAUCACAAAUGGGAACUUGUUCCCCUUUCUCCAUGCCAAAAUUGUUGGUUGUCGCUGGCUUUAUUGUCAUAAGUUUGACAGAAAAGGUAACCUAGAUCGCUAUAAAGGUUGCCUUGUUGCUUAGGGAUUCUCUCAGCUUCCUGGUCUUGACUUUGAUGAUACCUUCAGUUCUGUUGUCAAACCUGAUACGAUUUGUACUGUUCUAAUUAUUGCGAUGUCCAAGCAUUAGCCAAUUCAUCAACUAGAUAUCAAAAAUGGUUUCCUACAUGGUUACCUAUCUGAGGAAGUUUACAUGAAACAACCUCAUGGGUAUGUCCAUCCCUCCCUUCCUAAUCAUGUAUGCCGACUUCUCAAAGCUCUUUAUGGUCUCAAAUAGACUCCCAAGCCAGGUACCAACGCUUUGCUGUUUUCAUCACCUCUCUCGGUUUUACUAGAAGUCGGUCUGAUUGUUCCUUAUUUACUUAUCACUCUGGUUUCGACCAUAUCUUCUUUCAUUUUUAUGUUGAUGAUAUCAUCCUCACCUCCUCCUCUUUCUCCACUCUCAUCACUCACAUUAUCUCAUGUCUCUCGUCUGAGUUUUCCAUGUCCAAAUUGGGUCCUAUUUCCUUAUUCAUUGGCAUCGAUGCUUUUCGAUCUGAGGAGAGUCUAAUUUUAUCUCAGGCUUCCUUUAAUGACAUCUUAGCUCGUGCUGACAUGUCUUCUUGCAAUCCGUGCAGUACCCUAUCUGACACUAAAUCUAAACUUUCUCCUCACGGCUCUCCUGUCUCUGAUCCCACUCUCUACAGGAGUCUUGUUGGUGCCUUACAAUAUCUUACUUUCACUCGUCCUGACAUUGCAUAUGUUGUACAGAUCUCUCUUCAUGUUUGCGUGAACCUCAUCUUCUUGCUCUUAAACGUAUCCUUCACUAUCUUCAGGGUACUAUUUCUCAUGAUAUGUUUAUUCGACCUUCCUCCAUUGAUCACUUGGUCUCCUAUUAUGAUGCAAACUGGACCGAGUGUCCUCAUACUCGUUGGUCUACUUCUGGGUUUUGUGUUUAUCUUGGCAAUAAUCUCGUCUUUUGGUCCUCUAAACAUCAACAUGUUGUUUCUCACUCCUCAGCUGAGGAUGAGUAUUGUGGGAUGGCUAAUAUGGUUGCUAAAGCUGCUUGGCUUUGUAAUCUCCUUCUUGAGUAAUCUUGUACGUUAUCUAAAGCAACAUUUAUGUUUUACUAAAUGUGAGUGCCAUGUAUUUAUCUUCUGAACCAUUAAAACACGAACGUAUUGCUCGUGCCGUCGAUUCACUAAUUUGCAGAUAUAUUUACAAAGGGUCUUCACCGGUUUAAAUAUUUGUAAAUCUCAUGCUCUAACUAGAGGGUGCCUUAGUUUAUAUUAGUUUAUAUAUAUUAUGUAUAGUGUAGGGACCAAUUGUAACUUUAUAUUGUAUAAAUAUAUUCUGCAGUAUAUGUCUCAAAUUGAUGAGGCUUUUCCCACAUUUAACAAAAGGAAAACUAAAUUAACACCAAAUUGCCCAAAAUUAAACCAUAUAUUAUACUAAAUUAAUUCACAACAGUUCGACAUCAAUCAAAUAUUAUCUCGCACUCGAAUUCACAAAACUCACUUUCCGGGUACAAAGUUUGUAGCAUAUGACCAUGCAUUGUUUGCAACAGGGUCAGCAAGGUGGUCAGCGAGGUUCUCCAAUGGUCCCUUUCCGGUAACAAUGGCUUGAACAAAGAAUCCAAACAUAGAGAACAUGGCUAGUCUACCGUUCUUGAGCUCCUUCACUUUCAGCUCAGCAAAUGCCUCUGGGUCAUCAGCCAGACCCAAUGGGUCGAAGCUACCACCAGGGUAAAGUGGGUCAACUACCUCACCAAGAGGUCCACCAGCAAUUCUGUAACCUUCAACUGCACCCAUCAAGAUCACUUGGGUAGCCCAGAUGGCUAAAAUGCUUUGUGCAUGGAUCAAACUUGGGUUCCCCAAGUAGUCAAGACCACCCUCACUAAAGAUCUGGGAUCCAGCCUUGAACCAUACAGCCUCACCAAACUUGACACCAUUACGCGCCAAGAGUUCGGGGAAGACGCACCCAAGAGCUCCGAGCAUGGCCCAUCUGCUGUGGAUGACCUCAAGCUCACGGUUCUUGGCGAAUGUUUCAGGAUCAGCAGAGAGCCCAGCAGUGUCCCAACCGUAGUCACCGGGGAACUCACCGGUCAGGUAAGAUGGGGCUUCGCCGGAGAAUGGGCCAAGGUACUUAACACGGUCGGGGCCGUACCAUGGACUUCCUGAUGGUGCGACUUUCUUGACUGCUGUCUUCCUCAUGGAAACCCUUCCAUUUCCGGUGAUUUCUGAACCAGAUGGUGCUACUUUCACCGCCUGUCCGACGAAAGAAGAGGAUAGUGCCAUGGUGGAAGCUGCCAUUUUUGUGAGAUUUGUUUUGAAGAUGUUUUGAUGAUAUGAUAGUAUUAUGAGUGAUGAAGAUGUGUGGAUCUGGAACAUAGAUUUAUAGGGUGGUUUUUGGGCCAAGUAGUUGAUAAAUGUUUAUCUUGAUGCAAUUUUUAACUUCAUUUUGAUUGGCUACCAAGAUUUUAGUUCUAUCAGUGGGUCCAUAAUCUGCGUGGUUCCACUAUUCGAGUUCUCUGGCCCACAUGAGAUAUUUGAAGGGGCAGCGAUAUUCAUGGCUCUGUCUUAUUAAGCGAAUAUAAUGGCUAGAAAUCUCAGCCACUAGCUACCAUGCACAAACCGGUUUUUUUUUUGAACCGGACCGCUUCAAAAAUCCGGUUCGGUUCUAGUCAAUUUAGUCAAAACCAGUUUGGUUCCAAACCGGUCCAGCUUCAAAAUAAUUCAAACGUAUGUAAACUCGUUAAAGAAAAAACCGGUUCAAAAAGGGUUCAAAACCAGUUUGACGGAAAAAAGGUUUUUUUCAAUUUUUAUUUUGUUUUUAGGCUAAUAACUGAAAAAUAGGAAUUUUUUUUUAUAAUAUUGCUUUUAUUGUGUUUAAAAAAAAAGUUUCACACUAGGUUUUUUGAAAAUGGAAGUGGAAUGAAUUGGGAAUUCAUAAGCCUUUUUUUUGGUAAUACACACGUACACACGUCCAUAUGCCAAAAGGUUUUUAUUAUUAUUUUUUUUAUUUCUUGUUUAAUCUUUUGAUGUAUUAAAUUUUUUUUUUGUUUCAGAUUUGAUGUUUUAUCUUUUUUUUUUUCAUUUUUUUUGUUUUUUAUAUUGGAAAUACAUAAUACAACUUCAAACAUAAAAACACAAAACAUCCAAAUUGUCAAACUAAUACAUCUUCAAAUAUAAAACAUUGAUGUCGUCGUAGUCUUCAUUCCAAGUCCGUAGUCAUUGUAUUUAUUCGUCAUCCGCCAUGUCGUUGCGUAAUUCUCUCUCAUACUCGAUCUCUUCUAGGGUGAGUGACACCGACAUUCCCAUCGCUACUUCUUCCUCAUGUACUCGUGCUUCGACAUGCAACGAUGUGCCUUCUAGUGCUUCGAUGUCUUGUAUCCUUUCCACGCCAUCAAGGUAGUAUUUCAAGCAAAUGCACACUUCCACCGACAAAUGGGUUAGUUUUGUUCUUCUUGGUGAUAUUACCCUGCCACUAACAGAAAAACCGAUUCCGANUUACCCUGCCACUAACAGAAAAAGCCGAUUCCGAAGCUACCAUAGAAGCUUGGGAGCUUAGUAGAUCACGGGCCAUAGCGGCUAGAAUUGGAAAUUAGGUUUCCUUUCCUUUCCACCAAACCAAAAUAUCAAAAUUUUCAAACUCUUGAAUACUCAUUUCACUACUAGAAAAAUAGCCUUUUACGACGCGCGAACAACGACACGCGCUGUUUUAUGAUACACAAUAGUGUGUGCCCUAAAAAUAAUGUCGGCUCUCCAAAAAUUAGAAGGAUUUAGGGUACGCAUUUUUGCGCGCCCUAAAAUAAGUGUUACAUUAAAAAAAAACACGGAGGGCACAUAACAUAAAACGCGCGUCCACUAAGUAUGUCGCUUUAUAUUUUUUAAAUGAAAUGCGGGUCACAUUUUUUAGGGAAAACGAAAUUCCAAAAAGUUUGAAAGGCCCGCCAUGUUCCUACCUUCUUUCCACCGUUCUUCUCUCCCUUACUCAAAAUACCCAAAAAAAACCCUAAUAUACUCAUCGCUCCUCUUUUCUCCCAUAACAAACUCGCACCAUCACCAAAUCUCUGAUCUCCCACCAGCAAAAGGUCUCCUACCGAUGUCUCCACCUACUCUCUGCCCUCUCACUAUUUCUCUCAAUUAAAAACGCUAGAUCUCUCAAUCAGAGAACCAUGGCUACUUCUCCUUUCUCCCACACCAGUUGGCAAAAAGUGAGGAGUCUCGAGCCUAGCAGUUGAUAUUCACAUGCCCUCUUAAAUUGAAGGAAUCAGAACAUUGUCGACAUCAAUUCGUUAAUCAUCACUAGAGAAAUCAGAUACGCCAUCUGGUUGAUGAGUCAAGAGAAAUCACAUAUGUCAUCGCUUCAGCAAUCAUCCCUCCUUUUAACCGUAAGUUUUCAAUCUUACACUUUACAAAUAUCAUAUAAACAUCUCUCUCUCUCUCUCUCUCUCUCUUUCUCUCUCCUGCUAUACCUUGAUGAAUUAUCGCAUACAUAUGGAGGAACUGCUUUCUAAAAGCCAGCUAUCGGGAGAGUCAACAGGGUCAAUUGGGUGUUCAAAAGGUGCUUCGAUAUCAUCUUCCCGCCAGCAAAUCUCUGUUAAAGUUGUCACAGAGUAAUCCAUUUGAGUUUGGGCAUAUAUUUUUUGUUAUUAAUUUAGGGGGAGACUGUGUUCCAUGAUUUUGGUCAUGCAUUUCUUCAGCACACGCUAACAAGACAAGAUGAAGGGCUUGUUGUUGGUAUUCGUGGCAUAGAGUGGAUGCUGUUGAGUUACCUUUCCAGUUCAUGGAAAAUUGGUGCUACCGUAGGUAGGUAUAUAUAUCUCCAAUUUCAAGAUGUUGUUCAACUGCUGCAGGAACGAGGUGAGGGUGGCUGAUGAGAAUUUGUGACAGGAACUAUCCGAUUGGGGAUUCCAGCUCAAGUGGGGCAGUUGGCGCAUCAGAUCCAGCAGAAUCAGAAGAUAAUGAGGCCUUUAUUGCAAUUCUCUUCUUUUGAAUAUGAAAAGAUGCACUUUUCAGUCCUAAUCUGGGAUGUGAAAAUGAAAGGAACCCCUGUUUAGCCAACAAAACAAAGUAAAAUUCAGUUACAACACUUACCCAAAUAUAGCAUUCUACCUUUAAUUUUUCUCAUCAAGACAAAAUUGAAUCAGUUAUGAAACCGACCACAUAAAAGGCUGUUUUUCUAGAGUUGCAAUGUUAGGAAUAAAAGUCACAAUGGUAUGUGGUCGGUUUCAUAACUGAUUCAAUUUUGAUGAGUAAACAGGUUAGAUUUCAUAUGGUUGUUUGUUCAGAUUGGUAUUCAUCCUGAUUUUCCUUCAAUUAUGCAACAACUAUGCUGGAAUUUGCUAUGUUCCAUACUCGGAUUUUGAAUUUAUCGGAAAAUUGAAUAAUUAAUCUGGAAAAAUACCAUCUUUGAAUGAUUUUUUUGUCAUCUGUAGAUAAGGAAUACCAUCUUUGGGUAAUUAGUUUAUCUAGUCUACAUGAUUAAAUUAAUGGACAUAUAAUUCUCUAUUGAUAGAACAAAAAACAUUGCUUUGUAGUGAAGAUAAGGAAUACCAUAUUUGGGUAAUUAGUUUAUCCAUACUCGGAUUAUGAAUUUAGCCCACCAUCAGCAGGGGAUUGCUGAGUUUUAUGUGACCAUAAUGCCCUUUCGGUUUGUAGUGAAGAUCCAAGCAUGUAAUUAAUAACACCUCUAAUUAAUUAAUUAAUUAAUCCCCUAAAACUAACUAUGGUUAAAUUAAACUGGUGGUAGGUGCCAGUGUACAUAGGGGCACAUAUGGUCAAAUAUGUUUUAAUUAUUAGUCUAAUAUCUUUUGAUACUUAUCAAUAACAACAAAAUAAUGUAAAAUCGUGUGAAUACAAUUCAAGGGUAUAAUGGUCUAGACAGAGAUUAUUUUUAUUAAAGAUAUUUAUUUAUUAAUCAUCAGAGAAGAAGGAAUUAAUAUGAAAGAAUCACUUACUGCAAAAUAAUCUUCAAAUGUAAAAUCAACAUAGCCUAAGCCCUGAUUUUUAUUUCACCACAGGUUGGCGAGCUGGCGGGAAUAGCUUUGGGAGCAACUGUCAUGCUUAAUAUUCUUAUAGUUGUGUACGUUAUGGUCAAAAUAGUUCAGCAAGAACCUCUGUUGAAAUGAUAUAGGCCACUAAUUAUUUAAAACUAUCACUGGCUCCUCAUUAUGGUCAAAAUAGUUGGUCUGUUAAAAAUUGUGACUAUGAGCAAUUUGCCACUUCUAAAUGGGUUCUUUGUAGUUUUCCUUUCUAUAAUUCAGGAAAUAGGAUCAUAUUUUACUCUUGCAGAAAUAGUUAUGGUCUGUGAGCAUUCUUCCAGAUUGUAAGAACGUAAUUUUCAACACAACAAAGGUGAAAUUAUAUCUAUGUUUUCUUGUGUAUUUAACUUCACAGGAGCUGAAACAUGAUCUAAUUUUUUUUAUCUAUUGGUUAUGUUGAAUAUGGAUAAAAGGUUGUGGCUCAGAAAAGUGUUGGUGAUGCUUCUACAUUUGUUGAGAGUGAAUUUUCACUGUCAAAUUCAAGUUGGAUUUGGUAUGUAGAAAAAGUGUGUGUUUAGAGUAAGGACUUUUUCCUUGUUGGACUGUAAUAGUAGACCAAUAUGAUUCGUUUUAUAAAACCCUUAGACAGAUCACAGUUGGUUCUGCAAUUGCAUGGUCAGGUAAACAUUCUAAACACAUUUUCAAUUUAUUUUGUGAUAUUUAAUUUCUCCCAUAUUCUUUUAAAUUAUAUUAUAAUAUGCUUAUAAACACUACUUUCCUUUCAUGUAGCCAAAAAAUUGUCCCAAAGUUGACUGAGGUACUUUGGACAAAAAUACAAUGUUAGCUUACAUCUUUAUUAGUUAAUAUAAUCAAAUUUCUAAUUUUAGGUGCUAACUGAUACGCGUCCGCAAGUUCAGUCUGCAUGGCAGACAACACUCCAGCAGGUUUGACUAUAUUCUUAUGGGUUGUGGCAUUCACAUUCCCAUAGUGAUCUUGAUAAAGUUGCUUCUAUUUCCAUGCUAAGUUGGCUUUUAUUUGUAAUAUAGGAGGUCCAAAAUCUUGCAAAGAAGGCUGCAGAAACUGUGGUGUUGGUAAUUGAUGAUGAAGGGACUGAGUAUUUGAUAUCAGAACUUCUCAAGUUGCUUCUAUUUCCAUGCUAAGUUGGAUUUUAUUUAUCUUACUGUUUAUUAUCAUUUUUUAUAUAAAAUUUCAUCAUUUAUAUUAUAUAUAUAGUACAUUAUAGACUUUGCAUCAUAAUUUGUUGAAUGUUACAAGAUAUAAUUCAAAAUUCAAUUUCCUCAUGUUGUUGCUGAAAUGACAGCAAUUGGUUUUGGCCUACCAAAGAAUGCAUUCACCGCUUUAAUGAAGAAUGUAAGUGUUUAUUUUUCUUUUCUGUUUGGUGAAAAUCAUCAAAUGACAAUCUCAUUAUAUAUCUUAGGAUCUUAUCAGUUAAUAAACUUGAUCGUGGGUAUGAUCAAGCAUAGGUUUACAUUUAUACCCCUGCUUUUAUCUUUUAUCUUUUAUGUUAUAUAAUUAUAUUCCCCCUUUUUUUAUCAGGUUAAUUUGGUGGUUAAUUAUGAUCUUCCUAUAAGACAUGAUCAUCAAUCUCACUACAAGAAAAAUACCCUUUUACGACGCGCAAAACACGACGCUCUUUGAUUUAUGUUACGCAUUAGAGAGCGACAUUAAAAAAGUGUCAUCUCUUAAAAAAUUUUAAGGAUUUAGGUCGCGCAUUACUGAGUGCCCUUAAAUUAGUGUCUCAUGUAAAAAUAUUAAAAACACGGAAGGCACUUGUGCGUCGUCUGUGAAUGUCGUUUUAUAUUUUUUUUUAAGAAACACGCGUCUCGGAGGGAAAAUGAAAUCCCCAAAUUUUUUAAACCCCCACCUUUUUCUCCCUCGUCUCCACCCCUCAUCCACAUCCACUACCUCCGAUCCUCAUUUCCUCUUCUAGCCUCAAACUACGGCGAUGCACCUUCCUUCUCGAAGAAUGCUUCAUUUACCACCAUCGUCCGAUUAUGUGAGCCCAAGGAAUUGACCAAGACGAAGAAGAUAAUGGAUCAAUUGCUUCACAUCAUGUUUAAGGUUAAGGGUUUGAGUUAGUCCGCAACAGGUAAUCGAAUUUUGCCUAAUAUAUAUUUCUACUCUCAAACUGUUUAUUCGUCCGAUUGGAUGCAUAUUUACUAUUAAAUUUGGGGAUUUUCUUUUAAAACCCCCGCGCCUCUUCUUGUUUGUAGCUAAACAACCGUGAAUUUGUUAGAGUGAUUGGAAGAGGAAAAAUAGAAGAUAGAAGAAAAAGAAGAAGAAGAAAAGCGAACAAACGGGAUUUCUUGACCUGAUGUGUUAAUCCGUGAUCAGGUCUUCUGAGCGAAGAGAAGAUCUGAGGCUCAAUUGAAGAAAUAUGAGCGCUUCUAGAUUUAUAAAGUGCAUCACAGUCGGUGAUGGCGCUGUCGGGAAGACUUGUCUCUUGAUUUCCUACACCCGUAACACCUUCCCCACGGUAAUCAUCUCUUCAUCAACCGCCUUCAGUUUCUGCCCAACUAAAGCACGGUUACACACUUAUUUCUCUUCGGACGUUUCUGUGGCUUCCAUGGGAACGGAGGAGGAUGAUAUAAAUGAGGCAACAACUUCAUUCGCUACAUGUUUGAACCUUAAAUUGAAGGGAUUAUAUAUUGAAAUUUGAAUCUACAACUUCGAAUUUCAGUCAUCUCUCUUCUCUUCUACAUCUCACCUGAUUCUCUAUUGAAAUUUCUAGGGUUUUUAAUUGAACCUACAUCUUCAUCUUAAUCUUCUUUUCUGAAGUUAGGGCUUUUUUCUUAAGAACAACUAAUUUUUUGCAGUAAGUAAACCUCUAAUUUUUUCAUUUCUCAUUUCCUUAGACCUCUCCCCUUUCCAUCUCAUAUCGAGGCAAAAUCAAUUUCACUUUGGUGGCUUCGAUUUCCUAGCACAUAUUAUGUUAUUAUAUGGAUUUGUAGGAAAUUAGAAAUCAUGUUAGAAUGUUUGAUGUUCUGUAUGUUCAUAAAAGUACAUCUAAAACAAAAAUCUUAGAUUAAACAAAACUGAAGCAUUUAAUGAGAUGUAAUUACUAACUUUUGUUGGAGAUGCAAAUGCUAAAUAAAGAAAACUGAAGCAUUAAAUGAGAACCUUUAUAAUUCGAUUUCAUUCAGAUCUUCGGUGGAUAUUUAGGGCUAACAAAGAAAACUGAAGCAUUUAAUGAGAUGUAAUUACUAACUUUCGUUCAAGGUAACCCCUGUUAUGAAUACAUGUAAGAAUUUAUUUAUCUUUUUCUCUCACCACUUGCUAUCCAUGUGCUGCUCUCUCAUAGUUGAUAUCUAACAACAAAGACCUGAUCAGUCUAGUUUGCUUGUUUUUUUUCUUUUUCUUAUAAUUCUUGAAUACGUGCAGAUUUUUUAAGACUUCUAGUUUUGUUUUUUGUUCAGUGAUAUUGAUGAUGAGGCAAGUUUAUCAACACUAUGGGAGAGAUAUCAAAGUGUCUCUGAAAAGGUAUUGCGAUAUCAAAGCAUAAAUUAUUUAUGGAUUAAAAUGGGAAAAUGACUUAUAUGGGUAAGAAAGUUUUAAAAACUUUUAAAAAUGACUAUCAAAGUAUUGUUUGUAUAAAAAACACCAACCAAGUUUACCAUUUUGUCAAAUCUAACAGGUUGGUAACCUGCAUCUGCCGGUCAAAAAAAAUUACCUGAUCAUUUUAAAAACUGAAAUUAUAAAUGACAUGGCAUCCUUUUUUAGUCUUACGUGGAUUAAUUGCAAGGGAAGAUCCAUUUUCUCAGCGUUCUUUCUCAAAAUCAGGAGGGAGUCAACACAGAACCCUCUCUAGGGUUAGUUUCUGCCCCUGUAUACAGUUAUUUUUGUUUAAAUUGACUGAUUUUAACAGUUGACGAAUAUGCUCCUGCUUUGGGCUAAUCACACAUAUGUCUUUUUUAUGACCAAAUUGCCCCUGUAUAUAGUUUUUUUUUGUUACAAUUGACUGAUUUUACCAGUCAAUUAAGGUGUUGUUUAGAAACUGUUAGUAUCCAAGACCAUUUACAUGCUCGUGCACAAAGACGAAUUUGCCCUUGAUUGUGACCAAACUGCCCCUGUAUACAUAUUUUUUAUUACUAAAAACACCCCCUGUCCUAGAAAAAUAUGACACUUCUAUACAAAAGCUAAUACCAAUUUCUCACUACAAAUCAACUAAUAAGAAAAGAAGUGGGCAACUCUCUAAAAUGACCAAAAUUUGAAUUGCAGUGUCACAAAUUGACAAUUUUUUAAAGCUAUAAUGAAAUAAUGCUUUGUUUUGUAAAAUAUACAAAAUCCGUUUGUUGUUGUGUGCAACUAAUCCACAAACAUUUACAUAAUUCUCGUUAGUGUACUUUGCAAAGUGGUGCUGAAGUAAUUUGGGCAACAAAAGUACAUAUAACUAUAUUAAUAUUCUCUAAAUAAUCAUAUAUAAUGAAAUAAUGGUUUGUUUUGUAAAAUAUACAACCCAUACUGUAUUUUUGAUAAAAAAAAAUAAUGAUUUUAAGAGAUUUUGUCCGAAAUACCCUUAUAUACUCUUUUUUUUGGUAAAAAAUUAAUGAUGUAAUAGUUUUUGACUAAAAUGCCCGUAUAUACUAUUUAACAGGUUUGACCCCAUCUGAAUUAUGAUUCAGCUUAAAAUUGAAUGCCAUUUUGACAAUUUUAUUGCUUUUAAGACUAUUUACUGCUGAAAAUAUGUCAAAUUUGUUACAUUUUGCUGCUAUAAAUAGUCAAAAAAUAACUAAAAGUCUACAAAGAUUCAAGGUAACAGUAAAUAAUACUGGCAUUUCCAGCAGCAAAUCUUCAAUUGCAGGGACUAAACUUUGUCAUUUUUAGCAGAAAACUUUAUCAACCAACAAAAAGAGGUUAAUAAAGAAUCUAAAUGGCAUUCCAUUGUAACAGCAUCAAAACACGACCUGCACUCAAAACCCUCCAAAAUAGCCCCUACACUCAAUUGUAACAGCCCCUCUGUUGUGAUUCCUUUAACUGUGACCAAAUUGCCCCUCUAUUGUGAUUCCUUUAGAUUCAAGGUAACAUUGUUUUAAGUGAAAAGAUCAUUUCAUAACUUGUUUACAUAAAUUCUUUCUUAGCUUGUUUACAUAAAUUCUUUUUCUGUCAAUUCCUUUCAAGACAAAAAGAAAGAAAGCAGGAACUUAUAGCCAUGCAAGUAAUUUCAUUAUUUUUCUCAUUAACGAUUGUACUUCCUUUGCUCUUUCUUGCAUAAUAAUAAACAGAUUUAAAGAGGAGUGGAGCCAUAUGACCACCUGAUGCCCCCAAAUCAAUUUAUUUGAGCUAGAUUUGAACGAUUUACAAGGAGAAGAAGAAAAUCAAUUGUCAAGAGGAGAGGAGAUGUAUGACCACCCACCUGAUGCCCUAAAUCGAUUUAUAAUAUGUAUUUUUCAUUUAAUGCUGAGUAGAUGUGCAACACACUACCUAAAUAUGCCAACUAAUCAUUACUUUUGCCAACUCAGCCGUUCACCUGGAGAUCCGGUUACCACCGGGUCAUAUUUGAACAAAAGAUAAACUUCGUUGGUAUUUUUUGUACGACGCCUAUAGUUAAAUGGUAUUUUUGAACAACUAAAACUUCAAUGGUUUUUUUUGAAUGUUUUUGAAACUUUCUUACCCUUAUAAGUCAUUUUCUCGAUUAAAAUUGAACUUUUUUCAUACAUUACCUAACAUUGACUUGUCUUAAUUUGCAGGCAGAAAUACAAAAGGCUUUUCAUAUAUUUCUUAAACAAUUUUUUGUAAUAUACAAGAAUUGGGAGCCAUUAGAUUUAGAUAAUUCCAUAGAACCUUUCAUUGAUUCAAGGGAUCCUCUUUCUGAAAAAAAGAUUGCAGUGGCAUCAGAAGGCAGUCAUAUCAGUGAUGGAAGCUGGUGGUCUUAAUUGGUUAGUAGGUAAGGUAUGCAUCUUCAGAUUUAAUUUCUAUUGAGAACUAAACACAUUUGAAUAUCUGAGAACUAAACACACUUGAAUAUUUAUAAAUGAUGCACACAUCCAAAGGGAUAAUAGCAAUGUUUCUAAUGGCGUCAAAUAGACCUGAUUGUGACCACUAAUGGUUCAUCAGGUUUGUUGAUUUUUAUUUUAUUUUAUUUGAAGUGCAUUAUCUGGUUUAAUAUGAAAUGAUUCAUGUUGAAAUUGGUUUCUUUUGUUACUCCAUAAUACUUGAUAUCUUAUUUUUUGCAUGCAGGUGCUAACAAAUAUGGUGUCAUUAUCAUUGUUGUUGUUGUUGUUGGAUACGGAUAUGUUUGGUGGAAGGUAAAUAUAAGCUCAUAUAUUAAUAUUAUUACUUUUUACAGUUAACUUGUACAUAGUUUUUCUUCAACUAACAGAAAUGGUAUCAUUAACAGGGUUGGAAACUUCCUGAUAUGAUGUUUGCUACAAAAUGAAGUUUAUCUGAUGCCACAUAUGCUUUAGCUAAAUAGAUUGACACUGUUUACUCAUCACUUGCAGUAAGUUAUUUAAAAACUUUGUUAUUUUUUUGUUAUUAAUUUGGGUUGUUUAUUAUGUUGUUUAGGCUACCAAGAGACAUUUAUCUACAAGGAUUGACCGUGUUGAUAGUAGUUUAGAUGAGGUUGCAGAAAUUACUGCUGCUAAAAAAGAGGAGGUAUGACAAGAUAAAGGUUGUUCUAGAUGUUUAAUCUAUACAUAAUGCGGUUUACACCCUGGUGUGGUUCUUUUCCAUUUUGUCUUGUGACUUUGAUAUUGUUUUCUGAGUUGGAUAUGUGGUAUGAUAAAUUAUUUUUACAUGAGAGUAGGCUGAGUAGGGUUGAAUUGAAAUAGGUACUGAAUAUUACCGUUUGACAUGCGAUUUUUUCUAGCUUAAUGAGAUAUUUAUAACAAAUAAUUUUGAAUUUUUGUUGUCUUUUGUAGGGAAAUCCAUCAAGUUCAUCAAGGCCAGCUCUUGAAUUACCAUAGAGAGUAAACUUCUAAUCUUAUACAAAUACAAUGAUUUGCUAAAUUCAAGAAAUAACAAUGCACUUUUAUUUAUUACUUUUAUUAAAACAUCCUAGUUUAAUUUCUAGCUUAAUGAGACAUUUAUUACUUUUAGCAGAGAUCGAUAUAUAUAUGAGCUUUUUGCUUUCAAACAUUGUUGGGGAAGAAUGUUGAAACUUGCUCUUUGUGAAGGUAAUUUUUUUUCUUAAUGCAUUAUCCUCUAUAUUCUUGAUAUUUUUCCCACUUUUUAAAUCUUUUAUCAAAUUCUCACUUUUGGAUACAGUGCUUGAUGAGAGAAUGUGUGACCUAAAUCUUUUAUCAAAUUCUCACUUUUGGAGUUGGCCAUAAGAAAAUGUAGGCAAAGGGUAAUUUGUUAUAGUUCAGGUUGACAAGGUGCUGUAUUUUUCACAUAAUUGACAAGGAGCUGUUGUAUCUAUUCAGACUAGACUUAGAGCAAUGGUUGCAAGAGAUGAGUUCAGCAGAAAAAGAAACAAGGCUGCAACUAUAGUUAAGGUACUAUGGAUGAAUUAUGUUUGUAAAGUAUUUAAGAAAAUGAUUAUAAACAAGGGUGAAUUUGUACAAAUUAGUUAGCUACUUGCANUGAGUAUUUGAUAUCAAAACUUCUCAAGUUGCUUCUAUUUCCAUGCUAAGUUGGCUUUUAUUUAUCUUACUGUUUAUUAUCAUUUUUUAUAUAAAACUUCAUCAUUUAUAUUAUAUAUAAUACAUUAUAGACUUUGCAUCAUAAUUUGUUCAAUGUUACAGGAUACAAUUCAAAAUUCAAUUUCCUCAUGUUGUUGCUGAAAUGACAGCAAUUGGUUUUGGCCUACCAAAGAAUGCAUUCACCGCUCUAAUGAAGAAUGUAAGUGUUUAUUUUUCUUUUCUGUUUGGUGAAAAUCAUCAAAUGAAAAUCUCAUUAUAUAUCUUAGGAUCUUAUCAGUUAAUGAACUUGAUCGUGGGUAUGAUCAAGCAUAGAUUUACAUUUCUACCCCUGUUUUUAUCUUUUAUCUUUUGUGUCAUAUAAUUAUAUUUCCCUUUUUUUAUCAGGUUAAUUUGGUGGUUAAUUAUGAUCUUCCUAUAAGACAUGAUCAUCAAUCUCAACCUGACCAUGAAGUGUAGUUGCACUGAAUCGGAAGAGCAGGGUGAUUAUGGGAGAUGUUAAGUAGUUAUAGGGCUUUAGAUGCUUUCCCUUUGGGUAGGAAAUGUUUUUAAGACAUGAUCAUCAUUCUCUACCCCUGCUUUCCCUCUGGUGUUUAUCUCCCAUAAAACCCUAAAAUGUGGAUGUGCUAAAACUGAAGAAAUUAGAAGACACAUACUGGAUUUUAGCAAGUCGGGUAAGUUUAAAAAUAUCUUAAUACGAUAUUGAUUAGAUUACACAACAUGUAAUGUAGAAAAUAUCAUGAAUAUUUAUGAUCAAUAUUCAACUUUUGAAAAUGUAUCCAGUUUGAUGUUUAUCUAUUUGACAUUUUUUUGAUAGAAAAUGAGAAUACCGGAGAAGAUGAACCACAAAUUUACAUUGAAAUGAUCAAUGGAAUUAUCAAAUCCCUUCAGGUAUCAUCUCAUAUCACUUGCUUAUGAAAUUUAUUCAUCUAUACUUGAAAAGAUAUAUUUAUUUUUGUGUUGUUUCCAGGCUAUCCUUGAUGCAGUUCUCAGCACAACAAUUAUGAUUUUAUGAUGUUAGGCUAAACUAUAAAGCAAUCAUUCUUUGUUUUAGGAAACGUUUCAGAGCUUCUUUAGGCAGCUUAAUGAUGAGUUAUUGAAACAAAAUGGUGCCCCUUUAUAGCAAUGUAGUAUUAGGUUAUAUAGAUAGGAAAAACCUCUUAAUAACAACGUACAAUUAGAUCCCCUUAAUAUCAAUGUAUUACAAUUUUAUGACAUGAUGUUAUUGAAUGAAAUUGAUUGUGUAAUGGAUUGUAUUUUUUGUAUAUGGUAUUUUAUUUUCUAUUAUGAGACAUGAAAUGCAAAUUUAAUUUGAAAAUUAGUAAAUCUAUAAAUAAUUUUUAAAAAAAAUAAAAUAAAAAUUAUGAUACGCAAAAAUGUGUGUCAUCUUCAUUUAUGACAUGGCCUUUCUUGACAGUGGCUUUAAUGAUACGCAUUGCGUGUCAUAAAUACGUGUCGUCUAUAGACGACGCGCAAAAGCGCGUCGUCUCUCGUUAUGACAGGGCCUUCCUUGACGCGCAUGCGCGUCGUCUGACCGUUUUACGACUCGCAAUGAGCGUCGUAAAAGGCAUUUUUUCUAGUAGUGUUUGAGACAAGAAAUCAGAACCAAUGUACCUUCCGAGCUCGCUACUUGGCGCGUUAGACCGAGCUCGUUUGGAAUUUUCAUUCCUCAAAGUAUUAUAAAGCCUAAUUGUUUCGUUAUUUUAGUGAAAAGUGGAUCCGGGUGCCCCCAUAUUUUGCAUCACGUCAUGAAUGUUUGUUGAACCAUAUUUUGUUAAAUAAACUUCAAAUAAAUUUUGAAAAACUUUGUUAAAUUUUGAAACUUCCUUUGAUGCAUAAUCAAUGUCAUCAUCCAAUAAACCCAAAUCGUAACAAAUAUUUUCAAUUAAAGUCUCAACCCCCCCAACAUUUAGAGUUGGAUUCAAAGUGGCGGAACAAGUAAUAAUGGGAGCCAUUUCUUGAAAAUAUUUUUUUAACUUUGCUUUCAUCGGUUUCAUCAUAUUAGCAAACAUUGUGCUCCUCAUUUCAAACUCAUUUAUUUUCGCACACAUUAAAAAAAUUUGGUUUAAAACUAAACAACUUGUAGGAUAAUAAACCCCCGAUAAAAAAGUGGUUGUUUUUUUUUUAAAAAAACAUCAAGCAUGUCUGUAACAAGUUUGAUAGUAUCCCAACUUGAUUCCGGAUAAGCCGUAACCUUAUUACGGUCCGAAGGUUGUCAUGUAACAUUUUUAAAGUAUGUUUUUGACGUAAGGCACAUUCAAAAAUUUUGCAAGUGGAGUCCCAUCGGGUAUUAUUUUCCCAAUUCAGACCUAAAAAGAGGGCAUUCGCAUCGACACAAAAUUGCAUAUAAUUAUGAUAUCGAGCGUUACUAGAACUAAAAAUAUCUUUUAGCAUGUCUUUGAAACCAUCUUUUAUAGUUUCAAUGUGAGUUAGUCCAUCUUGCACAACCAAAUUAAUCAUAUGUGCAACACAUCGACUAUGAAAAAUAAACACCAUCACAAAUUGGUUUAUAUUUUAGUUUUAGUUGUCCAACCGCGACGGUGUUGUUUGAAGCAUUAUCAAAAGAUAUAGAAAAAAUCUUUCCUUCAAGUUUAUAAGUUUUGAUCACACAAUCUAAAAUUUUAAAUAAAUUUCUAUCGGUGUGCGGGUACUCAAACAAUUCAAACGUAAUCGUAUGCUUUAUCAUUACCCAAUUAGUUGGAUUAAUCCAAUGAGCGGUAACACAAAGGUACGCAUCCGGUGAACCGUCAGGAGCCGUCCAAACAUCACAAGUUAAAUUCACACCGGUUUCUAAAGAUUGAAAUCCUAAAAUCAAUUCAUUUUUUGCAAGUUUCCACAUUUCAAUACAAUCGCGUCUAAUAGAAGUACGACUCACAUGGCAAUAUCGUGGUUGGAGAGUAUCUUGGAUGAGUGAAGUCAAUCGUUUGUUGUCGAAGUGGUCAAAAGGCAAGCAUUCUUGAAUCACGAACUUCGUCAUCCUAUCCCGAACUUUAGCCAUAUCGUAACUCCACAAUGUUGCAUCAUUCGUCAUUCUUGUUUGAAUAUGUCCCGACCCAAAUUUCACCGUGGGGCAUCUUUUGGUCAUAUGAUUUUUCAAUGUCGAAUUCUCAUCUUCAUUAAAAAAAGCACCACAUUUCUUGCAUUGCGCUUUUUUAUACCGUUCGACAUUACACACAAAUCGUAGUUGCACAAAAUAGCCGGAUUUCUAUUUGUUUCUUUGAUGCUAACAACGGUAAGAGUGUUUGAUGAAUCUCGAACACCAACGGAAGCCGAAUCCAUUGUUUGAAUUAAGAGUGGUUUUUGAACUAAGAGAGGUUUGCGGUUUUUGAACUAAGAGAGGUUUUUUGAGGUUUGGUUAAGGUAAAGUUGAGACCUAAAAAUGUAAUACAUAUAUAUAUACUAUAAGGAAUAGUUAAUAUGGUAAAAAAGAAGCAAAAAUCGAGUCUUGAACAGCCUCAAACGACUAUAUAGCCGUUAGGAAAAGACAAAAAAACGGUAACAUUACAAAAACCGGUUCACCAACGGCACUUUCGAAAUCUGGUUCAAAACUGGUUCAUCACACCUGUUCAGAAUAAACCAGUUCCAAACCGGUCUCCAGGGUAAAACAUGCGAACUGGUAACAUCCGAUGGUUCGGUUCACUAUGGGUUCGGUUCUUAUGUGAACCGGUUCAAGGCUAAACCGGUUUCCGGUUCACCAACCGGUUCGGUUCCUAAACCAGUUUUUUUGCCCACGCCUACCACUAGCUAGUCUAGGUGGGCUUUUAGUACGGGGGUUUUCAUGAGGAAUAGGUUGAAAGGAGUGUUGGCAUCUCACUGCCGUCAUCUGUUACCAUUUCAUAAGGAGUGGUAGCAUUCCUAGCACAUUAGAUUUUUUUUUUUUGAUUUUUUUUUUUGAACUUAAAUAAAUUAUAUUUUUAUAAAACACAAACAAUUCAAUAUUAAUCAAGAAACUAACUACAUUUUAUAGAUAAAUUUACCUUAUUUAAACAAGGAUUAAUAGAAAGGUCAAAUAAAAUUUAAAUGGUUAACGACAUGCUUAAAAUUUUACAAAUAUAUUGAUUUUGUAACGACACAAUUUUCUACUCUAUCAAGGUAAAGAAACAUUUAUGUUAAUAAUAAAGUGACACUUUAAUAUAUAUCUUCAAAUAAUUAUUAAAAAUAAAUAAUACUAUAAAAAAUUACCAAUACUAUCUAGAAACAAAAACCACUCACAGCACGGAAUUUACAAAACAACCAUCCAACUUCCUUAUUUUUUUGAAAGAGCUUUUACGAUCUCCAUUUCCAUUUCCUUUUUUUCUUAAAAUUACAUCUUACAUCUUCCAAUUUGCUAUUAUCAUUUCUUAAGUUUGUGAAAGUAGACUAUUCCACAAAACUACUCCUCCAAUUGUGUGAAACACGAAGCAAAAGCGAGACCUUUGAGCUUUUUCUUAAAAAAUAAUCCUUGUUUGAGAUGGAGACCACACCAUUGAUGGGAGAAAUGAAGGUUCUAGAGAACGAUUGUAAGAGGAAGAUUAUUGUAUCCACAGGCCAAUAUCCAACAAAUCUCUUUCUCUUUCUUCUCGCUAUGGUGUUGACGAGCCAUGGCUGGCGACUUCCUUGGCGCAAGCCAGGGGGCGGCCUUCAGCGCCCUUGGCGACCGGUGGCGACCUCCAUAGCGAGGCCCACUCCCUAAAGCCUUAUAACACACCAUUUAUUGACCAAGUUUACCCAACAAUGCAUCCCAAUUCAUUAGAUUUGUCUUAUCAUUAUACUUUUUAUACAAUUUCAUCAUUUUUCUAUAAUAUAUUAAAACUCUAUGAAAAUUCAAAAGAAUAUACUUUUGAAUUUUCAUAGAAUUUUAUUAUAUUAUAGAAAUAUGGUGAGAAUCCUAGAUGCUUUUAUCUCUCUUUCAGACUUAAAAGCCAGUAUGCGUUCAAUAAGUACGUGGCCAACUCCGGACCUAGCUUUUGCGAACGUGGGACGUUCACUUCGGAUAGCCUCGAAAUGAGUACCUCUUACUUUAAAAAUUUAUAACUUUGGCAUACGAGCUCCGUUUUCGACAUUCACUUUCAUUUAGACUCUGUUUGCUAAUUUUGAUUUUUAUUUUUAAAUUUAUAUUUUUUAACAGGCCGGGACUGGAAAAGCCCGUUAAAAAUUCAUAACUUCUUCAUCCGACGUUCGUUUUCGUAUGACUUUUUACCAUUAAACUACUAUCGACGAGAUUUUUGAUUCUCAUUUACAUUGUGUUGGAUAAAAAUCGCUCGAUCUAUACUUCGAACUACGGGCUGCACAAUGUUAUGCCAAAUCUUAGAAAAUUCAUAACUUCCUCAUACGAAGCUAGAUUUGGAUUUCUUUUUUAUGCACGCUCUUGGUUUAACGUAUACUACGAUUUUCAUUUAGAUUGCUAAGGCUAAAAAACACUUUAUCGUAAACUCACUUUUCACGUCACACAAUGUCAUGUCAGUUUUGUCGCGAAACUUCGAUAUGUCAUAAAUUCUUCGUGAUCAGGGCCGAUCUUGAAAAAUGAAAUAUUCUUGGAGCCCCAGGACGAGCAAGAAAAAAAUGGCCCUUAUCUUUAUUAUAAUUUUGUAAUUUUAAAUAAAAAUAUAUAAUGAAAAAAAUUAGGCCAUGUGCAGCUGCCCACUUUGCCUCCUUCUAAGCCCCCAUUGUUCAUGAUAACUCGGAUUUCAGCGUUCUUUAUAUUUCUGGAGUCCUUGUCACGACCACUACAACUUUCUUCAUAGAUAUCGGGUUUAUAUAACAUUUUAUUUUUGACGCUUAUUUUUAUUCUUAAUUAAUUAUAUCAUUAUAAACAAGUAUAUAAUCACAUAAAAUCACGUAAUUCACAUAAUACUCAAGUAAUUCAUCUUUAUUACAUUAAAAUAGGUUACAAUGGUUGACCUUGACUAUUACAUCAUCAUACUAAUGUGAAACAACCUAAAAUACGACCCAAUUUUUUUUUUGUUAAAAUAAUACUAAAGAUAUCAACCAUCAUAAUAUAUCAUGAAAUCGUACGUCAUAAAUCCCCAAAAAGUUAUAAUAGAUAUGUCAUGACAAAAGAGUUGUAUCAACAUACCAUAGUAUCUAAAAUAAACUCCCAGGACAAAAGUUGAAACUGUGGUGUGUGCAAUGUCAUCAUCCUGAGCUCUUUCCUUUGCUUGCGGAAAUACCUGAAACCAAAACUGAAACUGUAAGCACAAAGCUUAAUGAGCUCCCCCAAACUACCACAUACCAUACAAUAGCAUAUACAACACAUACUAGGCCUUGCCCACUGCAUCGGACCGAAGUCCGGAAAUUGCAUCGGACCGAAGUCCAGAACUAACCAAGGCCUUGCCCUCUGCAUCGGACCGAAGUCCGGAACUACAUCAGACCGAAGUCCGGAAACUAACCAGGGCCUUGCCCUCUGCAUCGGACCGAAGUCCGGAACUAACUGCAUCGGACUGAAGUCCGGAACUGACUGCAUCGGACCGAAGUCCGAAAUUGUCUGAACAUAACAUAUCAUAAACAUCUCAACCAGUAUGAACACAUAAACUGCAUAUCGCAUCAGACCGAAGUACGAAACACAUAACACAAAUACAUGCUUGAAUCACAAAGACAUCAAGCAUUCUAAGUACUGCAACGGACGGAGGUCCGAAACUUCUGCUAACUAAACCGACCGGCAUUGUAGCCGUAGACCCGUUCCUACUGGAAGGAAAACUCACCUCGUAAUGCUGGCUGCUGAGAUGCUAACUCUAAAAGUGACUGACCGCUGCUUCGGAACUGUCCGACUACAAAUCCCAGAAACACUAGAUUAGUUACUUGCAUAUACCCUCAGGGUAAGAUGACUAUUUUGCCCCUGGUCAAAGUCAACUUCUAGUUGACCGGACUCGCCGACUAUGGGCGCAGAACCGCCGAGUCCCUCCUUUACUAACUCUGACUUUAACUCACCGAGUCCCUUUCCCACUCACUGACUCUCUCUGAACUCGUAGGUCGAAGAAAAAAGGGGACUCACGACUCGACUCGUCGAGUCUGAAGAACAACUCGCCGAGUCCUGCCGUGCAUAUUCCAAACAAACGAAUUCAAAACUAUUCCAGAGCAUCUGACUUGAAGAUCUGAGCCCUUGGAACUAUCUAAACACGUGAAGUUUCUAACUUUACGUGCAACUAAGAAGGAAUGAAGCUAUUUCACUCAAACACUACUUUUCUUGGGAAAACUCAUCCGACUCGCCGAGUUGUAUGAACAACUCGUCGAGUCUAAGGUGAUCUUCAUCGGACUCGCAGAGUUGCUCAUCAAACUCGUCGAGUCUACGACUAUCUUCAUAUGACUCGCCAAGUCACACAUGCGACUCGCCAAGUCCAUUCAGUCCCUUUUUCCAUACAGACCUGAUUUGGGCCAUGCAGUGGCUCCAAAUCACAGAUCCAAGAUUCUAGGGCAUGCUUAUCACGUAAAUUUGCAAACUUUACGUGCAUGCAUGGCUUUAAAGGCUUCAAAUGCCAACCCUAAGCUCUUAAUGGGGUUCCAAGCUCAAGAGGGACCUCAAUCACGACCAUAACCGAAACUUUACUCUUCUAGAAUGCAAUGAGAGUCUAGAUCUGAUGUUUCCAUAAAAGGGGAAGUCCAUCUCUCAAGUUUGAACCAUAAGAGGCUCCAAAGAGGGCAUAACAAGCAUAUAUGAGGUUAUAAUGGGGGAAUGCACAAGGUCAUAACUUCAUUACCUGAAUGAAAAACAGAUGUAAGCUAACUCCUAGAUUUUCCUUCCCUUCUAUGGACCUUCCUUCCUUCCCAAAGCUUCCAAGCUAUCACAAAUACCCUCAAACUCAACAAUGGGGCUAGGGUUUACAAGGGAAAUGUUAUGAGAGUGAUAGAGGCGAGGUUGGGGGCGCAUAAGUGUGUUUAAAUAGGGUGAAAACCCUUAAAAUUAGGGCUUCAUCCAGACAGGCGGACUCGCCGAGUCCAACGUAUGGACUAGUCGAGUAGCCAUCUCAAAACGCGUGAUCGUCCCGUCUCUACUUGACGAGUCAGGCUACAGACUCGUCGAGUACCCCUUCAGAAAUGAAAAUACUUUAUUUGAAUUACAUACCAGAAAUGGGGCGUUACAACUCUCCCCCACUUAUCUUAGACUUUGUCCUCGUAGUCUGCUGCUGCUGCUGAAAAUAACUCUGGGUAAUGCUCCCUCAUCUCCUACUCGGACUCCCACGUCCACUCUGAACCCUUUCGGUGCUGCCACAACACCUUCACUAGCUGAACCACCUUGUUCCUCAAGGUCUUCGUCUUCCAAUCUAUGAUCGCAACUGGUCUCUCGAUAUAAUUCAGGCUGCUAUCAACCUGAAUAUCCUCCAAGGGUACAACUGCUGACUUGUCCACCAAACACUUUCGCAACUGGGAAACAUAGAAAGUGUUGUGGAUCUGGCUAAGCUCUACCGGAAGAUCCAACCGAUAAGCAACCCGACCCACCCGGACCAAAACCCUAAAAGGGCCAAUGAACCUGGGACCCAGCUUGCCUCUCUUCCGAAACUUGAUAACACCCUUCCAAGGUGAUACCUUCAGGAGGACCAUAUCGCCCACCUGAAACUCCAAGUCCGAACGCCUCUUGUCGGUGUAACUCUUCUGCCUACUCUGUGCAGUCUGCAGUCUACUACGAACCUGCUGGAUCAACUCUGUGGUCUUGAGCACCAUUUCAGUGCUCCCAAUGACUCACUGACCAACCUCGCCCCAACAAAUCGGAGUCCUGCACUUCCUUCCGUAUAGCAUCUCGAAAGGAGGACGUUUAAUACUAGUGUGGUAACUAUUGUUAUACGGAAAUUCCGCUAGUGGGAGAUACGUAUCCCAACUACCACCGAAGUCUAGAACACAUGCCCGGAGUAUGUCCUCGAGAGUCUGAAUUGUCCUCUCACUCUGCCCGUCCGUCUGGGGGUGGAAGGCGGUGCUAAAAUGAAGACGAGUCCCCAUCUCGUCAUGAAACUGCUUCCAAAAUCUGGAAGUAAAACGGACGUCUCGGUCUGACACUACCGAAACAGGCACUCCGUGCUGUGCUACUACCUCGCGUACAUAGAUGUGGGCUAGCUUCUUAGCCGAUAUGCUCUCCUAGAUCGGUAUAAAAUGUGCGCUCUUGGUCAGCCGAUCCAUUAUGACCCAAAUCGAAUCCACUCCCCGUGCGGUCCUGGGAAGCUUGGUGACAAAAUCCAUGGUAAUGUCCUCCCAUUUCCAUAUGGGAAUAUCUAACGGCAGCAUCUUGCCGUGGGGUCUCUGGUGCUCUGCCUUGACCUUCCUGCAGGUCAGGCAUCUCCCCACAUUCCAGGCGACAUCCUGCUUCAUGCAGGGCCACCAAUAGUCGGGUCGAAGAUCUCUGUAGAUCUUCGUUGCCCCUGGGUGGAUGGAAAAUCAAGAAUUAUGAGCCUCGUCCAUCAAUACCUGCCAUACUCCGCCCCAGUACAGUACCCAAACCCUCCCAUGGAGGGUCAACAAUCGUUAACUGUCAUAAUCAAAGGAAGCUACUCGGUCCACGAUUCUCUCACACUUCUGCCUCUCCUCCUUGAGGCCCUCGACGUGUGCCUCCCUGAUCUGCUCCAACAAGGGAGUAAUCACUGUCAUCCUCAAGCAUACAUCCCUGAUCGGGGCCGCUGCCGUCUUGUGGCUCAGGGCGUCGGCCACUACGUUGGCCUUCCCCGGGUGAUAAAGGAUCUCACAGUCGUAAUCCUUCACCACAUCUAACCACCGACGCUGCCGCAUGUUAAGAUUCGGCUGGUCCAUGAGGUACUUCAGACUCUUGUGAUCCGUGUAGAUGGUGCAACGGACCCCAUAGAGGUAGUGUCUCCAAAUCUUGAGGGCGAACACCACUGCCCCCAACUCCAAAUCAUGCAUCGGAUAGUUAGCCUCGUGAGACUUCAACUGUCUGGAGGCAUAAGCUAUCACAUGCCCCCGUUGCAUCAACACUGCCCCCAUAUCUGCGAUCGAGGCAUCACAGUAGACUACAAAAUCAUCCACUCUCUCCGGCAAGGUCAGAAUCGGUGCCUCGCACAAUCGCUGUCUGAGAGUCUCGAAAGUCGCCUGCUGCUCAGGCCCCUAACGAAACACCACCGACUUCUUGGUUAGUCGGGUGAGUGGAACUGCUAUCUUGGAGAAAUACUGAAUGAAUCUCCUGUAGUACCCUGCCAAACCUAGGAAGCUCUGAAUCUAUGAUGGAGACUUUGGGACCUCCCACUGCAUCAUGGCCUCUAUCUUGGCCGGAUCUACCAGUAUACCCUUCUGGUUGAUGAGGUGCCUAAGGAAUUGCACCUCGCGCAACUAGAACUCGCACUUGGAGAACUUUGCUAAAAGUUUCUCCCUCCUCAAGACCUCUAGCACCUCCCUUAGGUGCUCCUCGUGCUGCUCCUGAGUCUUGGAAUAAACCAAGAUGUCAUCGAUGAAUACAAUCACAGACCGGUCCAACAUCGGCAUGCACACGCGGUUCAUGAGUUCCAUGAACGCGGAUGGAGCGUUGGUGAGCCCAAACGACAUCACCACAAACUCAUAAUGACCAUAACGGGUCCUAAAAGUUGUCUUCUGAACAUCCUCACCCCUGACCCGCAUCUGAUGAUAACCGGAGCGCAAAUCAAUCUUGGAAAACCAAGACGCUCCUUGAAGCUAAUCGAACAAGGCAUCUAUCCUCGGAAGUGGGUAACGGUUAUUCACCGUUACCUUGUUCAACUCCCAGUAGUCUAUGCACAUACGGUGCGACCCAUCCUUCUUCUUCACAAACAAGAUUGGGGCUCCCCAUGGAGAACUAAUUAGUCUAAUGAAACCCUUGUCUAGCAGCUCCUGCAGCUGCGUAUACAACUCCUGCAUUUCUGGAGGAGCCAACCGAUACGGCGCCUUGGCUAUCGGAGCCGCACCAGGAACCAAGUCAAUCUUGAACUCAACCUGUCUCUCUGAAGGUAUCCCAGGUAAUUCCUCUGGGAAUGAGUCCGGGUACUCUCGCACCACUGCUACAUCAUCUACUGUCAUCGUACUCUUAUCCCGGGUAUCCAUCACAUAUGUGACAUAACCUGCUUAACCCUGUUGGAAGUAGCGCCUCACUCUCACUGCUGAACAAAGAAUCGGUCCGCGUUGUGGGCUCUCGCCCUGAAUCACUAACUCUCCCCCGUUGGGAGUGCGAACCCUCACUAGCUGCAAUUCGCAAUCAAUCAUCGCCCCAUUGGGGCUCAACCAAUCCAUGCUUACUAUGGCCUUGUUCCCUCGCAAAGGAAUAGGGACCAUGUCCACCGAAAACUGCUCAUCGAAUAACUGCAGUGAGCAUGCCUUAUGCACCCUCGUGACCCUGACGGUCCUAUCAUCGGCUAUCUCCACCUCGAGUGGACAAUCCAGCUCCCUAGGAUCUCUGCUAAACCUCUUGCUAAGUGCAAGAGAGACAAACGAUCGGGUAGCCCCUGAAUCAAAUGACACUGUAGCUGAAAUGUCGUUCACUAAGAACGACCCUAUACAUAAACAUAUAACAUUAGAAACAAUCAAUAAUCAAUGCAUAGAUAAAAGGAAAAUACAUACCCGUCACCACGUCAGGAGUCGCUCGCGCCUCCUCUGCUGUUAUCUGAAAAGCUCUACUCUUCGCCACUGGCACCUCGGCCCGCCCCUGACGACCGUUCGUAAUCCUCAAUGUAGCAGGGGCAGGUGCCGACACCUUCCCUGCUGCUGCUAAGCUUGGGCACUGGGACUUUUUAUGUCCCCUCUGAUUGCAAUGGAAGCAAAUCAGAUCUGAUGCUGCGGUAGCUGUGGUAGAAACUGUACAAUCUCUGCUCAUAUGCCUAGUCCAACCGUACUUGUAGCAGCCGGAACUCCCUGCCUUGCACGCCCCAUCGUGUAAUCUCCCACACUUGCCACACCGACUGUGGCUCUGCUGACCUCUGGACCUAUGAUCCGAAACCUUGGGCUUCUUGCCCAAACUCCCUGUACCCGAAGCCGCCUCCGCCUUCCUCUUAUUCUCCAUCUCAAGAUCAAUCUCUCUCUCUCUCUCUCUCUCUCUCGCCCUUGCAAUCAUAUCAUCCAGCAUCUUACAGCUGGAUCGGCUCACAAACUGGCGGAUAUCACUCCGCAGCGUCUCAUGAUAACGGGCCUUCUUCAUUUCCUCGUCAGCUGCGUACUGAGGAACAAGAAGAGCCCUCUCCCUGAACUUGGCGGUAAUCUCCGCCACUGUCUCUAUAGUCUGAGUAAGGUCUUGAAACUCUCUAGCUAACUGUUGCACCUCAAUAGUCGGUGCGAACUCGGCUCUGAACCUGGUGGUAAAAUCAGCCUAAGUCAUAGUAUCAAGUGCUAUGUCAUCCCUGAUACCAUGCCCAACCUCCUCCCACCAGUCACAUGCCCUAUCCUUCAGGAGACAGGAUGCUAAUCUGACCUUGUCCCCUUCGGGACAUCUGCUAGUGCGGAACACGUUGGCAACAUCUGCCAACCACCUAGUGCUCGCAAUGAGGUCCCGCACCCCAUGAUAGCCUGGAGCUCCACAAGCCCGAAACUCCCUGAAGGUGAGUGUGCGCGACCCCAUCAUGGCCGCCAUCUCAGCACGAAAUGUGCUCAACUUCUCAUCCAUCAACUCCAAGAUACCCUCCUUGAUCGAACCGAAGAUCACAGGACUCUGCUCAAGUAUGAUACGGGUAACCUCUGAAGUGAAAAACUCCCUAGUUUGCUCAUCCAACUGCUCGGCCCCCCAGCCUGAUCCUGAUCCUUCCUCGGCACCUGAGCUGCCGACUGCUGGCCUAGGGCGUAAAACCACCAUUCUGAAAACACAUCAUGAUAAACGUCAAAAACACUGAUAUAUCUCUAGGGAUCGCUACUACUAUAGGUUUCCUGGUCUCGCCUCUGCCUUCCUUGAUUCAAGUACAAAUCCUCAACAAAAACCAGUCCUCAACUGCUGAAGGCCUCCUUGUAAUGCCAAUUAGUCAUCACCUGAAUAUCAUCACAUGUGACGAGACUCAGAUAAUCCUUCGAGUAAAAGACUCAUUCCUACAACGGAUGGACUCAAACAAGAGCUGCGCAGUAGAGCCAAAUCCAGCACUCUGAGAUUAUUCAACCCUGAUCUCAGGCGAUGUGUCGUAUUCACCUAAUGGUUAACUCUCAUUACCCGGAGUCUCAUAAAGCACAAAGCAAGCAGCAUUCGGACACAGGAAACUAAUCAAGCCACUCUAUUCUCAUAACAAGAAAUUGUACUAGCAUACAAUGUUAAGCUCGUACUGUCAGGCAUAACCUAAACAGGCUAUCCUACUGCUGUCUACUCAAUACUAGCAUGCAGUUCUCAUAAAGCUGAAGCACAUAUAGCAUGCACAUAAGGCAUCCUGCUAGAUCCUUAGUCCUAUUCUAGCAUGCUGUUCUACUGAAACUAAAACUGAUAAUCAUAACAUAAACUUGUAUGGGUAAUUUAGGGGUACUUACUUGAGCUCGACUGAUCGCAUGCACCACACCCUUUUCUCGUUUUCAAAACUCUUUUCUUUUUAAGUCUCUUUCUCAAAAGUUCUUUUGAACACAUUUUUCUUUCGAAAAUCUUUUUUCUAUUUCCUCAGUUUGAGUUCAGUUACACCCGUAAGUGUGUCUGAAUCCCUCAAACCAAGGCUCAGAUACCAACUUGAAAUAACCCAAAAUACAACCCAAUUUUUUUUUGUUAAAAAAAUACUAAAGAUAUCAACCAUCAUAAUAUAUCAUGAAAUCGUACGUCAUAAAUCCCCAAAAAGUUAUAAUAGAUGUGUCAUGACAAAAGAGUUGUAUCAACAUAACAUAGUAUCUAAAAUAAACUCCCAUGACAAAAGCUGAAACUGUGGUGUGUGCAAUGCCGUCAUCCCGAGCUCUUCCCUUUGCUUGCGGAAGUACCUGAAACCAAAACUGAAACUGUAAGCACAAAGCUUAGUGAGCUCCCCCAAACUACCACAUACCAUACAAUCAUAUAAAACACAUAUUGGGCCUUGCCCACUGCAUCGGACCGAAGUCUAGAAAAUGCAUCGGACCGAAGUCCGGAACUAACCAGGGCCUUGCCCUCUGCAUCGGACCAAAGUCCAGAACUGCAUCGGACCGAAGUCUGGAAACUAACCAGGGCCUCGCCCUCUGCAUCGGACCGAAGUUCGGAACUAACUGCAUCCAACCGAAGUCCGGAAUUGUCUGAACAUAACAUAUCAUAAACAUCUCAACUAGCAUGAACACAUAAACUGCAUACCGCAUCGGACCGAAGUCCGAAACACAUAACACAAAUACAUGCUUGAAUCACAAAGACAUCAAGCAUUCUAACUACUGCAACGGACAGAGGUCCGGAACUUCUGCUAACUAAACGGGCCGGCAUUGUGGCCGUAGACCCGUUCCUACUGGAAGGAAAACUCACCUCGUAAUGUUGGCUGCUGAGAUGCAAACUCUAAAAGUGGCUGACCGCUGCUCCGGAACUGUCCGACUACAAAUCCCAGAAACACUAGAUUAGUUACUUGCAUAUACCCUCAGGGUAAGAUGACUAUUUUGCCCCCGGUCAAAGUCAACUUCUAGUUGACCGGACUCACCGAGUCAGGGCGCAGACUCGCCGAGUCCCUCCUUUACUAACUCUGACUUUAAUUCACAGAGUCCCUUUCCCACUCACUGACUCUCUCUGAACUCGUAGGUCGAAGAAAAAAGGGGACUCACGACUCGACUCGUCGAGUCUGAAGAACAACUCGCCGAGUCCUGCCGUGCAUAUUCCAAACAAACGAAUUCAAAACUAUUCCAGAGCAUCUGACUUGAAGAUCUGAGCCCUUGGAACUAUCUAAACACGUGAAGUUUCUAACUUUACGUGCAACUAAGAAGGAAUGAAGCUAUUUCACUCAAACACUACUUUUCUUGGGAAAACUCAUCCGACUCGCCGAGUUGUAUGAACAACUCGUCGAGUCUAAGGCGAUCUUCAUCAGACUCGCCGAGUUGCUCAUCCAACUCGUCAAGUCUACGGCUAUCUUCAUAUGACUCUCUGAGUCACGCAUGCGACUCGCCGAGUCCAUUUAGUCCCUUUUUCCAUACAGACCUGAUUUGGGCCAUGCAUUGGCUCCAAAUCACAGAUCUAAGCUUCUAGGGCAUUCUUAUCACGUAAAUUUGCAAACUUUACGUGCAUGCAUGGCUUUAAAGGCUUCAAAUGCUAACCCUAAGCUCUUAAUGGGGCUCCAAGCUCAAGAGAGACCUCAAUCAUGACCAUAACAGAAACUUUACUCUUCUAGAAUGCAAUAAGAGUCCAGAUCUAAUGUUUCCAUAAAAAGGGGAAGUCCAUCUCUCAAGUUUGAACCAUAAGAGGCUCCAAAGAGGGCAUAACAAGCAUAAAGGAGGUUAUAAUGGGGGAAUGCACAAGUUCAUAACUUCAUUACCUGAAUGAAAAAUAGAUGUAAGCUAACUCCUGGAUCUUCCUUCCCUUUUAUGGACCUUCCUUCCUUCCCAAUGCUUCCAUGCUAUCACAAAUACCCUCAAACUCAACAAUGGGGCUAGGGUUUACAGGGGAAAUGUUCUGAGAGUGAUAGAGGCGAGGUUGGGGGCGCAUAAGUGUGUUUAAAUAGGGUGCAAACCCUUAAAAUUAGGGCUUCAUCCAGACAGGCGGACUUGCCGAGUCCAGCGUAUGGACUCGUCGAGUAGCCAGCUCAAAACGUGUGAUUGUCUCGUCUCUACUCGACGAUUCGGGCUACAGACUCAUCGAGUACCCCUUAAUAAAUGAAAAUACUUUAUUUGAAUUACAUACCAAAAAUGGGGCAUUACAUAAUGCUUAGCCCAGAAACACGGACGUUACACUUCUCUCCUCCUUAGGAUGAUGCCAUCCCCAGAAUCAUACAUCAACAAACUAAUGCGGAUAGCGACUCAUCAUGUCACUCUCCAUUUCCUAGGUGAGAUUUGACUCAUUCGUAUGUUUCCGUCGCACAAGUAGUAAGUCAACCAUCUUGUGACGCAACUUCUUCGUCUUAUGGUCAACAAUCGCCUCCGGUUCUUCAACUAGCCUCUUAUUUUCAUCCAUCCUUAGCUCAUAAAUUAGAAUUAUGUCAGGAACUUCUCCCAUGAAUUUCCUCAAAUAACUCACAUGGAAAGUGUUAUGAAUAAUGUCUAGUUCUUCUGGUAGUUCUAGCUUGUAGGCUUGGUUCCCAAUCCUCUGAAGAACUUUGAACGGUCCAAUGAAUCUUGGACUUAACUUCCCUUUUUCCCGAAUCUUAUAAGUUCCUUGUAGCACCUGGUUCCUGGUAUGUAAUUUAUUUAAAUAUUUUGCAUUUUUGGCCUUGGACUCGGCAAGUUGAAGGACCAACUUGCCGAGUAGAAGCGGGAUGGGACGUGGGAUUUAAGUGAUGGACACGUCGAGUCGGGUCCCGGACUCGACGAGUAGGCUCUGACUGAAAAACCCUAAUCCGAGGGUUUGCACCCUAUUUAAUCAUCUCAUUUUCCCCUAAUGCUCCCAGAAACCCUCCCUAGUAAACCCUAAGUGUUUUGGUGCAAGAUCUAAGGCUUUUGAGUGAUUUUUGUGGGUUUUGACCUCAAGGAAUAAGGAAGAGCAUAGAAGGAUCAAGAGGAGACUGAAGGAUUAGAGUUUGGUGCAUCAUUUUCAGUCCUUGAAAGGUAUAAAUUAUGUACCUUGCUUGUUCAUUUGUUAGAUCCUUUUUUGGGGAAGAUUUAGGGCUUCUUAAGUCAUAUGAGGUGGCCAAACAUGGUUGGGGGUCAAGACUUCGGAUCUAAGUCUUGGAAGGAGUCCCAAAGCAGAUUUGGGUUGCUUUUGCACCCAAGGAAGGUCCCAUGCAACAUAAGAGCCAUUUUAGAGCCUUUUUGGGUCAAAAGUCCCAUGCAUGCACGUAAAGUUCGAAACUUUACGUUCUAGAUCGAGCUUAGGGCUUGGAUCUAUCUUUUUGUCAAAGGUUGUACAUCAGAAAUCGAGGAUUUAGGGUGUGGAUGUUAUCGAAUCGGCGAGUCAGUUCUUGGGACACGACGAGUCCAAAGCAUAGGGUCUGUUAUCUGUUGAGGGUCAAAAGAACCCAGUUGGGUGUUAGAAGGGUUGUAGAAGGUCCGAGAGAGUGACCCAACGUGUUGGACUUAGCCUUAGACUUGGAAUUCAUGGGACUCGUCGAGUGCUAGAACAGACUCGGCGAGUCCAAGGCAAUCUCCUUAUCGAUGAAGAUGAACUCGACGAGUUGUUCAUACAACUCGGCGAGUCGGGGUCAGGACUUGUUCAUCAGAUGAAGGUGAACUCGACAAGUGUUCAUCCGACUCGGCGAGUCGGAUGAAGGUUCAUUGAUGUUCGUAAAGAAAGGGAACUCGUCGACUUGUUGCCAAACUCGACGAGACGAGUCGUGGAUAAGGACGAGUAAAGGAAAGGGACUCGACGAGUUNAACUCGGGGAGUCGGGUCAACUGGAAGUUGACUUUGACUUGGACUUGGUUGGGGGUAAAAUAGUCAUUUUACCCCAAGAGUAGAUAUUAGUUUUCUGACUGAGUAUUUUGUGGGGAUUAUAGCCGGAGGAUUUCCGAAGCAACAGCAGGCAGAGGUUUCCUGCACAUAUUAUCAGCAGCUACUUGUUCGAGGUGGGUUGCCUACCAGUAGCGGUGGGUCUACGACCACAAUGUCGGCCCACCAAUAGGAGUUGUAUAAUUAUAUGAUUGUCUUUGUGAUAUCAUCUAGGUUGCUUCUACCUGAUAUGUUAUAUGCUGGCAUGAUAUGUUAUAUGUGAUAGUAGUAGAGUUCGGUUGUUAGGACCGAAGGGUAGGUCAAACACCCCAGAUAUGUAUGACAGUAUGUGAUGAUAUGUUUAUAUGCCGACAUGACAUGUUAUAUGGGAUAGUGGUAGUAGGAGGGGAACAGUCCCCAAGUUCGGUUGUUAGAACCGAAGGGUAGUUCAGACACCCCAGAUAUGUCUGAUAGUAUGUUUAUGUUAUGAUAUAUGUGAUAGUAGUGGUACGUGUGGAAUAGUCCCCGAGGGUCGGUCUUUAGGACUGACGGGUAGGUCAGCACCCCAAAAAGACUUGACAGGGGUAGGACGACACCCCAGAAUGGCCGCACGGGUAGGUCGGCACCCCAGAAUGGCCGUACCGGGUAGGCCGGGCACCCUAGAAUUGCCUGGCAGUAUGUAUGCUAUGUGAUUGUAUGGUAUGUGGUACGAUGGGGGAACUUACUAAGCUUCCUGCUUACAGUUUACAGUUUUGGUUUCAGGUACCUCUUCAACAAAGGGGAAGGAGCUGGCGCGGUAGCGGCACAUCAUACACACAUGUUGGUUUCCGCACUAGUGUUUCUUGGGUCGUUACAAGUUGGUAUCAAAGCCCUGAUCUGAGGGAUUCGGACACACCUUGGGGGUGUCUGGACUCAAAUCGAGGGAUUAAAAGACUUUUACAAGAAAAAUGGUUUCUUAAAAGCUAAGAUAAAAGAGUUUUGGGAAAGAACAAAGUGUGUGAUGUGCGCGACCGGCCGAGCUCAAGUAAGUAUUCCCCAAAGUACCCAUACAAGUUUAUGUUAUGUUUAUCAGUUUCAGUAGAAUAGCAUGCUAGAAUAGGACUGAAGAUCUAGGAAUGAUGGCUUAUGUGUCUGCUUUAUGUGCUCCAGCUUAUGAGAAUUGCAUGCUAGUAUUAAGUAGAAAAUAAUAGGAUAGUCUGUUUAGGUUAUGCCUGGUAUUAUGAGCUCAGCAUUGUAUGAUGGUACAACUUCUCGUUAGGAGAAUAGAGUUGUUUGAGUAGUUUCCUGUGUCCGAAUGAUGCUUGCUCAGUGCUUGUAGGACUCUGAAUGAUGGCCGUUAGCCAUUAGGUGAGUACGUCGCGUCGCAUGUCAUUAGGAUUGAAUAAUCUCAGAGUGCUGGAUUUGGCCCUAUUGCGCGGCUCUCGUUUGAGUCUAACCGUUGUAGGGACGAGUCUUUUACUUGAAGGAUUAUCUGAGCCUUGUUACAUGUGAUGGUAUUUAGGUGAUGGCUAAUUGAUAUCACAAGGAGGCCUUCAACAGCCGAGGACCGGUUUGGGUAGAGUCAGAGAUUUUCCCUAGGGUAAGCCUACGAUGAGAGUAGCAGAGAUCAGCAGUGGAAAAAGGGACUUGGUGGAGUCGAGGCCGUCCUUGAGGAAAGUACGGAUAGAUAUGGAAGGUAGUAUGGGCCCGUACUACAGAAAGCAGAGGAUCCGUACUCGAAUUAAGGAAGGCUAAGGCAAGACCAAGGAACUUGUGAUGGGUGUGAUCCCUAUAGAUGUACUAGUAUCACUGACGGAUGUCAUGAUGUAUUGCGGAAUGGUGGUACUAAGGCCAAGGCCAGCAGUGGGUAGCUCAGGAGAGGGAUCGGGUUCGGGUUCAGGCUCCGAACCAGUGGACGAGAGGCUACGCGAGUUCAUCGCGUCUAAGAUCACUAUAGGCAUCCUUGAUGCGACCCCGAUCAUCUUUGGGUCGAUCAAGGAAGGGAUUGUUGAGCUGAUGGAGGAUCGCCUUAGGGCGCUCAGGAGUGACAUGGCGACCAGCCAGUCAGGAUCCCGCAUACUAUCCUUUAAGGACUUCAGGGGCAGUGGCGCGCCGGACUUCCACGGGGAAAAGGACCCCAUUUCUGCUAGACGAUGGAUUGCGGACAUGGAGUCUGCACAGCUGACAAGCUUCUGCCCCGAGGGGCCGAAGGUGAGAUAUGCAGCAGGGUGUUUGAGAGACAGAGCUAGAGAUUAGUGGGAGUCUGUUGUUGACUCCUUGGGAGCCUCGGCUGUUGAGGCUAUGACCUGGUUAGACUUUGUGACCAGAUUCAGGGCGGAGUUUGCGCCAGCUGUAGAGCUUCAGCAGCUGGCCAGAGAGUUUUUGGAUAUGAGACAGACUACGGAGACUGUGGCGGAGAUCACCGCCAACUUCUGGGAGAGGGCAUUGCUUGUGCCCCAGUAUGCGGGAGAUGAGGACAUGAGGAUGACCCGCUAUCAUGACAUGCAGCGAGCCGAAAUUCGGGAGCAUGUUAGUUUUUCAGCUUGCCCUACCCUAGAUUCCAUGAUUUCCAGAUCAAGGGAGAGGGAGAUCGAUCUAGAACAUGUCCAGAAGAGGAAGGUAGAGGAGGGGCAGACGAUUGGGGCUUCGGAGAAGAAGCCUAAGGGAUCAGAUGGUAGGCCGAAAGGCCAGUCAGGACCAGGCCACUGCAGGAAAUGCGGCAGGCCACAUGAGGGGGCGUGUAGAUUGGGAUUGUCGGGCUGCUACAAGUUCGACAAGACGGGGCAAUUCAGCAGAGAUUGUACCGCCCCUACACCAGUUAUUCAGACGUCUGAGUUGCUGUGUUUUCAAUGCAACCAGAGGGGCCACAAGAAAGACAACUGCCCCCAGUUAACAGCAGCAACAGUGCCAGUGAAGGCGCCAGGUCUAGCGACCCUGCGAAUUACUGAUGACUGGAAGGCCAAGGCUGAGGCUCCAGUGGUGAGGAGUCGGGCCUUCCAGUUGACUACCGAGGAGGCACGCGCUGCACCCGAUGUGGUAACAGGUAUGACUUCUUGUUUAUGCUUUUAUGAUAUGCUGCUGUGAUUUUGAUAUGUUAUGUAUGUGCUCUGUUUAGGAUCGUUCCAUGUGAACGGUAUCCCAGUUCAAGUAUUGUUUGAUUCGGGUGCUACCCGAUCAUUUGUCUCUCUUGCGCUUAGCAAGAAGUUUCCUGAGUCUUCGGGCAUGUUGGAUUGCCCUUUAGAGGUUGAGAUUGUAGACGACAGGUCGGUACGAGCAUUAGAGGUCUUCCGAGAUUGUGUUUUGAGGUUGUUCGAGGAGCGUUACAUGGUAGACUUGAUUCCCAUACCCUUGCGGGGGAACAAGGUUAUUAUCGACAUGGAUUGGUGGAGCCCCAAUAGGGCGGUGAUAGAUUGCGCACAAUAGUUGGUGCGAGUCAGGACCCCAGGAGGGGGAGAUUUAGUGAUUUAGGGUGAGAGCCACAGCGAGGGCCAACCUUAUGUUCGGCAACGAGGACAAGGCGUUACCUUCAGCAGGGUUGCGCCGGAUAUGUCGCUUAUGUCAUGGACACCCGGGAGGAGGGAAAGGCGACAGUGGGCAAUGUGCCUGUGGUACGAGAGUUUGCGGACGUAUUCCCCGAGGAGUUGCCUGGGAUACCUCUGGAACGAUAGGUGGAGUUUAGGAUCGACCUAGUCCUUGGUGCGGCUCCGAUAGCCAAGGCACCGUAUCGGUUGGCUCCUCUUGAGAUGCAGGAGUUGUCUACACAGCCGCAGAAAGUAUUAGACAAGUGAUUCAUUAGACCUAGUAGUUCUCCCUGGGGAGCCCCGAUUCUGUUUGUGAAGAAGAAGGACGGGUCGCAUCGGAUGUGUAUAGAUUAUCGGGAGCUGAAUAAGUUAACGGUGAAGAACCGUUACCCACUCCCGAGGAUUGAUGACCUCUUUGACCAGCUACAGGGAGCAUCUUGGUUCUCCAAGAUUGAUCUGCGUUCAGGGUAUCAUAAGAUGAGGGUCAGAGAGGGGGAUGUACAGAAGAUAGCGUUCCGGACGCGCUAUGGCCAAUAUGAGUUCGUGGUGAUGCCUUUCGGGCUCACCAAUGCUCUUGCCGCAUUCAUGGAUCUCAUGAACCACGUGUGCAGACCAAUGUUGGAUCGGUCCGUGAUAGUUUUCAUCGAUGAUAUCUUGGUUUACUCCAAGACACAGGAGGAGCACGAGGAGUAUCUGCAAGAGGUUCUAGAGACUUUGAGAAGGGAGAACUUGUAUGUUAAGUUCUCCAAGUGUGAGUUCUGGUUGCGCGAGGUGCAAUUUCUCAGACACCUUGUCAACCAGAACGGGAUAUCGGUGGACUCGGCCAAAGUGGAGGCCGUGAUGAGAUGGGAGGUUCCAAGGUCUCCAUCCGAGAUUCAGAGUUUCCUAGGAUUAGUCGGCUACUAUCGGAGAUUCAUCCAUGAUUUCUCCAAGAUAGUCAUACCCCUGACCAGGCUAACGAGGAAAGUCGUGGUUUUUCGUUGGGGGCCUGAGCAGCAGGCCGCAUUCGAGACAUUGAGACAGAGAUUGUGUGAGGCACCAAUCUUAGCCCUAUCGGAGGGCAUAGAGAAUUUUGUUGUGUACUAUGACACGCCCAUUUCAGGUUUGGGCGCGGUACUGAUGCAGAGAGGGCAUGUCAUUGCCUACGCUUCGAGGCAGCUGAAGCUUCACGAGGCGAACUACCCGACGCAUGAUUUGGAGCUGGGGGCUGUUGUGUUCGCCCUUAAGAUUUGGCGUCAUUACCUCAAUAGGGUUCGCUAUACUAUCUACAUAAACCACAAGAGUUUGAUGUACCUCAUGGAUCAGCCGAAUCUAAACAUGAGGCAGCGUCGGUGGUUAGACGUGGUGAAGGAUUACGAUUACGAAAUCCUUUACCACCCGGGGAAGGCCAAUGUGGUGGCCGACGCACUUAGCCGCAAGGCAGCGCCGAUCAGGGAUAUUUGUCUGAGGAUGAUAGUGGUGACCCCGCUGUUGGAGCGGAUUCGGGAGGCCCAACGGGAGGCCAUGAAGGAGGAACAUCGGAAGAGCGAGCGGAUUGUGGGGCAAGUUUCCUCCUUCGAUUAUGAUAGCCGAGAGCUGUUGACACUACACCGUAGGGUGUGGGUGCCGUACCACGGGGGUGUACGCCAGGUUCUGAUGAAGGAGGCGCACAAAUCUCGAUUCUCCAUUCAUCCCGGGGCGACGAAGAUGUACAAGGACCUUCUUUUGGACUAUUGGUGGCCCUGCAUGAAGCUGGAUGUAGCAUGGUAUGUGGAGUGGUGCUUGACCUGUAGGAAGGUCAAGGCCAAGCACCAGAGGCCACAUGGAAAGAUGCAGCCGUUGGAUAUCCUGCUGUGGAAAUGGGAAGACAUUACGAUGGAUUUUAUCAUAAAGCUUCCUAGGAUCGCUCGGGGAGUGGAUUCGAUAUGGGUCAUCGUCGAUCGAUUAACCAAAGAGCGCCCAUUUUAUUCCGAUCCAGGAGGGAAUUUUGGCCGAAAAGUUGGCCAACAUCUAUAUCAGGGAGGUGGUGGUGCGGCACAGGGUGCCGGUAUCGGUGAUUUCAGACAGGGACGUGCGGUUCACUUCCAGGUUUUGGAGGAAGUUUCAUGACGAGCUGGGUACUCGUCUGUAUUUUAGCACCGCCUUUCACCCACAGACGGAUGGUCAGAGCGAUCGGACCAUCUAGACAUUAGAGGAUAUGCUGCGAGCAUGUGUUUUAGACUUCGGAGGUAGCUGGGAUACCUACCUUCUGUUGGCGGAAUUCUCGUAUAAUAAUAGCUAUCAUACGAGUAUUAACCGUCCUCCCUUCAAGAUGUUAUACGGGAGGAAGUGCAGAACCCCAAUAUGUUCGGGUGAGGUUGGCCAGAGGGUCAUGAGGAGCAUCGAGGUGGUGCUCAAGAUGACAGAGAGGAUUCAGCAGGUCCGGAGCAGACUUCAGACUGCUCAGAGUCGGCAUAAAAGUAAUCUUGAUAAGCGCCGAUCAGACCUGGAGUUCCAGCUCAAGGAUAUGGUUCUCCUAAAGCUGUCGCCAUGGAAGGGCGUCAUCCGAUUUAGGAAACAGGACAAGUUGGGCGCCACGUACAUUGGACCGUUCAGAUUCUUAGCCCGGGUGGGCAAGGUAGCAUACAGGUUGGAUCUGCCAGCCGAACUCAGCCAGAUCCACAACACUUUCCACGUCUCCCAGCUGCAGAAGUUUCUGGUGGACGACUCAGCAGCGGUACCCUUAAAAGAUAUUCAGGUCGAUGACAGCUUGAAUUACAUUGAGCGGCCAGUAGCGAUCCUCAACCGGAAGUCGAAGGAACUGAGGAACAAGAGGGUUGAACUAGUGAAGGUGCAAUGGCAACAUCGGAAGGGCUCAGAAUGGACUUGGGAGCCAGGGGAGGAGAUGAUCGAGCAUUACCCAGAGUUGUUCCAGGAACGAACAGCAGACUUCGAGGACGAAGUCUAAAAUAAGUGGGGGAGAUUUGUAGCACCUGGUUCCUGGUAUGUAAUUUAUUUAAAUAUUUUGCAUUUUUGGCCUUGGACUCGGCGAGUUCAAGGACCAACUCACCAAGUAGAAGCGGGAUGGGACGCGAGAUUUAAGUUAUGGACUCAUCGAGUCAGGUCCUGGACUCGACGAGUAGGCUCUGACUGGACAAAAACCCUAAUCUGAGGGUUUGCACCCUAUUUAAUCAUCUCAUUCAGCCACCACUCUACCCUAAUGCUCCCAGAAACCCUCCCUAGUAAACCCUAAGUGUUUUGGUGCAAGAUCUAAGGCUUUUUGAGUGAUUUUUGUGGGUUUUGACCUCAAGGAAGAAGGAAGAGCAUAGAAGGAUCAAGAGGAGACUGAACAAUUCGAGUUUGGUGCAUCAUUUUCUGUCCUUGAAAGGUAUAAAGUCUGUACCUUGCUUGUUCAUUUGUUAGAUCCCUUUUUGGGGAAGAUUUAGGGUUUUUUAAGUCAUAUGAGGUGGCCAACCAUGAUUGCAAACAUGGUUGGGGGUCAAGACUUCGGAUCUAAGUCUUGGAAGGAGUCCCAAAGCAUAUUUGGGUUGCUUUUGCACCCAAGGAAGGUCCCAUGCAACAUAAGAGCCAUUUAGAGCCUUUUUGGGUCAAAAGUCCCAUGCAUGCACAUAAAGUUCGAAACUUUAUGUGCUAGAUCGAGCUUAGGGCUUGGAUCUAUCUUUUUGUCAAUGGUUGUACAUCAGAAAUCAAGGAUUUAGGGUGUGGACGUUAUCGACUCGGCGAUUCCGUUCUUGGGACUCGACAAUUCCAAGGCAUAGAGUCCGUUAUCUGUUGAGGGUCAAAAGAACCCAGUUGGGUGUUAGAAGGGUUGUAGAAGGUCCGAGGGAGUAACCCAACGUGUUGGACUUAGCCUUAGACUCGGAAUUCAUGGGACUCGUCGAGUGCUAGAAUAGACUCGGCGAGUCCAAUGCAAUCUCCUUAUGGAUGAAGAUGAACUCGACGAGUUGUUUAUACAACUCGACGAGUCGGGGUCAGGACUUGUUCAUCAGAUGAAGGUGAACUCGACAAGUGUUCAUCCAACUUGGCAAGUCGGAUGAAAGUUCAUUGAUGUUCGUAAAGAAGGGGAACUCGUCGACUCGUUGCCAAACUCGACGAGUCGAGUCGUGGAUAAGGACGAGUAAAGGAAAGGGACUCGACAAGUAGAUGACCCAACUCGGUGAGUUGGGUCAACUGGAAGUUGACUUUGACUUGGACUUGGUUGGGGGUAAAAUAGUCAUUUUACCUCAAGAGUAGAUAUCAGUUUCUGACUGAGUGUUUUGUGGGGAUUAUAGCCGGAGGAUUUCCGGUGCAGCAGCAGGCAGAGGUUUUCCAAACAGAUUAUUAGCAACUACUUGUUCGAGGUGAGUUACCUACCAAUAGCGGUGGGUCUACGGCCACAAUGUCGGCCCACCAAUAGGCACUACUAGAAAAAAGGCGUUUUACGAUGCUCAUUGCGCGUCGUAAAACGCUCAGACAACGCGAAAAUGCGUGUCAAGGAAGGCCCUGUCAUAACGAGAGACGACACGCAUUUACGACACGCAUUUACGACGCUCAUUUACGACACGCAAUGCGUAUCAAGGAAGGCCAUGUCAUAAAGGAUGACGACACGCAUUUGAGUGUCGUAACCUUACGACACGCGUUUAGGACAUGCAUUGUGUAUCAUUAAAGCCCCUGUCAUAAAUGAAGAUGACACGCAUUUGCGUGUCAUAAUCUUCAGCAACCAUUUACGAUAUGCAUUUACGACACGUCUUUACGAUACACAUUUACGCAAAAUACAAAAAUAUGGAAAUAAAUAUAUAACAAAACAAUCAAUUUCAUUCAUUAACAUCAUGUCAAAAAAUUGUAAUACAUAGCGGAAGUAUUUGUUGAGAGCCCAAAAAGUUACAUAAAUCAAUGAAAGUAAAAUUCAUAACUUUUCUAGUUUUCAUAAUCCUAACAAUAGCUGCAUCAACCUGCGAUAUAUUUAUAAAAAAAAUGUGAUUAUAAAUUUAUAAUUACAAAAAAAAAUAAAGCAAAAAAAAAUUGGACCUGAUAUUGACGAUCUUGGGAAACUCUCUCUGUGGUGCUUGCGUUUUCUUCCACAGUUUCCUUCAGCUGGAUAUCAUUCACAUGUACAUGGAAUGGAAUGGAAUAAUGAAAUAAGCAAAGGAAUGGAAUGAGUCAUUCCAUUCCAAUUUCAUAUGAACUUCACAUUAUAAAAAAUUAAUUGAUCUCACCUUUAUACGAUAAAGAGGAGCAGUAAAUACAUCAUUAAACAUGAAGGAAUCAUUGUCAUCCACAUCAGUUUGAACCUAUUCUUUUGUCUCCUUUUCUUCUUUCUCUUUCCCUUGUUCUUUUUUGUCUUGUAUCUUUUCAAGUGGUUGGUACAACAAUAGAGGUAACGGGACAUGUGCCAGUAUUGGGUCCUGAAGAUCUUGUUGCUUUUGUGCUAAGUGUUUUGUGAUUGAGAAGCAAAUGGUCACAAAUUGCAUAUGGGUUCUGGACAUGCAAAUAAACUUAACUAUCGAUCACAUAACAAAAGCAAAUGAAAGUAUGAUGUUAUAAUAAACAAUUCAAAUGCUAAUACCUUUGACAUGUUUGUAUCUACAACAUUUUGGGAGCUUUCGAUGCUUCGAAGAAUUAAAAGUAUUGAAAUAACCUCUUCCUUCUUUAGACUAUUAUGAGGCUUCCCAUCUUCACAAUCACCACCAAUUGCCAACAUAGAAAGAAAUAAAUACAAUUUUCCGGAAAAUAAUAAAAAUUCAUAUAUAUUUUUUUCAUUCAAAGAAUCAAAAUCAACAGGUAUAGUAUGCAUUCAAUUUAUAUUUCAGGAAAAAAAAACUAAUAGUAUACCUACCUGUAUGUGGGUUCAUAGCAAGUUUUCUCUCUUGGAUAAAACAUUAUUUUUUUAUUUUAUUUAUACUAAAUGUUUUUUUUUAUAUUUUGAUAUAAUACAAAUUAAUUUAUGUUUUAGAUAAGCUCUCUUUUACUUNCCUGUCUUUUACUUAUUUACAUUGAAAAUUGACAAAUAGUUCUUUUUCCACAAAAACAGACAAACUAUCUACAAUGAGUUUUUUGCCCUUUGCCACUAUUUAAUCACCUUACCUUAGUUUUACACACAAAAUCCAAUAAUGGAAUAAUGCAUUGAACAUUACACAUUUGCAAAUAAGAUACACAUUAGCAAAAAAUGGUCUUAGCACUAACUUUCACCACCCACCCACCCGAUAACAAAAGAAAAUAUAAUCCGCCCACUCAGUUUCACUUUAUUUGCAAGUAAGUAUAAACAAUAAUAUUGCAGGGUUUUUUUUUCAGUAUGAAUGAGUAUUCAGUCACUAUUCAUCCAUACCUCUUUAAGUAGUUGAUACCAAAUGCUACCAUUAUUCAAUCUCCAUCUAGGGGUAGGGCUAGGUGUUGGUGUUGUUGGAGCAGAAGAAGCAUCAAUGAUAUUGAUAACAAUGAAAGGGGAACUCAAAUCAUCAAGUUCAUCAUCACUUGUGUUUGACUUUCUCAACACUGAUGAUCCAGUGCGACCCAAGUGUUUUAUACAUACAGCCACUCCCUCUCCUCCAACCAAAAUGGUUUUUAUUAUUGAUGAUGCUGAUGGCGGAUCAUAAACAACCGAACCAGCUACACAUGGGACACUGCUCACACAGUCUUCGCCACCCUCUGUAGAAUAUAAAGCCAAAAGAAACCUGUGUUUGUUUACUACUCAAAAUGAAGACAUAAAAGAAGAAAGGAAUAUGCAUUGUAUUGGAAAAAUGAAGACUAAAAACCUCUUAUAUUAUCCAUAUCAAUAAAGCUAUAUUUAUAGCUUCUUAGACACCCACGAUGAAGUAUGAAAACAAUCCAUGCUCUUGACUCCACCUAAUUAGCUUAAGAAUUAACUAUUAUAUAAAACAUAAAACACAAAACAAUAAUAAUUAUCAAAUCUAAAGUUUCAGCCAUGCACGUGAGCUAUGACUAACAAACCGAUUAACCCAACACCUUCCACCCCCAAAUCCUUAGCAUAUAUAAACAAACACCCUCUAAAUGCAUGUUAUUAGACAUACCAAAAUAUCUUUAAUUGGUUGGCUUGUGUGUCCUUCACAUCAACAUAAUUACUUAAUUAAUUAAUUAUACUGAACUCACCUCUGAGUCUAAGGCUUCAAGCACAACUUCAGGAAUAGCAUCUGGACAAAACUCAUCUGGAACAAAACUAUCUAGUAUCCCUUUUAUUAAUGCUACACCAAAACUCAAACAUACCUUCAAAAAAUUUUAAAUAACUUUAGCUUUGUGGAUAACUACACUACUAUAAAAGAAAAAGAGCCCAAUUUUAGAGACCUCUUUUCUGAUUGUGCUAUCUAACAACAUAUCCUUAGGAAGCAUCAUCAGGUCACUUAAUGCAUUCAGGAGAUGAAAAGAUUUGAAUGAUGAAUCAUCAGCAUCUAUAUCAAAUAAAUCAGUCAGCCACCUCGACCAAUUUUCAAUUUGCACAUUGCCAAAUGAACNNNNNNNNNNUAUAUAUAUAUAUAUAUAUAUAUAUAAAGGAUCACUUGCCAUGGGAAUUGGUCGCCUAUGAUUCAGAUCAGAGGCCUGGAAUCGUCAAGGUAGAAAACACAAGUCAAGAAAAAAAAUAAAAUAAGAGACUUUUAGGCAUAAAUGGUAUAUACCCUGUAAUAGGGAUAACAAACUCCUUGAGUGCUUUUUCACUUGUUACUCCAAUUAAUUCGCCAAGACCUUGAGCAUCCUGUUCUCUCAAUUCUGCAGACCUGCUUAUUAGGCCCUGAAGAUAUAUGGGAAGCAAUGGUUGAAGAGCCUUUGGGAGACAUAACCUGGGUAUAACAAUUGGUCCACCCUAUAUGUCCAUCAACAAAUAUUUAAAUAAGAUAAACCUUAAUCACUACUAAAUGCUGAUUAAAAUACACAUAGUUGCCCCUCGAGUUCCAAAACAUUAAAACAACUCUAUUUUGUGCUUAGAUUCCAAAAUAGGACCAAAACAAAAUUCAUACGCAAGUGCUCAAUGGAUGAAAAAACUCAUAUGUACAAAUUCUAAGCCAAAAUACAAGAAUACAUUAGUUCUACAUAAACCCUAUCAACUCGAAAAUAAAAUUUUCUCGUAUAAUAAUUACAUAACCAAAUUAUGUAGUGAAAUCACACAUUAAAGCAAAUGUCUUUGUUAUUGUGAAUUUUGAUACAUCAUAUAUUAUUAUAUUUUUACCUUUAUUAUAGAUUGGUUACCCAACUUUACAUGCAUUUGUUGAGUUUAUUUCUGGAUUUGACAUGCCUUCUGACAUUCACUCAAAGAAGAAAGACAACAUUCUUCUAGAAACUGGGAAACCUUUUCGAUGGCUCUCUUCCAUGAUGAGUUAUCGUUGCCACUAGCUCAUAUCUUCGACCGUAUUUAUUAUAAUUUUUUUUAUAAAUUAAUAAAAAGAUGAAAAUGAUAUAUANNNNNNNNNNNNNNNNNNNNNNNNNUAUAUAUAUAUUAUAUAAAUACAUACCUCUGGUGAUGAUAAAAAAAGGAAAUCACGAUUCAGAGUAAGGUGAAGAGGAAUGUGGAUUGGUUUGAGUAAUUUUGUGCUUCCUUGACUUACAUAGCUAAACCUCAUUAAGUGUAGUAUUAUUAUCUCUGGAAGCUCUAAUAUUUCACUGAUUUACUUGCACAUACUAAUUCACAUAAUAAUAAAAAGAAGUAUACAUUUCCUGCUGAUGAAGCACGAUACCCUUCAAGUGUCUCUGGAGCUGAAAAAAGAUGAAGUGCAUCUUCUAUUGUAUGCAUAGGAUCUGGACAUAUAUUCAAAUGGAGCAAAAGAAAUGGCUGAAUAGUUGCAGAUGCUUUGUUACCUAUUUUUGUUUUACAUUAAAAAUAUAUAAAUGAUGAAUUAAUGAUAUCAUGUUAUUGAGAUGAGUGAAAAAUGUUAAAAGAUUAAAAAAAAAUACCUCUUGCUUUCAUUACACUUUUUAUUUGGCCUUCGAAGAUCUGACUUAAUUUUGAAGGAAUAAAACUUUGUGUUCUUGUGAUUGUAGUUUUGUUCUUUGGUCCAACUGUUUCCCAAAUAUCAUCAUCAUCUUCAUCACUUAAAGAUGAAACCAGUGAAACUUUUCCACCAUUAAAAUUACAAACUUCUCCUUCAAGUUUAAGAAGUUCAUCAUGCAUUUGGUGCAUUACAAAGCUUAAAAACACCUGAGCAUCUUCUUGCCUUUUUAAAAAACAAACUUCAACUCAGCAUCCGAAAUUCCAAACAUAACAUAUAUAAAAUUUGUUGAUUAAUUUUAUAACAUUAACACAAACCUUGGUCUUCCAGAGAAGCUAUUUGGCAUAUCUGGAGAGAAAUUGUUGAGAACAGAUUCAAACAUGAUAGGUCGAAAAGGUUUCCCAGUUUCUAGAAGAAUGUUGUAUUUCUUCUUUGAGUGAAUGUCAGAAGGCAUGUCAAAUCCAGAAAUAAACUCAACAAAUGCAUGUAAAGUUGGGUAACCAAUUUGUAAUAUAGGUAAAAAUAUAAUAAUGUAUGAUGUAUCACAAUUCACGAUAACAAAGACAAUUGAGUCCAACUCCAUCGGCGUUUGCUUUUGAAUGAAUUCCUUGGGAUAAACCUUCCAUAUACGCUCUGCUCCCUUUCCUUUUGGAACAAAACACCAUAGCAAGACUCCAAAUAUGUAAUAAUAAUCGAUCGAUAAAGUUUCUACAUAAGUUGCAGGUGAUCAAAAAUGGCGGAAAUCAGGAAAUGUAAAUUGUACCUUUAGCGAGAUUAGGGUAAAGCCAUCACAAGUUAGAGCCAUCAUCACCUGUGGGAGACCUAGGGGAAGUUGAUCGCCUCUAUCCACCUGCCAAAAAAGUGAAUCGUCUUCCCAUAAGUUUUCGUCACUUUCUCUCGAUCUUGCCGCUCAACCGGACCAAGGACGCCGGGAAGGAAAAGGACGUCCCUCUUCACCUCAUACUCGUGGAUGUGCCACAUUGGCUUUUCUGAAUCCGGCAAGGUGAAGAACAAUUUUUAUGUUACGAUGUUUUCAACUCCGAUUAAAAAAGCCCUAGAAAUUAUCCCAGUGAUUUUGUGAUAUAUGAGUUGUUGAGGUAUACAGCAGAGGUGGUAUCGUGAUUAGGGUUUGCAGAGAAAAGGGGGAAGAAGAGAAUGAAGGGGAUCAAGCGGGGUAUUAAAAAAUUUAAGAUUUUUGAGAGGAUUUCAUUUCCCCCUUUCAAGAAGGCGCGUUUUAGUAAAAAUUAUAAAGCGACAAUCACAGAGGACGCAUAUUUUAGAUAAAGUGCCCUCCGUGUUUUUAUUUUUUUUACAUUCGACACUAAUUUAAGGGCAUGCAAUAAUGCGUGACCUAAAUCCUCAAAUUUUUUGAAGAGACGACACUUUUUUAUUGUCACUCUCGUUUGCGUAACAUAAAUCAAUAAGUGUCGUGAUUUGCACAUCGUAAAAGGGUCUUUUUCUUGUAGUGAGGAGUUGUAUGAUUAGAUGAUUGUCUUUGUGAUAUCAUCUAGGUUGCUGCUACCUGAUAUGUUAUAUGCUGGUAUGAUAUGUUAUUUGUGAUAGUAGUAGAGUUCGGUUGUUUGGACCGAAGGGUAGGUCAGACACCCCAGAUAUGUCUGACAGUAUGUGAUGAUAUGUUUAUAUGCUGGCAUGAUACGUUAUAUGGGAUAGUGGUAGUAGGAGGGGAACAAUCUCCAAGUUCGGUUGUUAGAGCCGAAGGGUAGUUCGGACACCCUAGAUAUGUCUGAUAGUAUGUUUAUGUUAUGAUAUAUGUGAUAGUAGUGGUAGGGGUGGAAUAGUCCAAGAGGGUCGGUUUUUAGGACUGACGGGUAGGUCAGCACCCCAGAAAGGCUUGACACGGGUAGGACGAUACCCCAGAAUGGCCGCAUGGGUAGGUCGGCACCCUAGAAUGGCCGCACGGGUACCUAGAAUGGCCGCACGGGUAGGUCGGCACCCCAGAAUGGCCGUACCGGGUAGGUCAGGCACCCCAGAAUUGCCUGGCAGUAUGUAUGCUAUGUGAUUGUAUGUUAUGUGGCACGAUGGGGGAACUCACUAAGCUUCGUGCUUGCAGUUUACAGUUUUUGUUUCAGGUACCUCUUCAGCAAAGGGGAUGGAGCUGGCGCGGUAGUGGCACAUCAUGAAUGGUUUUCCGCACUAGUGUUUCUUGGUAUUGUACUAUGACAUUAUUCUUAUUUUUGUGAAUGGUUUUCAGACAUGAGAUGUGGUUUUAUGAAAAGUUAUGAUUAGAUGGUGUUUUCUUAUAAAUGUUUUUACAAGUCAAUUUUAAAAAUGAAAUUUUUGGACUUGUAAAUUGGGUCGUUACAUUCCUUCCAUGGUAAGACUUUAAGCAAAACCAAAUCUCCAACUUCGAAUGCCAUCAGUCGUCUUUUCUUGUCAGCAUAGCUCUUUUUACAAUCCUGAGCUGCUAACAUCCUUUCCCUAAUCACUCUUAACUUUUCAACAGUCUGAUGGACUAUCUCGGGGCCCAUAAACUGCCUUUGUUCAACUUCAAGCCAACAUGACGGCGUACGACACUUUUUUCCGUACAAAGCUUAAUAAGGUGCCAUCUUGAUGCUUAAGUGGAAACUAUUAUUGUAGGAAAACUCUACCAGAGGUAAGUGUUCAUCCCAGUUACCUUGGAAUUCUAGGGUACACACUCUUAGCAUUACUAUAGUGUUUGAAUCGUCCUUUUUCUCUAACCAUCGGUCUGUAGAUGGUAGGCUAUACUUAAACACAGCUUCGUACCCAAUUCUUCUUGUAGACUCCUCCAAAACCUUGACGUGAAACGGCUAUCAUGGUGUAACGCCCAUGUUUCUAGGCUAGGCAUUAAUGAUAAUGUAAUAGUCUAGGUUAACCUUUGUAACCCGUCUUGAAAUAAUAAAAAUGUAUUAUUUGAGUAUUAUGUGUUUUGUGCUUAAUUGUGUGACUUAAAUGAAUUAAGGAUAAAAAUAAGCAUCAAAAUGAAAUGUUAGAUAAACUCGAUAUCUAUGAAGGAUGUGGUAGUGGUCGUGGCAAGGUUUCCAAAUAUAUAAAGAAUGCCAAAAUCUGAGUUAUAACGAAAAAGUUAUGAUCUGUCGAAGUUUCGUUACAGAACCGGCACGGCACUGCGUGACGUAAAUAGUGAAUUUACGAUAGAGCGAUAUUUAGUCUUAGUGAUCUAAACAGAAGUUGUAGAAUAAGUUUAACCGAGAGCGUGCAUAAGAAGAACGUCUAAAUUUGACUUCGUAUGAGGAAGUUAUGAUUUUUCGAAGUUUCGAUUUAGCAGUAUGCAACCCAAAUCUCGAAUUACAGAUCGAGUGAUACUUGGCCGAAACAAUCUAAACGGGAAUCGAAGAUCUCGUCGAUAGUAGUCCAAAAGUGAAAAGACAUACGAAAACGGACGUCGGAUGAAGAAGUUAUGAAUUUCUAACGGAGUUUUCCUGUCCGACCUGCUAAAAAUAAUAUAAUAAAAAUAAGUUCAAAAUUAGCCGACGCAGUCUAAACGAAAGUUGUAGAGCAUAGUCUCACCUAUGUGUGGAUAUAAAGAACAUAAAAAAUGGAGCUCGUAUGAGGAAGAUAUGAUAUUAUGAAGUUUUUAAAUAAUUAAAAUAUAUAAAUUUUAUUAUAUAUUCGGAUAAUAUCCGAAUCCAUGACUCAGCCGAUCUGAUCCGAAGAUUACGCCCAACGUACUGCUUGUAGAGGCAUUACGCCCAGCAUAAUCAGGAUUUACGCCCAACGUAAAUCGAGGUUUCAUCCCCUAUAAAUAGAAGUCGUGGGCAGCCGAGUUUUGUUGCUCAUUUCUUCCUCUCUCUCCCGUUUUACCUCGUUUUACGUGCAAGCUUUACCCCCGAAGCCGCGGUAUCAUUCCCGAGACCCGAAGCCCCGGGGAUCCCGAGAAGUAAAGUUUCUGAGCCGAAACUCUGCCCGUGUAAAGCCCGGUUUUGGAGAAAACGUCCUGGUUUUAUCGGAAAAUAUUAUUUUAAUAUAUGAGGUGAUGUCCGAUCAUCUUCUUAUCAAGUGAGUGUAUAUUCCCUUUCUUCUAACACAUAGAUAUGAAGUAUCUACUUUAGAAUAUGUGUUACAUGUGUAUAAAUAUACGUGUAUAUAUAUGUUAUCUGUUUAUUUGGAAUGAGUAUCUUAUUAGUUUUUAAGUUACAUAUGAAUGCAUAUGUAUGUUGUUAUCUACAAAAUGUUGGGUAGAACUUGUGUAGAUAGUUGAUGUGUGAUAAACUGAUGAGAUGCCUCGAUGUGAUUGUGAUCUAGUCAUUCAACAGAAUAUGGGUGACGACCACGGACUCUUUCUAGACUGUCCCGUGGAAUGCUGGCAGGCUCAUAACCUGUAGGUGUUGGUGAACUUGGGUGUUCAUUUGUUGUAUUCUAUCCCCCUCAUGGUUGCCUUAGGACAUUCAUUGUUGAGAAAACCCCUCUGCAGUAGUGUCCGUCCUGAUGAAAAUCCUAGAUUAGGUCCCUUGUAAUAGUUAUUGUCAUAGUGACGUAAAGUGAGGAUAACAGGAAUGGGUAAUCAGGUUAUUGUUGGUUGGUGAAAUUAAAUAUAAUUAGUUAUUGUGGGUUGAAAACCCUAUAUGCUCACCAGGCUCCCAAGCUUGACCCACUCAGUUUUUUUGUAUUACAGGUAGUGGUGCGAGGGCAUAAGUUGGAGAACUUAUGAAGAUGUUUUUGUUUAUAGACCAGUAGUUGUAUAUAACAGUGUAAGGUCUAUGUUUUACUGUUUAUGCUUUUGUGUCUGUAUCGGAACAUGACAUCCUGAGUUUUGAUAUAUAAUGAAAAUACAUUUCUUUAAGAAAUGUUUUGAUAAACUUUAUUUUAUCAUGUUUUGUUUUAGGGACAAAUUCUGCAACUCUUUUAAAUCAAUGGAUUUACUCUGAAAUUAUUUUAAAAACAUAAAUGAAACCGGCCUUUUCUGGCCGUGAUUUUGGGGAUUUCACACAUGGUCUGAUACUAUCUUUAAAGGAACACCAUGAAGUCUUACUACCUCCUUCACGUAAGCAUUUGCAAGCUUAUCUGUAGACCAUCUUGUUGGAUUAGUGUCUAAGUCCAUAACUAUUUUGGUAUGUACUUGACCCGAUGGUGCAUGGUCCUUUUGGGUUGCCUUCACCAAAGCAACUUGAUUGGAGAAAUAAAUAAAGAGAGAGAGGUUAUUAUGAUUUAUUAAUAUGUUAUAAGAAUAAUAUAUUAAAGGAGAAAUCAUAUUUGUUUAAUUAAUAUUGGUCAAUAAUUAAUUAAGAAUUAAUUUUGUGAUCAAGUGUAAUUAAUUAAACUAGAGGGGCUGAAUUGUAAUUAUGUGAUAGUUACAAAAUAAGGUAAGGAUUAUCUUAAAUAUAGGGUGAACGAAUUUAAGGAGAUAAUGCCUUAGAAUUCGACUAGGAUAAGGGUUUCUAAGACUUAUCUUAUGGUUGCUUGGUGGGCAAGCAACUAGAUAAGGAUAAGGACUAAAACCCUAAUCUUUACACCUAUAUAAACCCCCUAAGGCUCAUGAAUUCGUCUAAGCCUUCCCAAGAAGUCCUAAGGACGAAUUCCUACCUCUAUCCUCUCUCUUUAUACCUUCUCCAUUUGCUCUUGGUGUUUGUGAGCCAUUAGAGGAGUGACACUUGUGACUCUAAGCCUUCCAAAGUCAAUUCAUGGAGAAUUGGGAUUGUUAUUACUACAUAACAAUCAAGGUAACAUCUUAAACCUAAUUAUAUGUUAAUAUUGAUUUCCAUAUGCUAGAAUUAGGGUUUAUAGUCUUGGAUUCAUUGCAUGUACAAUAGAGAAACCUAGAUCCAAGCAUUAGGGUUUGUAUGAGCACAUAGGAUGUCUUAUGACCAAAACCCAUCAGUGGUAUCAGAGCCUAGCUUGGUUUCAAUUGUAUUGAUGCAUUGUAUAACUGGAAAAUUCGUUUUUUGGGUUUCUGGAGGCUGGACUCGCCGAGUCCAUAGAUGAACUCGCCGAGUCCAUGCUGACUCGACGAGUCCAUGCCUGACUCGGCGAGUCGGCUCGUCAGAAGGAGGGAAAACCGGGAUUUCUUGCUGUUUUUGCUUAAGGAUAGUUGCCUUAUCAUAUUAGAUCAAUAUAAAUCCGAUUUUAUGAUAUAUUUGACUAUAUUCUUGAUCUAAUUGAAGAUAUUUAUCAAUUAAUAAAAUAUUUGUUUCCUUAUGUGAUAAUUGAUUAAUUAUUUUGAUUAAAUUGAUAAAUUGUUUUGCAAGAAAUCAUUAAAUAAAUCAAAUAUGGAUAAUUAUGUGAUUAAAUGUUAAUUUAGAUUAUUUGUUAUUUGAUCCUUGUUGUUAUGAAAAGUUUCAUAUUUUCCCCUUUAGGUUUUAUAGUUUAAAUUUGAACCCAAAAGUUUUGUUGUUUUGAAAUUUAAAUAGUUGAAACCCUAAUGUUUUGAAAAAGGUUUCAAAACUUGCCCUCAAGUUUUGGAAUUUAAAUUUUGAUUAAAUAGUUUAAUUUUGAUGUAUAUUUAAAUUCUAAACCCUAAUGUGUUGAAAUGUUUCAAAACUUGCCCUCAAGUUUUGGAAUUUAAAAGUUGAUUAAAAGUUUAAUUAGGAAUGUUAAAUUCUAAAACUCUAGUAUUGUUUUGAAAAAGUUCAAAUCACACCCUUAUGGUUUUAUUAAUUAAUUAAGGUGUAUAAUUAAAAGAGGUUUAAUAAAUCCAUAAAAGUUUUGGUUUACAAUUUAAUUGAAUUAAAAGUAUAAUUGUUAAAUUUGACCACCUAGUAUUUUAAAAGUGUAAAAUACACCCUAUACUAUAUAUAACAUUAAAAGUCUAACAUUAUAUAUAUGUAUGAGUAAAAGUCAGUCUUACCGUUAGUAGGCCUCAUUCACGAAGCUGGUCUAUAAGGGGUGUUUAAGGAAAUUGCCUAUAAAAUGGCGAUUGAAUGGGUAUCCACUCUUACCCACCGCACUCUUGACUAGUGGAGGGUCGUUAGCCGAACGGGUAGGAUAGGACGAAACCUUCCAUUAUAAGUAUAAUGAAGUAUAAAAGUAACUAAAUGUUUUCAUAAAAUUCCCAAUCUUAGUUACUUAGGCAAAAGUGAAUUGAUGCAAUUCCAUGAAAUUACACUUUGUGCCCUUGCGAAGACGUUAGUGGAGCGUGUGUGGUUUACCGGCACACUAAAUGGUUCUAAGCAAAGGUAGCAAAGGGUGACUCAAUGUUUGUCAUAGUUCGGUGGAGCGUGUGUGGUUUACCGGCACAUCGAAUAGGUGACUGUAACAUGUGAGGGCACCAUGUAAGUUUGCAUGGUUAUUCACACCCGCUUUGUGAUCCUCGGCAUCCCAGUCACAAACAAGAGGGGCAUAUCGAGAUUUAAACAUGCCAUUGAAAUGUUCAAUGAAUCUCAAAGGAUCUAGGAGUUUUCAUAGAUUUAAAACUUAAAUUUCUUUUUCGUUUUUCAUGGUGGAAAUUAGUGAAUCGUCAUUCACUUACCUUCAAAUGUUCUGCAAUUUGGGUUACGGCAUCCCUCUCCCGAGUUGUAGAAUAUUGUGUUGGGUCCUAGCCUUAGUAUCUCAUUUGGGUGAUUUACUAAGGACUCAAUCAAUCAACUAACUUGAAUUCUUUUUCUCCCGUUUUGUAGAUGUCAAAGUUCGACAACUAUGGUCUUCCCAAAUCCCGUGGAACAAGCAUUCCACAUGAAGAUGAUAUUCCACGAUUCGAUCGAGGAACAAGAAAUCAUGCUUCACUUCCUCCACCUCCUCCAAUUAUUCUCCCUAACCCACAAGUUCAAAGGCUUGAAAAGUUCAAGAUCACUCAAGCCCUUUUGGCAAGUAAACAUAAAGAAGGAAAGUCGGUGUGUGCACACGUCCUAGGGAUGAAGUCACACAUUGAUAGGUUAAGAAUGUUGGGAUCCGUUGUCUGUGAGGAAAUGGCUGUUGAUUGGGUUCUUCAGUCACUUCCUAACUCAUAUAGUGAGUUCGUAAGAGAGUACUAUAUGAUGAACCGCGACGUGACCCUUAUAGAUCUCACCUAUAUGCUUAUUGCUGCUGAAUCAGCAAUGGUUUGGCGCAAUAGAAAAGCAAAGUUGAUUGGUGAAUCUGCCUUCAAGACCUCUAUGGAUAUAGACAAUGGCAACGAAAGACAUGCUAUGAUCGAAAAGUUUGAUCAUAAGAGAAAGGCAAUGUCUGAAGUAGUUCCAUGUCAUGUUCCAAAAGAGUCAAUUUGCUUUUAUUGCCAAGAGAAAGGGCAUUGGAGACGAAGCUGCCCCAUUUACCUAAGAGAUCUAAGAGAUGGGAGAGUCGAAACGUAUGGCUCUAAUAUAGGUAAAAUCCAUUAACUAACUCUUUUAAGCUUCUAUUCUAGAUUCUUAAUACAUAAUGUGAUAAGAUUACAAUUGAUGUUUUGUAGGAUCGAAGAAAAGAAAGGAAGCUUAAGGGAAGAAGUGAGCAGAAUCUAACCGUGAAGGAAUGGAUUUCGAUCGCAUUUCUCGAAGAUUAGAUUCUUGAGCUACUACUUAGAGUUAGAAUUAGAUUGCUAAGAAAGAUGUAUUAGCAUAGUUUUUCAAUGAAUUGCAUUGUAAGGACAAAUUUUUCCGCAAUAAAAUAAAUUUUGAUUUUAAAUUUUAUUUAUUUAUCCUUACAAUGGCGUGUAUGAAAAAUUGAUGUUAAAAUGUUUCUAUUAUUAGCAAUAAUGGAUUUGGUUCUUAUUAUGUUAUUUAUGGAAAGUCGAGAAUUUACCAAAUAGGGAGAGUUUCUCAUCGCCCAAGUUUCAAUUGGACAGAAACUUGGAAUCAUGCAACUUGGUUGCACGAUGAAUGAGAAAUUUCAUAUUUGGAAAUUAGACUAAUUCAUUGACAAAGUGUCAAGUGAAGGACUAGGAGAUCGAGUACACAAAGUUGCGUGUUGAUCAAGUCCACCAUAAGAGUAACAAAGAUAUUCGUCAUGAUUUACUAAAGGUUUAGUAAAUAUGAUUAUACUUAUAAGAUUAAGUGUAAUUCUGAAUUGAUUGAAAAGGUUUAAAUCAAUAGCAGAACGAAUAAGAAGAAUCAAGUAGGCAGAAAGAUAAAAGUUUCUCCAUUCUAAGAAGAAGGGAGAGUACCUUUUAUGCUUUAUGAUAGGUCUUAAUGAUUAAGAACCAUAUCUCAAUUGAUCCUCUAAGUGAGUCUUAGUACAAUUGUAUGUCUAAGAAGAGGAAUCAAGAAUUGAAGAAAUGGUUAAAUCAAGAAGUCAAUCAUACUUCGUUCCAAAACAAGUCUUAGAGUUAAGAUUGUGACAUUGAGUGAUAAGUAUAAAGAAGGUUUAUAACAUUCAUUAAAUGUGGAAAGUUGUGAUGUCUUGGAUAAGACAAAGACCAACUAGGACCAAUUUAUGAAGUGUUUUGAUAAAAGCUACACUAACUCUUGAAUAUUUGUUUGUCAAGAAAUGGUUAUUGACAAGAGAAUCUUAUAUGUCAAGGAGUCAGUGGGAGUCUUAAUGGUCUUGAAAGGUUUCAAGAACAAAUCAAAUAAACCUUAUCGAUCAUCACUAGCACACGAGUUGAGGUUUACAACCUAUCGUGUUGACAUUAUUUUGAUUCUGUGCCAAUCCAAUCGAGUUAAUUAUGCAUGUGAGUUCUAUGAGUUCUCAUUUUGAACGCAUAAAAGGCAAAGCACCUUAAUCAAUGAAAGGUACAUUGAUAGGAAAGGGUGAGCUGCUUAACUACUUGGAAGACAUGGUGGGCAGCUGUGCUACCAUAAAGGCAAGAAAUCGAGAUCAAGAAAGUUCGAUCCAUAAGAGUUUGAAUUUGUCGUAAACUUUGGUUUUGACAAAUUCACAUGGAUAGGAACAAAUACACCGUUUAAAUCUAAGUGUCAUAAGAUUUCCUCCUUCAUGAAAAUGAUUGUGAGGAAAUGCUUUCACUAAGACAGAUUUUAAGAAGAUAGUGAUUGUAAAAUUGCAUUCUCGAAUUCAAUUAUGGUUACGGCAUCCCUUUCCAUAAUUUGAAUUGUGAGGUUUGGCAAUUAGUCUUAAUUGUUUAGACACACAUAUGAACUAUCGAAGGCAAAGGUGUAUAAGUUCAAGAAGCCUUGAUAAAAGAUUAUCAAAGCACUAAGUAUUAGAAACAUGAACUUAAGAAAUUCAAUAAGCAUUUUUUUUCUGAAAGUUAAGAUGUUUAUGAAUACAUGUCGAAGCUAGUGGGAGCAUAAGUGUUAUGUUUUAUAAUAAUCAUCAAGAUAGUGGGAGCAUAAAAGUUAUGAUUGUAUGAUUAUUAAGGAAAGUAUUGCAAGGUUAGCAAUAUUAAUUAUAGAAAACAAGAGUCAUACUUUGCAAAGUCGCAAUAGUUGAAGAGUUGUUUUGCUAUAAUUAAGGGAGAGAAUAUUAUGCUUCAUUUCAAAUCUAAAGGUUUAGGUUGAGAAAUGUUAAUAAAAUUUAGUCAAAGGUACAAAGUGUGUUCUUAAAAUUUCGAUUAUGAUUACGGCAUCCCUCUUCACAAUUCGAAUUUUGAGAACAUAGCAAAUAAAACAUUAUGCGUCGUGUCCCAUACGCUUCGGGUAUAGGAUCGAUUGCAAAUGCUUUAAUGUUUGACCAUUCUAAAAUUUUCCAAAUGUCGAGCGCAUUUAGAGGGAAAAGGGACUAGAAUUGGUUUUGACUAAAAUAAUUAAACAACUAUCAAAGGACAAUCCAAAGUUCGACGAGGAUUGGUCGCUUGUGAGUAGUUGGAAGUAUAGUAUUGGAAAAUAUGGAAAUGUUUCCAUAUUGGAUGGACCAUAUCGACAUCAUUACGAAUAGAUAAGAUUCUAUUAAGAAUGAGUUGUCAUAUGGAACAUAUGGAAGUGUGUCCAUAUUGGGAAUUGAAUAUUGAGAAAUCUAUGACUAGAUUAGAAACUUCUAUGCAAAAGGAUGUUCAAAGAAUGUACUUUGAGUGAGAGACAUCACAUCUAUGGAAUUGUCUUGUAACAAUCUCCGAUAGAGGACUUUGUAAUAUCAUUGGCAAUAGUCUUUGUGACUUUGGUGCAGUGACAUUACGAAAGGAUCGUUGCAUAAAAUGUUAGAAUCUAGCAUAUUCUAUAAGUAGCAAGAAUUUGAUAUUCUUUCACUUAUGAAAAGGAUUUGGAGUUGUGAAAUGAGAAUGAUUGGAAAUGUGUUCAAUUUGAUCUAUUUCACAAAGUAAGAACCAUAGGUAAACAUUGUGUGCAUGCUAGGAGCAUGGGACAAGUGUAAUAAUUCAAGUAAGAAGUUGAUUACCCGAAACGACAAAUAAUGAGUAAUCGAUAUGGUGAUAAAUAAAAGGUGUUUUAUUUAUACUCAAAGGUUUGAGGCCAUAUGGGAUUAGUAUUAUUCUUGUGUUUCACAUUUGCAUGUUUUGACUUCCAGAAUAAUUGAGUUUAUUAAGAAUAAUCGAAUUAUUCGAACGGGCCACAGUCGUUCAUAUGUUGGAAGUAGAUAUGAAUGAAGACUGUCGUGAAUUGGUGUGUGGAUUGUCUAAAAGAGUAUUAGACAUAAGCAAAUGUUUGCUGCAACGUUCAUGAGUGCUUAUGAAUAUGAUUUGAGCAUUGGAUUAAACCCACGCUCACUUGGAUCACUCCAUGAAUUGUAUCACGAGUGAUUGGUGAGACGAUAACAUCUUAUAUUCUUGAAACCGAGAUGUGUGAGUUGUAUCUUGCGAAUCGGUUGCACAUUGAUAAUAUGUAAACGCACUAGUAACUUGGUGUUAUAAAACAUAUUGUUGUGUGUGAUUUGGUUAGUAAGUGCAAGCAAGCAUUGUAUCAAAGUUUAUCCGUUCCUUUUAUCCAAAGUAGGAUAAAAGCGAUAUCUUUGGGCCCCUCGAUGAUUUAGUGAUGACAAACGUAAAUGCUCGGCCGGGCUAGGGCUAAUUUGAUUUGUUCAAUUAGUCAGUCGUCAUAAAUCGGGAAUCGAGAUAUAGUACAAAGAGAAUGAUUUGAAAUCAUAUCUCAUAUGAUAUCUAGAAUGGAGGAAUAUAUGAUCCCUUAUCUAAGGACACGCGUAUCUGAUAUGAUCAGAGUUGACAGCGGCUUUGGAAAGCUACGAUUGCAGAUCAGGAUCUGAAGUCAUACGCAGAAUAGUUGUUAGACUUAUCCAAGUGGGAGACUGUUGGAUUAGUGUCUAAGUCCAUAACUAUUUUGGUAUGUACUUGACCCGAUGGUGCAUGGUCCUUUUGGGUUGCCUUCACCAAAGCAACUUGAUUGGAGAAAUAAAGAGAGAGAGAGGUUAUUAUGAUUUAUUAAUAUGUUAUAAGAAUAAUAUAUUAAAGGAGAAAUCAUAUUUGUUUAAUUAAUAUUGGUCAAUAAUUAAUUAAGAAUUAAUUUGUGAUCAAGUGUAAUUAAUUAAACUAGAGGGGUUGAAUUGUAAUUAUGUGAUAGUUACAAAAUAAGGUAAGGAUUAUCUUAAAUAUAGGGUGAACGAAUUUAAGGAGAUAAUGCCUUAGAAUUCGACUAGGAUAAGGGUUUCUAAGACUUAUCUUAUGGUUGCUUGGUGGGCAAGCAACUAGAUAAGGAUAAGGACUAAAACCCUAAUCUUUACACCUAUAUAAACCCCCUAAGGCUCAUGAAUUCGUCUAAGCCUUACCAAGAAGUCCUAAGGACGAAUUCCUACCUCUAUCCUCUCUCUUUAUACCUUCUCCAUUUGCUCUUGGUGUUUGUGAGCCAUUAGAGGAGUGACACUUGUGACUCUAAGCCUUCCAAAGUCAAUUCAUGGAGAAUUGGGAUUGUUAUUACUACAUAACAAUCAAGGUAACAUCUUAAACCUAAUUAUAUGUUAAUAUCGAUUUCCAUAUGCUAGAAUUAGGGUUUAUAGUCUUGGAUUCAAAGCAUGUACAAUAGAGAAACCUAGAUCCAAGCAUUAGGGUUUGUAUGAGCACAUAGGAUGUCUUAUGACCAAAACCCAUCACAUCUUUCAUUGGCUACUAUGAAGUGUGCACUCUUAGUAAACCGAUCAACGACCACCCAAAUCAUGUCGUGACCGUCCUUCGUUCUGGGCAGUUUAGUGACAAAAUCCAUGGUAAUGUCUUACCACUUAUCCAUGGUUACACAUAAAGGUUCUAAAAUCCUAUAUGGUUUCUGAUGUUGUGCCUUAACUCUCACAUAGGUCACACACUUGGCCACAUACUUUGCAAUGUUGAGCUUCAUCUUCGGCCACUAGUAGUAGGGUUUCAGAUCCCUAUACAUUUUUGUGCUGCCGAGAUGAAUCGAGUACAUGGUCUUGUGAGCUUCUUCCAUCAGAAGAUCUCUUACUUCGCCCAUCUUGGAAUACCUUUAAUCCUUGAUUAUUUGUACCGAAAACCAAGUUUUUGCUUAAACAUUCUUCCUUUUGGUCAUUCUCCUCUAAAACUUCCUCCCAAGCUUUGUUGAUGCUUUCCACAAUCAUUGUGACAACCUCUAUUGAUUGUUUUGAUUAUAUUUCUCUUCAAUCUUCUGUCCUAACUCAGAUGCUACAUGAAACUUGGUUCUCUGAACCAUGUAACAUACUCAUCUUAGUUGGACUCGAUAUGAUACGACCACUAGGGUCAGAAUCAGAAUCAUCUUCUUAGUCAUUACCAAAACGAUGGUAAUGAAGAACUUGAACAAAACAGAAUCAAUUACUAGCUUCUUAGUAACCUUGCGACUUUCACUGAUCCAAGUGCAAGUCCUGUGCUUCCGGUAGUAUAGGCCUCUACUACCAUUCACACCUACUCAUACUCGUUCAAGGUGCUAUCUCACAGUUUUCCAAGUCAUCAUUCAAGAGUUUCACAUAAUCAUUUAACACAUCAGAUAACAAAAUCAAGGUUUUAUAUUAUUUCUUGAAAUGAUUACAUAAAUGUUCAACUUCGUCCUAUACUAUGCCUCUAAUAAGUUGCGCUACAUGAUGCUAUCCACAUGGCCACUUCAUAACUUGAUCUUCGGAUAUCAGUCCUCACUCCUGCUUCCUUGCAUUGUCAGCUGCUUCGUUAAGGAUCAUUUGGAAUGCCCUUGGCUGGGGCGGUGCGUUUGGCCUUGCCGCUUUAUUCUUCCUUGGGCGGUUCUUCAAAAUAUGCCAUCCUUCAUUGCAUUCAUAGCACACCCUCUUGCGGGAUGUACACUCAUUGGCGUAGUGCCCAGGAUUUUCACACUUAAAACAAGUGACCUCCCGUCACAUUUCCCAUGGUGCUUCUUUUUGUACUUUUCACACCAUUUCGCUUCAACUCCUCCUCCUCUCGAACCAGACUUCGAGAAAUUACUUUUCUUGUUGGAUUUCGAAGAUCCAUCAAACUUCCUUUUCUUACCAACCUCUGCCCUCUCCAGACCCUUCUCCCUUAUCCGUGUCUCAACAAUCUUCAUAGCUCUAACGACUGCCUUCAACGUGCUUGCCAUUUUGACUAUUGGGCCAAAGUCUGAUGGCAAUCCGUUAGCAAAUUUCUCUAUCUUGGCGAGUUCAGUCGACACCAAGUAUGGAAAUAACUUCAUCUUCUCAGUGAAUGCAGUAGCAUAAUAAUCAAUGCUUAUUCUCCGUUCUUCAAUUUCUGGAACUCAUUGUUUAGAUCUAUCAUAUCUAUUUCGGAGCAGUACUGCAUUUUCAACUGCAUUAUGAACUCUUCCUUAGACAUUUUCAGAGCUUUUCCUCGUGGCAUCGUAUCCGUUAAUAACUUCGACCAGCUUAAAACUUUGGUCUUUACUUGUUUGACCGCAAAGACAAUUUUUUGUUUGUCGCUAUAGUUGCAGCUUUCAAAUACCAUCUCUAUUUCGACAUGAUCUUCAUUGUGAUUUGACGAAACAUAUUUGGACGGUUAUGCUUUUCAUGGCCAAUUUUCGAAGAAGUACUUCUUUUAAAUUGACGAGUGUGACAUCCACCAUUUUCACGGUCAGAAAAGACUGAUUUUGUUUAUGCUUUAUAAUAAAAUCAGAGUAACCUUUUUAAAGAAAAGUGUUGUGGAAUUUGUUCCUAAAAUAAAAUAUGAUAAAGAUUUAUCAAAACAUUUCCAAAGAAAUGUAUUUCAUUGUAUUAAAACCUUGGGAUGUCAUUAUUAAUACAAAUCAGAAACAUAAGCAGUACAACAUAGGCGUUACAACAUUUAUUUAAAUCUACUAGCCUAUAAACCAUAAUCCUCUCGUCAAGUCAUCCAACUAUGCUCUUGCCACUACCUAUAAUACAAGAAACUGAGCCGGUCAGGCUUGGGAGCCUGGUGAGCACAUAGGGUUUUCAACCCACAAUAAAUAAUUUUGUUAAUUUCAACAAAUGAAAUAAACCAGAUUACCCGUUUCUAUUUAUCCUCACAUUACGUCCCUAAAACAUCUAAUAUAAGGGACAUAGCCUAAGGAUUAUUGUAGCACCUGGUUCCUAGUACGUAAUCCUUGUAAUUAAUAUUUCUUAAUUUUGCAUUUUUGCCUUGGACUUGGCGAGUUGAAGAACCGACUCGUCGAGUAGAAGCGGGAUGAGAAGCGGGGUCUGAGCUUUGGACUCGGCGAGUAGACCCUGUUUGGGCAAAAACCCUAACCAAAGUGUUUGCACCCUAUUUAAACGCUCUAACUUGGCCUCCUUUGUCCCGAACACUCCCAGAGAGCUGAAGAGCGAAACCCUAGCCCCCAUUUUGUUCUUGAGAGUGAUUUUUGGCUUUGUGAAGAAGGUUUGGAGCUUAGAAGAAGAAGAAAUAGGUUGUAGUGUGCAAAGAGGGGAAGUAGAUCCGGAAUCUACACUACAAGAGGCUUCCAUUCAGCCGGAGGAUUACCGAUUCAGCAGUCAGGCGCUUAGCAAGCAGAUUUUCAGCAGCUACUUUUCGAGGUGAGUUACCUUCCAGUAGCGGUGGGUCUAAGGCCACAAUGUCGGCCCACCAGUAGGAGACGUAUGAUAGAUGAGUGUCUUUGUGAUAUCAUCUAGGUUUGUUACUACCUGAUAUGUUAUAUGCUAGCUUGAUGUGUUAUAGUAGUAGAGUUCGGUUGUUAGGACCGAAGGGUAGUCAGAUACCCCAGAUACGUCUGACAGUAUGUGAUGAUAUGUUUGCAUGUUGGCUUGUUAUGUUAUAUGCGAUAGAGGUAGUAGGGGGUGAAAUAGUCCCCGAGGUUCGGUUGUUAGGACCGACGGGUAGUCAGCACCCCAGAAUGGCUUGACAUAGGGAGGGCGGCACCCCAGAAUGGCCGUACAGGUAGGUCGGCACCCCAGAAAUGCCUAGCAGUAUGUAUGUGAUAUGAUUGUAUGGUAUGUGGUACGAUGGGGGGGACUCACUAAGCUUUGUGCUUACAGUUUUCAGUUCUGGUGUCAGGUACCUCUUCAGCGAAGGGGAAGGAGCUGGCGCGGUAGCGGUACAUCAUACACACACAUUGGAUUUCCGCAUUAUGAGAUGUCCUGGGAUUGUACUCUGACAUUAUUAUUAUUUUCAUGUUUUGGGUUUUCAGACACGAGAUUUGUUUUAUGACAUGAUAUGAUCGGAUGAUGUUUUACUGCAAAUGUUUUACAAACCACUUAUUUUAAGUGAAAUUUUUGGGCGUGAAAAUUGGGUCGUUGCAAUUAUCAUCGGGGUAACAACAUUGCUUAGGGGAUACUGUGACAUCCCCAAAAUCUUGGCCAGAAAAGACCGAUUUUCAUUUAUGCUUUUAAAAUAUUUUCAGAGUAAAUCCUUUUGAUUUGAAAGAGUUGCGGAAUUUGUUCCCAAAAACAAAACAUGAUAAAACAAUGUUUACCAAAGCAUUUCAUAAAAGAAAUGUAUUUUCAUUAUAAUCAAAACUCGGGGUGUCAUGUUCCGAUACAGACCAAUAAGCAUAAACGAAUACAUUACAAGUCAUAUAACAAAUAUAAACAUAUGCAGACUUGUAAACAAAACAACUUGAUGGUUCAUCCAUCUCAUGCCCUUCCGCCACUACCUGUAAUACAAUUUAAAACUGAGUGGGUCAGGCUUGGGAGCCUGGUGAGCAUAUAGGGUUUUCAACCCACAAUAAAUAUCAUAUUUAAUUUUCACCAACCAACAAUAACCCAAUUACCCAUUCCCGUUAUUCUCACUUUAAUGUCCCUAAAACAACUAACAUAAGGGACCUAGUCUAAGAAUAUUUCAUCGGGGCGACAACACAUGCUUCGGGGGUACCUCAGCAAUAUAAGUCAAAUAAGGCAACCAUGAGGGGGAUGGAGUACAGCGAAUGAACACCCAAGUUCAUUAACACCUACAGGUGGCGAACCUGCUAAUGUUUCCACAAGACUAUCUAGAAAAGUCCGUGGUCGUCAUCUAAACUCCGCUAGAUGACUAAAUCAAACAACAACGAGGCCUCUCAUCUGUUUAUUACACACCAACUAUCUACCCAUGUUCUACCCAACAUAUUAGUAGAUAAAAAUAUACAUUUUUAUACAUAGUUUAAAAACCUGUAUAGCAUGCUUUAAUCAACACAUAUUUCACAUAACAGAUGAGGCACACACACACAUAACACGUAUCUCAUAGAGAAUAAAUCAUAUCUAUGAGAUAGAAGAAAGUGAAUACACAUUCACACACAUAACCACAAAAUUAUACACAUAAUACGUAUUCCGUAUAAAAUACUUCAUAAUUAUGCGUUAGAAGAAAGUAACUACACACUCACUUGAUCAGAAGAUGAUCGGACAGCACUACGACUUGCAGAAGUAGUAAUCCUCAGCAGAUCUGGAAGAUCUUCACAAAAAUCGAACUUCUCGCGGGCAGAGCUUCGGCUCGGGAACCGCACUUCUCGGGAUCUUCGGGAUCUCGGGACUUGCCUCGGGGCUCGAGUAUGAUACCGGGGCUUCGGGGUAUUUCUGGCACGCAAAACGAUGCAAAACGGGAGAGAGAAGAGAGAAAAUGAACAAAAGAAUCGGCUGCCUUCGGAUCCUAUUUAUAGGAGGCUGAAGCCUCGGAGUACGCGAGGUGUACUGGUCCGAAAAACGUCACUGCUUACGUAUCCGAAGACUCGAGUGCGAAUGUCGACAUCCCUCGGUGUACGCGGGGCGUACUUCGGAUCGGAUUGCUGACUCCCCUUCGGAUAAUACCGGAUUUUCUAAUAAAAAUUAAAUACAAAUUAUUUAAUAAACUUCGGAAAUUCAUCUCUUCUUCAUACGAACUCCGUUUUCGACGUUCUUUAUAUCCACGCGAAGGUGAGACUACGCUCUACAACUUUCGUUUAGACUCCGUCGGCUAAUUUUAACUUUAUUUUUAUUAUUUAUUUUUAAUAGGCCGGGACAGAAAAACUUCGUUAUAAAUUCAUAACUUCUUCGUUUGACGUCCGUUCUCGCCUAACUUUUUAUCGCUUCGAGACCAACAACGAGACCUUCGAUCCUCGUUUAGGUUGCUUCGGCUCAAAACCGCUCGAUCUCAAAUCGAGUAUUUCGGGCUGCACACCGCUAAACCGAAACUUCGAUAAAUCAUAACUUCCUCAUACGAAGUCAGAUUUGGGCGUUCUAUAUAUACAUUCGUAAACCUCGUUUCAACUACUACAUCAUCAACCAAAGAUAUCAAGUUUAUUUUACACUUUAAUUUUGACGCUUAUUUUUAUUCUUAAUUAAUCAAACCACAUAAUUAAGCAAUUAAGCACAAAACACAUAAUACUCAAAUAAUACAAUCAUAUUAUUUCAAAACGGGUUACAAAGGUUAACUUAGACUAUUACAUUGCUAAAAAUGGCAAGCCCGGAAACACAGGCGUUACAGAUACCUCAACAUUUUAUGUCAAAUAAGGCAACCAUGAGGGGGAUGGAGUACACCUGGUGAACACUGAGUCCAAAUAAACACCUACAGGUUGCGAGCCUGCUAGCGUCCCAUUGGACUGUCUAGAAAAGUCUAUGGUCGUCAUCUAUACUCCGCUAGAUGACUAGAUCAUCGUCAAUAUCGAGGCCUCUCAUCAUUUUAUUUCAUCACACGCCAACUAUUUCAUCUACCCACGUUUUACCCAACAUAUUUGUAGACAUAAAUUACAUAUACAAUUCAGAUCUAAAAAACAAAAUNUAUAUAUAUAGUUUAGAUCUGAAAAGAAAAGUCUAGAUCUGAAAUGAGAAAGUUUGGAUUUGAAGGAAACAGUUCAGAUCUGAAAGAAAGAGUUUAGAUUUGAAAGAAAAGUUCAUAUCUAAAAAGAAAAAGGUUUAGAUCUUUCUUCCAACAUAGAUCUCAGGUAAACAGAUAAUAUAUAUACACAUAACACGUAAUUUAUAUAAAAUAGUUUAGAUCUGAAAAGAAAAGUCUAGAUCUGAAAUGAGAAAGUUUGGAUUUGAAGGAAACAGUUCAGAUCUGAAAGAAAGAGUUUAGAUUUGAAAGAAAAGUUCAUAUCUAAAAAGAAAAAGGUUUAGAUCUUUCUUCCAACAUAGAUCUCAGGUAAACAGAUAAUAUAUAUACACAUAACACGUAAUUUAUAUAAAAUAUUUCAUAUUUAUGUGUAAGAAGAAAGUAAAUACACACUCACAUGAUAAGGUGGCGAUUCGGACAACGUUUUGCUUCUUAAAAUAAUCUCCAUUGAUGAAACCGGGAAGUUUGGUUGAAAACCGGGCUCUGCGGGGGGGCAAAGUUUCUAAACCGAAAAACUCUUUUUCUCGGAGACUUCGGGCGCUCCGGGGCUUUCUUCUAGUGCUAAGGAGGUCCCCUAGGCUUCGGGGGUGUUUAGGGUGGAUAGAGAGAGAAAGAGAGAGAGAGAGAGAGAGAGAGAGAGAGUAGAGUAGAGAGUGAAAGAAGUGUGAAAUAUGUGAGAAAACAUGGCUAGCCUCGCAUCCUAUUUAUAGUCAGGAGGUCUCGCAUUACGUUGGGCGUUCCUCGGUCUACAUGGGGUGUUCCUCGGUACGCAGGGCGUACCCUCGUACGCGGUACGGUUUGCGAGGUUCGGAUUUGUCACCCUUCAGAUGGAGCUAUGUGGCCAAUUCCGGACCUAGCCUUUGCGAACGCGGGGUGUUCUCUUCGGAUAGCCUCGAAAUAUGUACCUCUUACUUCAAAAAUUCAUAUAUUUUGCAUACGAGCUCCGUUUUCGACGUUAUUUAUAUCCACGCGUAGGCAGGACCGUACUCUACAACUUUUGUUUAGACUCAGUUGGCUAAAUUUGACUUUAUUUUUAAAGUUAUAUUUUUAACAGGCCGGGACAGGAAAAGUCUAUUAAAAAUUCAUAACUUCUUCAUCCGACGUCCGUUUUCGUUUUUCUUUUAACCGUUGAACUACUAUUGACGAGAUCUUCGAUUCUUGUUUAGGUUGUGUCGGAUAAAAAUCCCUCGAUUAUAAUUCGAGCUACGGGCUGCACACUGCUAUGCUAAAUCUUAGAAAAUUCAUAACUUCCUCGUACCAAGUCAGAUUUGGACCUUCUUUUUAUGCACGCUCUUGAUUUAACGUAUACUAGGAUUUUCAUUUAGAUCGCUAAGGCUAAAAUGCACUUUAUCGUAAACUCACUUUUUACGUCACGCAAUAUCGUGCUAGUUUUGUCGUGAAACUUUAACAGGUCAUAACUUUUUUGUGAUAACUUGGAUUUCGGCAUUCUUUAUAUGUCCGAAAUCCUUGUCACGACCACUACAACUUUCUUCAUAGAUAUCAGAUUUAUAUAACAUUUUAUUUUUGAUGCUUAUUUUCAUUCUUAAUUUAUUAUAUCAUUAUAAAUAAGUAUAUAAUCACAUAAAAUCACGUAAUUCACAUAAUAUUCAAGUAAUUCAUCUUUAUUACUUUAAAAUAGGUUACAAUAGUUGACCUUGACUAUUACAUCAUCAUACUAAUGUUUAGCCCAGAAACAAGGGCAUUAGAACGAGUAUGUUACUAGGGAGAAGAGAAAGAAAAAGAGAAACGGAAAACAUGAAGGUUUCACGAGAACUUCUCACUGAUAUCACUAUUCCCGUCGGUAACGUCAUGGACAUUGCCGGUGAUAAGGUUACCUCGUUACCAGAGGCAUUUUCGGUGAAAAACGACAUGAGUGAAGCUUUUCAUCGGAGUUGAUAGAGAGAAAAAGAGUAACACGGAAGAGGGAAGAAUGAAGUCGCUAAGGGUAUUAUUCGUGUCACACUUUAGCAACGAUACCAUUUAGUGGUGUCGAAAGACAUUUGUGGCAACUCGAAACGUAAUAGUCGCGACACACUUUUGAGGGAAUAAUUGGCAGAGGGUUCGAGUAUUAGCGGUGACACCGUUGCUGGUAUUAGUUAGUGGUGUGUAUGGGGCGGUUUGGUUCGGUUAUUGGUUAAAACCGAACCAUAACGAUUAUGAUUGGUUAAUGCAUUUUGGUAGCCAUUGGGUAUGGUUAAUAUUGGUUAUGGUUAGUAGUUUUUAUCGGUUAACGGUUUUGGUUAAUGGUUAAUAUUGGUUAACCAUAAUGUUCAAAAUAAUAUAAACGACGAAAGUAUUUUGGCAUGAAAAAUGAAAAUAAAAUACCAAAAAGUCCUCGACGCCGAUGUUUGUAACCUAACUUAUAGUAAUAUAAUAAAAUGUGUAUCUGUAAUACUUAGAGUGAGAUAACACAUAGUCACAUUUAAAAUCAAAAAUAUUUAAUAAAAAUAUAAAACAUUAAAAAAAUUGACAUUAAUAAUUUCAUAUAUUGAUAAUUGAUAUUAAUAUUAAAAUAAAGUCAAACAUUCAUACACGUUCAAUACGAUUAAAUUAAAACUAUUAAAUAAAAAAGCCAAACAUUCAUAUUCUGUGUUAUUAGAUAUAAAAAAAAAAAAAAGUCAAUCACUCAUCUACAUUCAAUGUGAUUAAGUCAAAAACACUAAAAAAAUUCAAAAAAUUAAAAAAAAAUACAUUCUUAAUAUAUCACAUAGUUAAAAAGAACCAAAAACUUAACUUACCUAGAAGUCUUGAGUAUAAAGUCAAAAAAAUCCUUCGAAUAGGACUAUAAAGUCCAAACAAUCUUUGAUUAUGAUUAACGGUGUGAGAAGCCUUCGAUUAGGAUUAUGAGUGUGAAGAUUAAACUAAUUGUGAAUAAUGUUUACAAAUUGUAGAAUUAGCCGAUUAUGAAUUACAACAUUAAUUAAUAAUCUAACUCAAUGUAUGAUUGGAAGAUUAUGUGUGUCUGAGUGAUCAGUCUUUGAUGAUUUGAUUGCUCGUUCGUCUCCUGGUAAGUGAAGAUUAAUAGAUUAUAUUUUCAAAAUUUUAAUGGAUCUUAAAUAAGUUUGACUAUAUNUCUCUUUCUCUCUCUCUCUCUCUAUAUAUAUAUAUAUAUAUAUAUAUAUAUAUUAAAAUAUAAAGUUAGCGGUUCGGUUAAUAAUGGUUCGGUUAACCUAUAAAACCAUAACCGAACCGUUAGUUAUUGGUUAACAAAAAUUAGAAACCGAACCAACGGUUUUUAAAAUGGUUCGGUUAUAACGGUUAAUUUGGUUUUGGUUCGGCUUUUCGGUUAUUAUGCUCACCCCUAGUAUUAGUUUCGCCGUUAUUGUUAUGUACGAAAUCAUUUUUCAAGUGUUGGAUUAUGACAAAAUCGACGAAUAGGGUUUAACCUCAGAUUUUGACGCGGAUCGGGGUUGAUGAGUUUCGCCUUUAGCGGUGACAACCACCAUUACAACGAGACCUAAUCUAAAUGUUGGGUAUCGCUUGUAAUGGUGGUUGUCGCAACUAAAGGAUUCGCCACUGAAGUCCUAUAUUGUUGUAGUGAUAAAUGUUAAACCUAAACACCAAUUUAAACACACCAACCACUAGAAAUUGGUGGCGACAAGUUCAUGGCAUUAAGAGCGAUAACAAAUGGUGUAUAAAUCCAUUAUGAUCUUCGUUGCGAUUUAACAGAACAUAUUUGGACGGUUAAUGAUUUUGAAGCUCAAUUUUGGAACAAUUUUUUUUUUGAUCCAUCAUGUUAUUAAGUUUUAAGUUUUUAAUUUUUUGAGUUGUUAUGGUUUAGUUUCUUGUUGUGUAAUUUUUAUUUUGAUUUAAUAUAAAAUUUAGUUUUUAAAAAAUUAAUUGCUAAAAAAAGUACUGAUGUUAAAAAAAUGAUGUUAAUCCGCCUAACCUAAAUGUAAAUGGUAUGUUGAAGACGGUGUGUAGCAAAAUCAAAUAUAAGCUGCUGGUUGAUGCAUCGGGUAUUGUAUUACGUGAGGUUGAUAGUUUGAUUUGUUGAAAUUAUCUUUUGUGUGUUUGAGAAUUCUUUUAUGGAAGUCCCUAUAAAAAGGAGUUCAAACUCAAAUGUUGGUUGAAAUAUUGCGAGUACACUUCACUUAAUUUGAUUGCGGUUAGGAAGCAAUUUAAUUUCUCAAAAGAUUAAAUGCCACUAAUAAAUUAAAAAAAUAAACUAAAAAUCAACACCAAAUUAAUGCCAAAGCUUUAAACCAUAUAUUACUAAAUUAAUUCACAUACGCCAUCAAAAAAAAAUUCAUGUCACAAACCCAUACUCAUAAAACUCACUUUCCAGGUACAAAGUUUGUAGCAUAUGACCAUGCAUUGUUUGCAACAGGGUCAGCAAGGUGGUCAGCGAGGUUCUCCAAUGGUCCCUUUCCGGUAACAAUGGCUUGAACAAAGAAUCCAAACAUAGAGAACAUGGCUAGUCUACCGUUCUUGAGCUCCUUCACUUUCAGCUCAGCAAAUGCCUCUGGGUCAUCAGCCAGACCCAAUGGGUCGAAGCUACCACCAGGGUAAAGUGGGUCAACUACCUCACCAAGAGGUCCACCAGCAAUUCUGUAACCUUCAACUGCACCCAUCAAGAUCACUUGGGUAGCCCAGAUGGCUAAAAUGCUUUGUGCAUGGAUCAAACUUGGGUUCCCCAAGUAGUCAAGACCACCCUCACUAAAGAUCUGGGAUCCAGCCUUGAACCAUACAGCCUCACCAAACUUGACACCAUUACGCGCCAAGAGUUCGGGGAAGACGCACCCAAGAGCUCCGAGCAUGGCCCAUCUGCUGUGGAUGACCUCAAGCUCACGGUUCUUGGCGAAUGUUUCAGGAUCAGCAGAGAGCCCAGCAGUGUCCCAACCGUAGUCACCGGGGAACUCACCGGUCAGGUAAGAUGGGGCUUCGCCGGAGAAUGGGCCAAGGUACUUAACACGGUCGGGGCCGUACCAUGGACUUCCUGAUGGUGCGACUUUCUUGACUGCUGUCUUCCUCAUGGAAACCCUUCCAUUUCCGGUGAUUUCUGAACCAGAUGGUGUUAUUUUCACUGCUUGUCCGAUGAAUGAAGAAGAUACAGACAUAGUGGAAGCUGCCAUUCUGUUAAAUUUGGUUGAAAGAUGUUGUGGAGAUAGGAGAGUUUGAGUUAUGAAGAUGGGGAGAUCUGCAAGUUUAUUUAUAAGGUGGUUUUUUGGUCAGAUAGAUAUGAUCGAUGCUUAUCUAGAUACAAUCUUCACCUUCAUUUUGAUUGGCAAACAACAUUCUAGUUUUAUCUAAGGGUCAGUAAUCUGCGUGCUGUGAGUUCUCUGGUCCACCAGAGAUUUUUGAAGGGGCUGCGGUAUAUUCAUGGCUCUGGUUUAUUGAGGGAAUGUAAUGGCUCCCAUUCUCAGCCACAAGCUGUUCUUGGUGGGGUUUUUCAUCUUUAACCAUUUUACAUUUUCACAAAGUUACAUAAAUAGUCAUCAUGCUUUACAAAGUCACCGGUUCAGCAACAAACUUUUUUUCCAUGAUUAAAAAUUCAAAACGGUCCGUAUGGUUUUAAUAUUAUUAGUAAUCAUCUUAACAUUUCUAAUUUUUAAAGACAAAUAUUCAUAUAAAUGGUUAUGUGAUUUUCCAGAAUAUCAAGUGGAGCACAUCAUUUUUUCGGUCUUAUGGAAUGACUAUUUGGUUUCAAUUCCUAUCAUAAUUGAUCUUAGAGCAUCCACAAUAGGGGAGUUUAAUGGAAGAGUUGAAUGAGGUGUCAUGCCUACUUGUCAUUCAAUGGAUACAACUCCACCAUUGUGAAAUGCCACCUUGGCAUUCAAUGAAUUUGGAGUUCAAUGGUCAUUGAACUCUUCAAUGGGAAAAAGGAAAAUCUUUAAAUCUUUAAAUAAAUAUUUUUUAAUAUAUUCCAUUGAACUUGUAGAGUUUAAUGCAUUGUGGGAUAAAAAUGAAAAGAGUUGUAUGGAAUAAUGAAUGAUGACGUGACACUCCAUUGAACUCUAUAGAGUUCAAUGCAUUGUAGAUGCCCUUAGUCCCACAUAAAUAAACUUUUAUACCCUUCUAUAUUAUAAUUAGUUUAUUUAAUAUAUAAAUAGCUAUGUUUUAUAGUUAACAAUAAAUUUUGUUCAUNNNNNNNNNNNNNNNNNNNNNNNNNNNNNNNNNNNNNNNNNNNNNNNNNNNNNNNNNNNNNNNNNNNNNNCUCUCUCUCUCUCUCUCUCUCUCUCCCAUCACACCCUCCUAAUCUUUAUUUCUUUCACUCGAUCGGUCAACCUCUUUUCUUUCUACAUAAAAAUUAAUCCAAAAUGCAGCCUUUUCCCAUACUCUGUGCUUGCACCGCCACUUUACCUUCUUGAAACCAAAUUACUAACCAUACACAAGUCUACAAAUCUACUAAUGUGUCUUCCAUUUCUCAAAAUCGAAAAAUAGAGAAGGUGUAGAACAUUGAGCUCACUUCUGUGCAUCUCCCACCUCUUUUACACAAAUAUGAAAUUAAAAUUGAAGAACAACUUUGUGAAGAACCUAGAUUGUGGAGAUGAUGAUGAAUAAAGUCGAUAGUUGGUGGUGCUCGGUGAUGUUUGAUGUUAGCGGCAGUACACUAGUGUUGUGGUGAUCGCCUGUUCAGUUGGUUAUAUUCUGGUAGGGUGGACGAUGGUGACCGUAGAACAGUUCAUAUAUAUAUNNNNNNNNNNNNNNNNNNNNNNNNNNNNNNNNNNNNNNNNNNNNNNNNNNNNNNNNNNNNNNNNNNNNNNNNNNNNNNNNNNNNNNNNNNNNNNNNNUAUAUAUAUAUAUAUAUAUAUAUGUGUGUGUGUGUGUGUGUGUGUGUGUGUGUGUGUGUGCGCGCGCACACUACAAGAAAUUUAGGUGUUUAUCCACACACGUUAUAUGUGGCUAAAAGACCUUUAUGUGUAGUUAUCUUUAGCUACACACAGAUUAAGUGUCAUAAUGUAUUGACUCAUGCCUAUAGAUAUAUAUCAUUAACUAUACAUUCAUUAUGUGGAAGUAUAGUGCAAUUAGUACACACAUACAUGUGUGGUUAAAACUAGUAAGUAUGUGCAUAUAGAAAGGGAGCUGAUCCGUUCACAACAAUUUUUCUCCAUACACAAUAAUUGAUGCUUUAAAAUGUUGUAUUAUACAACUAUAUAAUGCAUGAAUUGUUGUGUAUGGCAAAAAACUGUUGUGUACGAAUCACUUCCCAUAUAGAAGUACUAAAAAUUGUUUGAGUUGUCAACGAUGUGGCUGAUGACAUGUCAAAUUAUGUGGCAAGCCCACACAAAGUGUUGGUGAUAUGUGUUAUUCGAUAUGUGUGGGUAAUAAUUGUUAUAUGUGUAGGUUAAGAUAAGAUAUAUGAAAUAUAUAAAACACAAUAAAUGAAAUAUAAAAUUUAACAACACAAAUUGUUAUUACUUUUAAUAAGGAGUUAACGAUAUAUAAAACUUCUUUUGGAAUGGAAGUAUGUAGCACCCAAAGUCAGAAAGGCCAAGAAAGGAAAGGAAACCCUAAGUUUAAGGGACGACUCAGCAAGUCCAAGGAGGUACUCGGCGAGUCCGAGCGGGAUCCGGGUCGAGGAGUAAAUGACCGACUCGGCGAGUCGGCCAAGGAGACUCGGUGAGUCUGGUCUGUACGAGGAAAUCCCUAAAUUCGGGACUUGGAGCCUAUUUAAGCGCCUCAUUCUCUUCUCUAGGGUUCCUCUACUGCCUCUCUAACCNCUCAACCCCACCCCCGCCCCGCCAUAUCCAUUGUUGAGCCAAUUAUUGCUUUGAAGAGUGCAUUAAAGCUUGGAGAAGGAAGAAGGACCUUGGAGGUGCAAGAAGGAGCUAUAGAUCUGGGCUUGGGAAGAUAUUUCUGAACAUUUGGAGGUAAUAAACUAGUUCUUGGACUCCUUUGCACCUAGAUCUAUGUGUGAGUUUUGGGGCUUUUGGCCAUGAUUGGUACCCAUUUAAGUUAGAAGCCAGAUCUAAAGUUGCUACUUCGGAUAUAAGCAUAUUAUGGGCUUGUGAAGCAUAAAGUAUCAGCCCUUGAGUUGAUUAUGGAGCCUCUUUGCAUUAAACCCUAUUUUAUGGUGUGUCUAGCCUAGAUCUCCUUCUCUACACGUAAAGUUUGCAACUUUACGUGAGGAAUAGGCUUGGGAAGGGUAGAUCUACAGUUUGGGGUCCAUGCAUGACUCAAAAGUCCUCUACAUGUAUGUAGAUCUGAAUGGACUCGGCGAGUCCUUUGAGUGGACUCGGGGAGUAGCAUGAAGAUUAGGAGGAACUCAACGAGUGGGAUGAACAGCUCAUCGAGUCGGAUGAAGUUGGGCAGGAACUCGGCGAGUUGGAAGAACAACUCGGAGAGUCGGUUGAAGAUUGCCUUGGACUAGGUGAGUCUGUUCUUGGACUCGGCGAGUCAGGUCGCGAAACCCUAAACCCUUCGACUUGAGACUCGAAUCAGUGAGUCGAGUGGAGACUCGGUAAGUUGGACAGGUCAGGACUCGGAAAUCGGUAGACUCGGCGAGUCAUGGACUGACUCGGUGAGUCGAGUCGCGAUUGGAAGGACUUAGAGCAUAUGAACUCGGCGAGUCAAUAGGUAGACUCGGCGAGUAGGGUUGACCUGGAAGAUUGACUUUGAACAGGACUUUGACUUUGACCAGAGUUGACUUAGUUGACUGUUGGGGGUCAGUUAGUCUAAGUGUUUCAUUGAUAUUGGUAGCUCGGGGAGCUAGUGGAGCAGGAGUUCAGAGAGUUUCCGGGCAGCAUCCAGAAGGUUAUCAGCAUGUUCAGCAAGUGCAUGUGAGUUUCCCUUUGUGCCAAUGGGUCUACGGUCACAAUGUCGGCCCAUGUAGUUAUGAGUAGAAGACCCGGGGGUUAGCCCUAGGCACAGUAUGCUAGUAUGAUAUUCAGGACGAGGUCCAAUGAUAGCGGGCGGGUGCCCAAGGAAUGGUUUAUGUGAUAGUUUAUACUUGUUGUAUGUGUGAUACUUGUAUGUGUCUGGUAGGGAGGUGAGUGUGGGCGAGGUCCCGUAUCUCACCAAUAGCAGAGUGUGGAUGGUGUUCCACAUCUCAGUAGCAGCAGAGCAGGGGCGAGGCCCAAGUUAGGGAAGGAGUGAGGGUGGGCUGGGCCCGUACCUCACUAUCAGCAGGAGUAUGGACGGGGUUCCAUGACUCAUCAGUAGCAGGACAAGGGCGGGGCCCAGAGAUAGGCGAGGCCUUAGGACAAGAUCCGUUAGUAUGUGUUUAGCUUAUGUGAUGUGAUGUGAUAUGUUUAUGUGCUAUUAUAUGUUAGUGGGCGAGGCCCUGUGACAGGCGAGGCCUAAGUGAAACAGAUCUGUAUCCGAGCGGGGCUCGAAGCCAGGCGGGGCCUGGAGCGGCGGGGCCGUUGUAGCGGGCGAGGCCCGAGGUAGGGGGGGAGGCCCAGGAUAGCGGGCGUGGCCCAGCGUGUGCAGUAUGUGGUUAUGCAUGGUAUGUGGUAGGGUGGGGAACUCACUAAGCUUCGUGCUUACGGUUUUCAGUUUUGGUUUCAGGUACUUCCGGUAGCGGAGGGAAGAGCUCGGGGGUGAUCGCAUGGCACACACCAUAGAUUAGACAGUCUGGGAAUGUUUUACUCUGACAAUGAACAUGUGUUUUGGAAAAUUAAUACUCUGAUUAUGUUUUGAAUUGGUGACCUUGCUUAAAGAAAUCUUUUAUUAAAAGAAAUUUUUAGUCAUGAAUUUUGGGACGUUACAAGUUGGUAUCAGAGCCUUGGUUUGAGGGAUUCGGGCAUACUCUCGGGUGUGCCUGAACUCAAACUAAGGGGUCGGAUAAAAAGUUUUCAAAAUGAAAAGACAGUUUUCUAAAAAGAGAGUUUUGGGAAAGAAAACAGUUUUAGAAAAGCAAAAAGAAUUCAGAAAGAAAAGAACUUUGAAAAGAAAAAAAUGGUGUGGUGCAUGCAAUCAGCUGGUCUUAAGUAAGUACCCCAAAUUACCCAUACAAGUUUAUGUUAUGAUUAUCAGUUAGUAGAACAGCAUGCUAGAUUAGGACUAAGGAUCUAGGGAGGAUGCCUUAUGUGCCUAUUAUAUGUGCUUUGAGUUGCAUGAUAGUGUUGAUUAGACAGUGGUAGGAUAGCCUGUUUAGGUUAUGCCUGAGUAUAUGAGUUUGUGUUGCAUGCUAGUUCAGAUUCUUGCUAUGUGGAUAUGAUUGCUUAUGUAUGUUAUGGUUAGAUUUUCCCCUUGUCUGAAUGCUGCCUGCUUUGUGCAAUAUGGGAUUCCGAGUGAUGGGAGUAACCAUUAGGUGGAUACGUCACGUCACAUGUGAUCAGGGUUGAAUAAUCUCAGAGUGCUAAAUUUGGCCCUAUUUCGCAGCUCUCGUUUGAGUCCAACCAUUGUAGGGAUGAGUCUUUUACUCGAAGAAUUAUCUGAGCCUUGUCACAUGUGAUGGUGUCCAGUUGAUGGCCAAUUGGCAUCACAAGGAGUCCUUCAGCAGCUGAGGCCUGGUUUGGUGUGAGUCAGAGGUUUCCUUAGGGUAAGCCUAGGAUGAGAUAGUGUUGGGAGCAGUAGUAGUGGAUAAGGGACCUGGUGGAGUCGAAGCAAUUCCNGAGGAAAGUACAGAUAGAUAUGGAUGGUAGUAUGGGCCCGUACUACUGAAAGCAGAGGAUCCGUACUCGAUUCGGGAAAGGCUGAGACAAGACCGAGAACCUAGUAGGGUGAGUGUGUGUCUGGUCUCACAGCAGUGAUAAGUAUUCUGAUAGAGGAUGUAUUAUAUAUUCAGCAUGGUGACAUUGCGAGAGAGACCAGUGGGUGGACCAGGCGCCGGAGAGGGAUCGCUCGGGGUCNAGCAGCUCGAGGAGCGGAUGAGGGAGUUGAUAUCAGCUGAGGUUACGCGCAGUAUUCUAGAUCAGACUCCUGUGAUCUUUGGCACGGUCAAGGAGGGUAUAUUGGAGAUUUUGGAUGAGAGGCUGGGAGCCUUCCGUACCGAGAUGAUGGCAUUGAUGGGAGCACGUACCUUGACAUUUCGAGAGUUCAGGGCUUGCGGGGCACCAGAUUAUCAUGGGGCUAGGGACCCCAUCGCUAGCAGCAGAUGGUUGGUUGAUGUUGCCAAUGCAUUCCGUACGAGCCGGUGUCCUGAGGGGGACAAGGUUAGGCUCGCUUCUUGUCUUCUGAAGAACAGAGCAAGGGAUUGGUGGGAGGAGAUUAGUCAUGCCUUGGGGGAUGAUGUCGCGUUGGAUGCGAUGACUUUGAGCGAUUUCUCGUCCAGGUUCAGGGCGGAGUUUUCGCCGAUUAUUGAGGUGCAGCAGUUGCCACAGGAGUUUCAGGAUUUGACGCAGACCACUGAGACUGUGGCGGAGAUCACCGCCAAGGUCAGGGAGAGGGCUCUUCUUGUACCGCAGUGUGUCGCGGAUGAGGAGAUGAAGAAGGCCCGAUACCAUGAGAUGUUGAGGGAUGAUAUCAGGGUGUUCGUGAUCAGGUCCAGCUGUAAGACGCUAGAAGAUAUGAUUUCUCGAGCUAGAGAGAGGGAAAUUGAUUUGGAGCAGAUCCGGAAGAGGAAGCCGGAUGAGGUUUAGGUAGCCACAGGUUCGGGCAAAAGGCCUAAGGGAUCAGAUUCGAGAUCGAGGGAUUAUCAGGACCGCAGUCGGUGCGGGAAGUGUGGCAGGGCGCACAGGGGUGCGUGUAGGAGUGGUAGCGGUGGUGAUUCUGGCUGCUUCAAGUGCGGUCGGACUGGUCAUUUCAGUAGAGAUUAUACUGUUACCACCACACAGGGAUCAGACUUGAUAUGUUUUCACUGCAAUCAGCGGGGCCACAAGAAGGCCCAGUGCCCCAGUUUGUUUUCAAUAGGACGGGUGAUGACACUUGCCCCUGCAACUUUGAGGAUCACAGACGGCCGUCAGGGCCGUGCAGAGGCGCCUGCGGUAGGAGGCAGGUCUUUUCAGAUGACUACCUUGGAGGCGCGAGCAGCACCGGACGUUGUAGGUAUGCGAUUUUGUUUUCAGUUCUUUUAUUUGUGCAUGAUUAUAUUGUUAUGGUUCUGGAUCAUCAUUGGUUUGAGUAUUUUAUUUUUUGAGCGGUUGAUUGUGAUCGAGUUAUAUGCCAUCUUAAUACCUUGGAUAUUUGAAUGGUAGUUAGGAGAUGUGCUCUAUUAGAGAAGGUUUCAUAGGAUGCAGUAAUUGUAGCAUGCCUGGGAGGGACUUGGUAUGUCUCGCUAGAUCGGAGUUGUAUAAUGUUAGAGAUGGAUUGGUUAGAUCCCUAGCUAUGGUGAGCUUGGGUUCCUCAGCAGCUUGAUUAUGGAAUGGUAGCAAGGAUUGGGAUUCUUUUGAGUAUUGAGCAGCAAGGGGUAAGCAGGAUCGAAGUGGGGGAGAAUCCUCCGAGUGUGCAAAGGUAGGAUCACGCAGACCCAAAAUGAGUGCGCGACCUCCGAGAAGGAAAAGAAGUAGUUCAGCGUUUGAUGGAUUGAGGAUUUCAGGGUUGGGAUUUUGAGAAACUCCCCAUCAGCUAGUGCGUGUGAUGGUGAUGGUUAGUAUGUGGUUGGGAAUUCAGGUUGUGGAUCGCCCGUAGGACUCGAGGGAGUCGGAAUGAGGAUCUUGAGAGCUAAUGGCACAUGGGUGCCUUCGUAUUAGCAGUCAGUGGUAGAAAGUGAUGUAAGACUACGGGGCAGCCGUAGCAUUCACUAACAGUUAGUGGUAGAAAGUGAUGUAAGACUACGGGGCAACUAUAACACUCACUAGUAGUCAGUGGUGGAAGUGUUGUAAGACUACGGGGCAACCAUAGCAUUCACUAGCAGUCAGUGAUGGAUGGUGAUGUAAGACUACUAGUAAGCCGUAGCAUUCCUUAGUAGCUUCGUUAGCGGAGUUGGGGCGAGGCCCUUAUCUCCUAGCGAUCAGAUAGGGAUCAGGAAUGGGUAGUGGAUGAAAGUGAUAGGAAGUUUGCUUGUAUAGCCCUAGAGAGGUGAGACCUUGGGAGAGGCCGCUCCAGGAUAUAGUUGGGUGAGGCCUGUGGGCGAGGCCCGUAUGAGAGUAGCGGUAUAGGUGAGACCUGAGAGUAGGGUUGCUCAGUAGUAUGGCCGGGUGAGACCCGUAGGCGAGGCCCGAGAGAGAGUGGUUAGACAAGUAGGACUAGAAGGAUAGAGGCGGGGGGGACCCGUGGGCGAGGCCCGUGUGUUUUAGCGGCAUAGGGGGGACCUGGUAAGGACCUUAGUGUCAAGAUAAGGGAUCGGGGAUCCAUGGAUUGUAGUGACUGAAUGGCAGAAUAGAUUGCGCAGUUAUAGGUGGUCAAAGUUCCUUCGAAAGUCGCUGGGAGCGACUAGGAGUAGUGUUGGGACUAGCGACCGGUGGGAUCCGGUAAUCCAGAUAUUGGUAGGACGGUAGGGAUUAGGGUGGUCUCAGUUCAUCCGGAAGGCAGAUAAGGAAUAGCAGAAUUUUCAGUCAGUAGUAGUGCGGGUAAGCAGUGUAUGGUGGAAUUCAGUUAGUUGUAUCGAGGGGUGCUCGACACCAAGUUUUGACAGAGAGGAGUGUCAGUGGUUACUGGCGGUGAUGACCUGUACUGGAAGUAGCGGGGGUGAUGGAGUUGGCGAAGGAUAUGACCUUCACAGUGACAGAGGAAAUAGUUGGUUAUGGAGCAUUGCCUUGGGAAGGCAAGGAAUUCGCACAAGGAAAGAAGGGGUGAACCCCUAUAGGUUCAGUACAGUACUCGGUGAGUACCGGAAGGAUUGUCGGUUGAGUAAGUUGUGUUUCCAGGAUGUUCAGGGUCAGGGUGACCUGAGUCUAUUAUCCGCAAGGAAUGAUGUUAGUCAGAAUGACCGGGCGGAAGACCAGCGAAGGUAGGCAGCUGGUGUUGGAAUGAUUAGUUGGGUAUUGAAAGCAUAUCGCAGGCAGUGGCCCAUAGCAAACUUCGAGGAUGAAGUUUAGUUUAAGUGGGGGAGAGUUGUAACACCCAAAGUCAGAAAGGCCAAGAAAGGAAAGGAAACCCUAAGUCUAAGGGAUGACUCAGUAAGUCCAAGGAGGAACUCGGCGAGUCCGAGCGGGAUCCGGGUCGAGGAAUAAGUGAACGACUCGGCGAGUCGGCCAAGGAGACUCGGUGAGUCUGGUCUGUACGAGGAAAUCCCUAAAUUUGGGACUUGGAGCCUAUUUAAGCGCCUCAUUCUCUUCCCUAGGGUUCCUCUACUGCCUCUCUAACCCAGAACACCAAACCCUAGCCGCCAUAUCCGUUGUUGAGCCAAUUAUUGCUUUGAAGAGUGCAUUAAAGCUUGGAGAAGGAAGAAGGGCCUUGGAGGUGCAAGAAGGAGCUAUAGAUCUGGGCUUGGGAAGAUAUUUCUGAACAUUUAAAGGUAAUAAACUAGUUCUUGGAAUCCUUUGCACCAAGAUCUAUGUUGAGUUUUGGGGCUUUUGGCCAUGAUUGGUAUCCAUUUGAGUUAGAAGCCAGAUCUAAAGUUGGAACUUCGGAUCUAAGCAUAUUUUGGCCUUGUGAAGCAUAAAGUAUCAGCCCUUGAGUUGAUUAUGGAGCCUCUUUGCAUUAAACCCUAUUUUAUGGUGUGUUUAGCCUAGAUCUCCUUCUCUACACGUAAAGUUUGCAACUUUACGUGAGGAAUAGGCUUGGGAAGGGUAGAUCUACAGUUUGGGGUCCAUGCAUGACUCAAAAGUCCUCUACAUGUAUGUAGAUCUGAAUGGACUCGACGAUUCCUUUGAGUGGACUCGGCGAGUAGCAUGAAGAUUAGGAGGAAUUUGACGAGUGGGAUAAACAGCUCGUCGAGUCAGAUGAAGUUGGGCAGGAACUCGGCGAGUUGGAAGAACAACUCGGCGAGUCAGUUGAAGAUUGCCUUGGACUUGGCGAGUCUGUUCUUGGACUCGGCGAUUCAGGUCACGAAACCCCAAACCCUUCGAGUUGAGACUCGAAUCAGUGAGUCGAGUGGAGACUCGGUGAGUUGGACAGGUCAGGACUCGGAAAUCGGUAGACUCGGCGAGUCGAGUCGCGAUUGGAAGGACUUUGAGCAUAUGAACUCGGCGAGUCAAUAGGUAGACUCGGCGAGUAGGGUUGACCUAGAAGAUUGACUUUGACCAGGACUUUGACUUUGACCAGAGUUGACUUAGUUGACUGUUGGGGGUCAGUUAGUCUAAGUGUUUCAUUGAUAUUGGUAGCUCGGGGAGCUAGUGGAGCAGGAGUUCAGAGAGUUUCUGGGCAGCAUCCAGAAGGUUAUCAGCAUGUUCAGCAAGUGCAUGUGAGUUUCCCUUUGUGCCAAUGGGUCUACGGUCACAAUGUCGGCCCAUGUAGUUAUGAGUAGNGGAAGGUUGACUUUGACCAGGACUUUGACUUUGACCAGAGUUGACUUAGUUGACUGUUGGGGGUCAGUUAGUCUAAGUGUUUCAUUGAUAUUGGUAGCUCGGGGAGCUAGUGGAGCAGGAGUUCAGAGAGUUUCUGGGCAGCAUCCAGAAGGUUAUCAGCAUGUUCAGCAAGUGCAUGUGAGUUUCCCUUUGUGCCAAUGGGUCUACGGUCACAAUGUCGGCCCAUGUAGUUAUGAGUAGAAGACCCGGGGGUUAGCCCUAGGCACAGUAUGCUAGUAUGAUAUUCGGGACGAGGUCCAAUGAUAGAGGGCGGGUGCCCAAGGAAUGGUUUAUGUGAUAGUUUAUACUUGUUGUCUGUGUGAUACUUGUAUGUGCCUGGUAGGGAGGUGAGUGUGGGCGAGGUCCCGUAUCUCACCAAUAGCAGAGUGUGGAUGGUGUUCCACAUCUCAGUAGCAGCAGAUCAGGGGCGAGGCCCAAGUUAGGGAAGGAGUGAGGGUGGGCUGGGCCCGUACCUCACUAUCAGCAGGAGUAUGGACGGGGUUCCAUGACUCAUCAGUAGCAGGACAAGGGCGGGGCCCAGAGAUAGGCGAGGCCUUAGGACAAGAUCCGUUAGUAUGUGUUUAGCUUAGGUUAUGUGAUGUGAUAUGUUUAUGUGCUAUUAUAUGUUAGUGGGCGAGGCCCUGUGACAGGCGAGGCCUAAGUGAAACAGAUCUGUAUCCGAGCGGGGCUCGAAGCCAGGCGGGGCCUGGAACGGUGAGGCCGUUAUAGCGGGCGAGGCCCGAGGUAGGGGCGAGGCCCAGGUUAGCGGGCGUGGCCCAGUAUGUGCAGUAUAUGGUUAUGCAUGGUAUGUGGUAGGGUGGGGAACUCACUAAGCUUCGUGCUUACGGUUUUCAGUUUUGGUUUCAGGUACUUCCGGUAGCGGAGGGAAGAGCUCGGGGGUGAUCGCAUGACACACACCAUAGAUUAGACAACCUGGGAAUGUUUUACUCUGAUAAUGAACAUGUGUUUUGGAAAAUUAAUACUCUGAUUAUGUUUUGAAUUGGUGACCUUGCUUAAAGAAAUGUUUUAUUAAAAGAAAUUUUUAGUCAUGAAUUUUGGGACGUUACAAAGUACAUUAAUCCUUGGUACAAAUAUUACAUCAACAAAAGUUAUCUCUAAGCUUUCAUGAAAUUGAAGACCUUAUGCCUAACACAACCAUUGUAUCUAGAUAAGAUUUUCCUACUUAUUUACUUUGUUGUGUGCAAAUAUUAAUACACUUGACUUAAGCAUCACCAACAUUUGGACAUAAUUGUUGACGUUGAGGUGGUUGGUUAGAGCAUUAGUCAACUUUAAUAUUCAAGUGAAGACGUAUCAAAUACAAGUGAUUGUAGUUCACUCCUAUAGCAACAAGAGGAGCAGAGGCUUUAAGUAGUUUAUCCAUUUCAACAUGAAACUCUUUUCACACAUGAACGAUCUUAUGACACCUGUCAAAUGCCUCUUAAAAUAUACAAUCAACACUUGGUCAGUAGCUUUCUUCUCUGUGGCCAGAACCAUGACCUCUUCAUUUCCCUAUAUUAAUGAUGACAGGUUCAUAAACUAAAAGGACUGUAAAGUCAAAAUAGUUGACAUUAUGUUGACAUACCUAGUGGUGUGAAGAGAAGAAUAAAUAGAAUGUUUGUAAUAAACCCGCUUUCUUGGGUGAGGAAACCAUGACACUUGUUCAGAAAUGAAACAUCCCAACUAGCACCUAACGACUUUUGCUACAUUGAGAUAUACUAGCAAACAACAUAAGCAAAUCACAUGGAAAAUUAUUACAAUUAAUAAAACUCAUAAAUAAAGUGGUAAAAACAGCCUUGCACACACUCUUGAUUAAAAAAAUAGUUUAUAUUAGUGUAACAUCCCGAUUUCUCGAUAUCAGUUUAAAGUUCUAGAGUCAUGUUUCAAAGACAACUCGACGAGUUGAUAGGCCAACUCGUUGAGUAGUGACCAAAUCAGCCAUGUGGAUUUUAGACCCUACUCGUCGAGUUGGAGGACCCGACUCGACGAGUAGGUGCUGGAAAGUGAAAACCAUAAUUUUUAGGGUUUGCACCCUAUUUAAAGGUCCUUAACUUUCCUCCUCAGCCUCCCUUGUCACCUUCACGUCCAAAAAAACCAACUAGUCUCUAUUCUUGAGUGUGUGAGACCAAAAGAGAGUGUAUUGGAGCAUUCUUAAGGAGUUAAGAGCUUUGAACAAGGGAUAGCUUGUAGAUCCAACUUUUCCAGUGUUGUGACAACAAUAUUGAGUUAUAAAGCUACCACCUUUAUAUUUCAUUGCUUAGAUCUUCCUUUUUGGUAAAGUAAUUGUCAUGUCUAGGGCAUGAUGGGGUCACACUCGGAUUUAAGCUUGCCACAAGGGCAUAGUUUUAGAACUUGACUUCUUAAGGCCUUAUGAACAUAAAUCCUUAAGCUUUAUGAAGCCCUAGCCCUCCUUCAUGUCCAAAACCUUCUCCUAAUGCUAAUUAUGAGUGUUUUAGCUUCAUAGAACCAUGCAUGCAUGUAAAGUUAGCAACUUUAUGUGAUAACAACACCCUAGGAGCAUAGAUCUACUGUUUGGAGCUUUGGAGCAGCUUAAAAUAGUCUGAAUGAGUGAUGGACUGAAGGAGACUCGACGAGUUUCAUGGUUGAAUCGAAGAGUCGGUUGAAGAUUGCCCAUAAUGGUUUUGCAUGGACUCGGCAAGUCAGUAAGAAGACUCGACGAGUCAGUUAGGGUUCUUCCUGACAUUUAGACACGCGUAGACUCGCCGAGUUGGUGGGGAAACUCUGCGAGUUGGCCCAGGGAUUUCACGGUUUUCUGAGUUUUGGAGGAACUCGAUAGGUCAGUAGUUGGACUCGACGAGUUGGGUCAACAUGGACUGUUGACCUUGACUGUUGACUUGGAGUUUGACCAGGGUUAACCAUGUUUGACUUUGGAGGGUAUUUGGUAAAUGGGUAUUUAAGGAAAUGGAUCAUGGGUGGAUAUAGGUAAUGGAGUUUGGGGCAGUAUUUUGAGAGCGUGAUUUCGUGGUUUAGUUCGGCAUUGCAAGGUGAGUUAUCCUCACUAUAUCAACAGGGUCUAAGGCACCAAGGUCAGCCCUUUAUCUGAUUUGUAUUCGGGUAUUUGCUUGAUAUGUUUUUUGAUCUGCUAGAUCUGCAUCCUGGUAGUUAGGAUGGUAUUAUGUUUAGUGACCUGGUUUAGGUCAGUAUCCUGGUAUAUGGGAUGAUGUUAUGUUAGUGACCGGUUAGGUCGGUAUCCUGGUUAUAGGACGGUUGUUGUGUUAGUAAUCAGUUAGUUUGGUAUGAUUAUCUGUUGUAUACAUGCUCGCGUAUAAUAUUUAUGUGCACAUGAUUGUUUGAUUGUUAUGGGGGUUGGGUUGAGGCGGGUCCUGCUUCGUGUUGUAGGCCAACAUACCCAUGGCGGACCGGAAAGACUACAGGCCCAGGAAGGCACAUUGUCCAACCAAUGGCCCAACGAGCGGUCCGGAUAGGCUGAAGGCCCCGAGAGGGUGGUCCAAACGUGCCGAGGCUCGGAGAGUGGGCCAGGUGGACUGAAGGCCCGGUGCGGGCGGUCCAGUCAUACUGUAGACUCAAAGAGUGGACCAGGUGGACUGAAGACCCAGUGCGGGUGGACCAGUCACACAGUAGACUCGGGAUGCAUGGCUGUUCAGUGUUUGUUAUAUGAUAUGAUUAUGGAUUGUAUGAGGUUGGUAUUUUGGGGGUAACUCACUAAGCCUUCGAGCUUACGUUUAUCAAUUUAUGUUUCAGGUACAACGAAUUAACCCAGGAAGACGAAUGUGUGAUCGUACACUUCCCCAUAAUAUGUUUUGGAUUUUCUGGGAUACUCUGAUGUGAAACUAUUUUGGAAACCUUUUUGUAAUAACUAUUGGCAUUUGAAAUGUUUUUAAAAGUUUAAAUUUGGCUUGGAUUUUAUGGGUGUUACAAUUAUUUCAAUUAUCCAAGACGAUUUUAUGUCGAGAUUUUAAGUUAACAUUAAAUCUCAAUUAUUUGUUUGAAUGAUUUUUUUCUUUUAUCUUAGAGAUUUGUUUGAAAUUUAUUAAUUUUUUUUAUAAAUUUGAAUUAAUCAAAGACACAUAUAAAAAUAUCUCAUCAAAUCAAAUAAAUUUAAUAUAUAAAAAAGAUAGUAUCCGAUUAAGUCAAUCUAAAAAUACCAACAUAUAAAUAUAACUCACAAAUCUUGAUGGGAAUAAGAAUCAAACUCAAAAUCAAUCAAAUAAAAAAACCUUUGAUUUGUGUUAUAAGUAUAAAAUAAAUCAGGAUUCCAAAUAAAUAUUACAAUGAAAAAAAACCUAAAAUGUUUGAAACAAAAUAUGAAAUUCGCCAUCACUGUCAAUUUAAAAAAAAAACCUUUAUUAAUACUAAUGGGCUAUUUGGUAGCAUCCUGAUGAAUCAUAUCUGAAUGAUCUAGAUGCCUGGAUGAUCUAGAUGCUCUUUAGGAAUUUCUAUCGGAAUGAUAAAAUAAUGUUUGGUUAGGCAUCUAAAUAUCUGCCUCUUAAUGAGGAAAAUAACCAUUUUAGCCCUCUAAAUUAUUUUUUGAAUACAAAAUAAACAUUAUACAAUAUCCAACAAAUCGGUUAAAACAAAUUGGCUUUUGAUAUUCAGAUUCAUGUGUUUCUUCAUCAACAAUCUCUUUGAAGAGGACUCGUUUUGUUUCUGUUUUUAGAUCAUUAGGCUUUCUUGCUUCUGGAACAUUGAUGGGCCUAUUUUCUUGCUGAAUAUCUUCCAUCACUAGCAACUUCAUCUUGCUCCUAGAUCACAUAUCAACUAAACAAGUUGAAAAAUAACCAAACACAUAUUUUCAUAUAGAACAUUUCAAGCAAACACAAACACAUUUUCAAAAAAAAAAAAACAAAUCAAUUGUUAUUUUCAGAUUUCCAAAGGACAAAAACAACAUCAACUGAACACAUAUAUAGAGCAAGAAGAACAAAGCACAAAAAUCGAUUUCAUACAAAAUCGAGCAGCAAGAACACGAUUGACACCAAUUUCAUGCAAAAUUGCUCAACAAUAACACGAUUGAAGCAACAGAUUCGAGAAAAAAAACCAUACCUGAAAACUUACCGACGACGAGUAGGCGGAGAAGUAGGAGCGUUGUCGAAGGCAUGCAAGGGGAGGCGGCGACGGAGCCAAUAAUUGGAAGUUGUCAACGCUUAAUGAAGAUAAAGAAUGAGGGAUGAAAGGUCGAUCUCUAGAAAGAAGGAGAAGAAAAAAGAGUCGGCCGCAAUUUGUUGUUAGGGCAAUGGUAGAAGAUGAAAAUUUUUUUAUUCAGACUUCUCCUCAUAUCUUAACGAAUCAGAUUAGUUUUAGCUACAUCUGACCGAUUAAGAGCGUAAAAAUGUUUCAACCAAACACUCUGAAUCUUAAUGAUCCAAAUGCAACCUCUUAAUGAGACCAUUAAGAGGCAAAACAAACAGCCCCUAAAUAAAAAAAACAAUAUAGUUUCCAUAAAAAUCGAUUUAAAUAUUAAAGAAGAGAAGAAAUCAGCAUUUAUACGACGUAAUAGUUUUUUAAAAUUAAAAAAAAAAAAUUAUUCAUAUUAUAAGUAUAAAAUACAUUUUAUUCUUAACUCUCAUUUGUAAUUUGCCAUAUGUUUUCAUAAGAGUUUAUGGUAAUAACUUAAAUUUUUAUUUUUCCAUAUACCAUUUUUCAUUUACAAAAUUGUUUGUGCUUAUUUUUUUUUGUUAUAUUAAAAUUUAUUAUAUUUUAUUAUAUAAUAUAUAUCAUAAUUUUUUUCAUUAAUUUACAUAUAUCUUAUUUUUACGUGUUUAUUUGAAACAAUCGUUAUAAUGCAAAAUAAAUACCACUUCUCCAUAUUAAUUAUUAAUUUUUAUUAAAAUACUUUAUUAAUUAUUAUAAUUUUUAUCUAUUGAUAUUCGUUUAAUUUUGUAAGUUUUAUUUUCACAAAGUAUAACCUAAUUAAUUUCUCAUCAUCUAUAGUAAAUGAAAGUUUUUUUUUUCACAUGCAAUCACUAAUUAAUUUUGACACUUGUCAUUUUAUAAUAUUUUUUAAAUAAAUAAUAUCCACAUAUCAAUUUAUGAUUUUUNNNNNNNNNNNNNNNNNNNNNNNNNNNNNNNNNNNNNNNNNNNNNNNNNNNNNNNNNNNNNNNNNNNNNNNNNNNNNNNNNNNNNNNNNNNNNNNNNNNNNNNNNNNNNNNNNNNNNNNNNNNNNNNNNNNNNNNNNNNNNNNNNNNNNNNNNNNNNNNNNNNNNNNNNNNNNNNNNNAUCAAAUGUAAUAAAUAUUAUUUUAAAAUUUCAUUUUAAAAAAUAUUUAUUAUUACAUUUUAAUAUUUUAUAUUCUUUAAUCAACCGUGUAAUACAUUUUAAUACAUAGAUUUUCCAUCUAAUAAAUAAAUAAAAUGUAACCAUUUUAAUCACUAAAUAAUUAAUCAACCAAAGAUUAAAACCCACUGAUAAAAAGGAAACUAAAUCAACACCAAAUUGAAAAUUAAACCAUAUAUUACUAAAUUAAUUCACAGAGAGUUCGACAUCAAUCAAAUAUUAUCUCGCACUCAAAUUCACAAAACUCACUUUCCAGGUACAAAGUUUGUAGCAUAUGACCAUGCAUUGUUUGCAACAGGGUCAGCAAGGUGGUCAGCGAGGUUCUCCAAUGGUCCCUUUCCGGUAACAAUGGCUUGAACAAAGAAUCCAAACAUAGAGAACAUGGCUAGUCUACCGUUCUUGAGCUCCUUCACUUUCAGCUCAGCAAAUGCCUCUGGGUCAUCAGCCAGACCCAAUGGGUCGAAGCUACCACCAGGGUAAAGUGGGUCAACUACCUCACCAAGAGGUCCACCAGCAAUUCUGUAACCUUCAACUGCACCCAUCAAGAUCACUUGGGUAGCCCAGAUGGCUAAAAUGCUUUGUGCAUGGAUCAAACUUGGGUUCCCCAAGUAGUCAAGACCACCCUCACUAAAGAUCUGGGAUCCAGCCUUGAACCAUACAGCCUCACCAAACUUGACACCAUUACGCGCCAAGAGUUCGGGGAAGACGCACCCAAGAGCUCCGAGCAUGGCCCAUCUGCUGUGGAUGACCUCAAGCUCACGGUUCUUGGCGAAUGUUUCAGGAUCAGCAGAGAGCCCAGCAGUGUCCCAACCGUAGUCACCGGGGAACUCACCGGUCAGGUAAGAUGGGGCUUCGCCGGAGAAUGGGCCAAGGUACUUAACACGGUCGGGGCCGUACCAUGGACUUCCUGAUGGUGCGACUUUCUUGACUGCUGUCUUCCUCAUGGAAACCCUUCCAUUUCCGAUUAUUUCUGAACCAGAUGGUGCUGCUUUCACUGCCUGUCCGACGAAAGAAGAAGAUAGAGCCAUGGUGGAAGCUGCCAUUUUUGUGAGAUUUAUUUUGAAGAUGUUGUGAUGGUUAUACUUAUGAAGAUGGGUAGAACUGGAAGUAGAUUUAUAGGGUAGUUUUUGGAUCAGAUAGGUGAUCAAUGCUUAUCUUGAUACAAUCUUUAGCUUCAAUUUGAUUGGCUACAGAGAUUCUUGUGGGUCCGUAAUCUGUGGUGUGAGUUCUCUGGCCCCCCUGAGAUAUUUUGAAGGGGCAGGAUAUUCGUGGCUCUGGUUUAUUGAGCCAAUGACUGGCUUUCACUCACUACUCUUAGUGGUGGUUUUUUAUAAUAUGCUGUAAGCUUGUAACCAUCCAAUCGUCUAAGUUUAUAACUGACCUAUUAUUACAAAUAUAUACUAACCAGGCAAAACUUUUGGUUAUAAAAGUUAAUGUGACCGAGAGACUAACACAAAAAAUUAUAACAGGAGUAGUUAAUAAUCCGCGAUUUACCGCUAUGCCGAGAGCCGUAGGGAGGAUCCACCAUUUACCCCUAAGUGUGCAGAAUGCCUUUUUUUUUUUAGUAUUAAAAUAUCAAGAUCGGACACGCGUUGUAAAAUUCUUGUUCGAAUUGUUUGCAAACUCUUCGUCACAAUAAGGGGAGUUUAAAUAUGCGUUUUAAUAUAAUAACAUUGGCAUUGAUUAAAUGUUAAUAUUCAAUUAUCAUCCCACAUGAGAAUGAAAUAUAUUAAUGAUUUAUUAAUCUAAAAACAUUAUCAUCCCACAUGAGAAUGAAAUAUAUUAAUGAUUUAUUAAUCUAAAAACAAUUUUUUUAUGUCAUUAUUUUUUGGGGUUACAGUCGAGCUUGGAGGAUCUCGACUUUAGGUAUGCCCAUUUUAUUGAGAGGAAUUACUAAUAAAUUUCGGAAAGAGGAAAAAAAUAUGAUCGUGGACAUAUGGUUUAGGAAUAUUUUCAUGUUCGUUUGACACAAGUAAAGUUCUUGAAAUGGGUGCUUCAGUUUGUACGAGCGGCUAACUUGAUAAAGUUCAAAGACAUAAAGGCAAUUUUCAAAAACUCACAUGAUCAGUUAUCGAACAAGCAUGUCGUACUAGUGUGCCCACUACACAUGUUAGUUAGCGGUUUCAAUAGGAAAAGAGCAUCAUUAGCUGUCAAUGAUAAUAUUCUUUCUCUAGUACUCGAUCCUUACGACUUUUAUAUUUAUAUCAUGUAAUUUAGAAUUUAAUUUAAUUUCUAUUAAUCUUCGAUUACAGUUUAUGUGAUCUAAUUCAUGGAUGUUUUGGCACUACAUAUCUCAAUGGAGUAUGCCAGGGAAAUUUUGGUCAUAACAACAGCCUCCAUGGGUUUAUAUAUAUUUUUAAGGUACAUAUAACAUCCUAUUUUUAGGCUUAGAAAUUUUGGUCAUUUAUAGUGAAAAUAAUUUUUUUUAAUAAAAAAAUAAAAAAGGAAAAAUAAAAAUAAAAAGAAUGACUGAAUGAAUACAUGAGCUAAUAAAAGGUUUAGAUCAAAUGUUUAAAGAAAAUAGCGAAUUUAUACUUAAAAUAGGAAAUAAAUAAGGAAGGGUCAGUGGUGGCAACUUUGGAAAACUUGUUUAAUUUAGAUCUAACUAGACAAUUUAUUUGUAAAGAGUUAAAAAUGUAACGAAAUGAUACUUAUAAGCUUAAGAGGGAGUUUUUCAGUUGGAAAUGUUGUUAGAAACCCUUAUUGGAAAAAAUUAGGACAAAAGGACUAAAAUUGUCAAGUUGAUGAAACUUGUGUUAACCUUAAUGUAACGACCCUAAAAUCUUAAAUUAUGUGUUUAAUUACUUUGUAUCAUUUUGUUGAAAAAUGAACAUUAAUGAUGCAAUAAUCAAUUUGUUAGUAAAUUUCAUUGUAUAUCCUUACAUUUAUCAUGUUAUAAUCGAAAAUAUAGGACAUUUCAGCAAAAAAUAACCCUGUAGGAAAGUCGCAUUACACCUCGAUAUAUUCGUGUGGAUAUAAAUUCUAUGAAAAUCCAAAUUUGUAUGACGAAGUUAUAGUCAAUAUAAGUUGGAAGUACAAAUUUUAAUGUUUAAAUGUGUAUGUUNNNNNNNNNNNNNNNNNNNNNNNNNNNNNNNNNNNNNNNNNNNNNNNNNNNNNNNNNNNNNNNUAUAUAUAUAUAUAUAUAACAUCUCAAAACCAUAAUAACCAUAACAUAAAAUCAGAGUUUCAAAACAUAUUAUCUCUCUAAACCAUAACAAUCACUGGAUGAUGUGUAGAGUCACGUGUAACAUCUCGUUUAAAAUUAGAUAAAUAAAAUAAAAUAAGUAAAUAAAUUAGAUAAAAUAAGUAAAUAAAUAAUAAACCCUAAAACCUCAAGAUGAAUUUUAUAUUUUUAUGUUAGCCUUAAAUCCAUAAUAAUUAUCAGAGUAUUAGCGCAAUAAGUUAAAUGUUAUUAAUUCUGGAAAUAGGGGUUUAAAAUGUAAAUUUCGAACUAGUUAAGAAUAGAUUUGUGGAAGCUGGGGAUUGUUUGGUAAUUUGGACUUGAAUUGAAAGGAUUAUUGGAAACAGGUAUAGAGUAAAUUACAGAUUUAAUUUGUAAAGGAAUUGAGAUGGAGGGACUGAAAAUAUAAGAAAGGGACUAAUGUUUGAAGAGAUAGGCAUGACUUAAACCCAUUCCCCCUCCACCCUCUUGCUACUCGGUUGCACCCAUAUAAACCCUAACCCUAAUAUCUUCUCAGCCGCCACCUUAUCCCUCCAUAUCUCCAGUCGCUUCCAUCACCUGUGUCGCCGUCAUGAACCACUGAGCACCACUGCCGCUGCUCCCACUGCCGAUGAAAACGAAGAUCAACGUUUGGACACCGUGACAGUGGGGAAGUAGGAAGAAAGGAAGCUCGUGGUUGUUAUUGCUGUUAUUCUCGGUUAGGGGUCGCAAAACCUUUCUCUUCUCCGUUUCCUUUUGUUGCUACGUUGUCAUCGUCAUCGCUCCAUGUGAGGGUGGUUGUGUUUGUGUUUUGUGAGUGUAGGUGUGUGUUGCUGCUGUGGCAAGUUGGAGAGGUGUGUGUGUCUUUUGUUGGCCAGAAAAACGAAGAGAAUCACCAUGGCAACCAACCAUGGUGGUUUUCACCGUUCUGGAGCCACUAGCCACCACCCUAGGUGGCUGUGUGUGUUGGAUUGACAUUUCUUCUGUACCAGGAUGCUUUUGAUAGUGUUUGGCCUAAAAUUAUAACUACCACCAUUAAAAAGUGGUGGCUGUCGCCUCCUACCGCCAUGGACCGCCGCCGACCACCAAUGCCCGAGGUGGCAGUGGGUGGUGUCUGACUUACUAAACAUUAAAUAACCUAAACAUCUAACCUUAGACCGAGUGGUACGUGUUUGGGUUGGAAACUCUUACUAGGCUUUAGAAAAUCCUAAGGUCAAGAAAACCCUAGUUUUGGAGUUUUGUCGGGACCCGCGUUGAAGUGUUAAUUGAACUUUAAUUAUACUCGAUAAGGCCCUACGAUUAACUUAAUGCAGUAUUGAACUUAAUGAAUUAAGUCCUUAAGGGGUUAUGUGUGGAGCACUAACCCUAGUUAUCAUUUUAUGUGGAAACCCUAAAAAUCAAGAAGCCUUAUUUUCGGCAAUGAUCAGGGCACAUAUUUGGGAUAUUCCUUGGAUUAUUAUUAUACCCGAGAAUGAAUAUGUCAAACCUUAAUCACUCCUACUUUUAUUUGAUUAAGUCCUUAAUGGGUUAAGUGUCCUUACUUAACCCUAAUCGUCAUUUUAUGUGGAACCCUAAUCACUAUUUCAUGUGAGGUAGUCACUGCUGCAAUUGACGAUGACUUGUGAUCGAGUAUUGAAUCAAGUAUCUUCCUGUAGGUGAUUGGAAGUGAGUUGAAGCUGGUAGAGUUCUUCGUUACUACGGUGGUUACCUACUAGCAUAUCGAGCUGAGUUUCACCUCACUGUGUUAGAUCUAUAUGCACAAGAAUCAUUAUUCAGUGACAUUGCUAAUAACAUAUGAUCCUAUAAGGUCACACUUUAAUCAAGUUGGUACUUAUUGAAUAUUUAUUAAGUAUUUUAUAAUUAAUAAUAAAAGUUCAACUCAUGUAUUUAAUUAAAGAAAAUUUAUUGUUUUGUGAAAAUAAUAAUAAAUGAAAGACUAACUANAUAUAUAUAUAUAUAUAUAUAUAUAUAUAUAUAUAUAUAUAUAAGUCAUGUACAAAGUUUUGGACACUUUCACCAAAGAUUGACAAACUAGCUAGUUAAUUAAGUGACUAAACAAUAAACUAGAAAAUCCAAUGGACCAUUUUAGUCCUUAAAACCAUGGGUUAUCAAGGCGAGGAGGUUGAAAGUCAACCUCCAACAUUCUUGUCCCCCAUGUUUGUUCAUUACCUUGCAUGUAAUACACACCAUGAUCAUAUUAUAUAAGGCUAGUUGUUUUAUCACUAUAUGACUAGAAGAAAAAAAUCAUUUACACUUUCAUCCAUAGAAUUGUAGGUUCUCUUGGCUUCUCCCUAUCUCUCACUUGAAGUUAGUUCUUGGUUUUUUAGAGUUCGUCUUUUGUGUCUUCCUUUUACACUUAUUAUCUAUGUGCUUAAGGCUUAAAGAGAAAAAUAUUAUACAAGAAGAAAUCUAGCAAUUUUGGUACCUUAUUCUUGUUGGUGGAUUACUUGUAGAGAAGAUCAGACUUGUUGUUCUUGCCAUCUACUUCAACACCCCAAAUCUAAGAGGGUCCAAAGUCUACGAAGGUUGUAUUUUCUAAACUCCCUAUGGUUGUUAUAAUAUCAUUCUAAGCACUUUAAAAGGAUCCUUGAUGGUUUGUUUUGUUUUCAAAUUUAUAAGAAAUUUUUAAAGCUUCCGUUGCCAGUUUUUGUGAAAAACUAUUUAUUUUAUGCAACAAACCCCUUCAGUUGUAACACUAUAAAUUUUCAAACAAAAUUUCCAUUUUUAAAACACACAAAUCUUAAAAUCACAUUUCUCAAAAAUCACAAAUGUAUCAAUUGUAAGAAUAUCCCAGAACCCUCAAACAUAAUCUCGAACAGGUGUGUACAAUCAAGUCGGCGCCUUACCGUGAUUCUGAGAAGUACCUGAAACACAUAACACACAACAUAGUAAAAACGAAGCUUAGUGAGUUCCCCAAAAUACCACAUACACAAAUAAUAAGCCACUCAUAGCUAUAGCUCGGCAUGGACCUUCCAGUCAUGCGUCUCGGUGAGGACCCUCCGGUCUCACGGCUCGGUGUGGACCCUCCGGUCAUGUGUCUCAGUGAAGACCCUCAGGUUUCACAGCUCGAGUUGGACCCUCCAGUCCUGUAUCUUAGUGAAGACCCUCCAGUCUCACAACUCGGUUUGGACCCUCCGGUCCUAACUCAGUAAGGCACAAAAUAAUAUAGCAUAUAUGACAAAGACAAAAUGCAUAAUAUCACAUAACUCAGUAUAAGCACAUAGGACCAUCCGGUCGAUAACUCAAAUAAGACCCUCUGUUCACAUAGUAUUACCACUCAGGUAAGUAUAGUGAUAAGACUCGUCUCGGAAGUAAGCAAAUAGAUCUAGUACCCCACGAACAGUUUAGACUCCGCCUACAUAAUAUAAUUAUCUCUAAUAAGCAAUUUGUAAUAACCAUUCCGAGAUGUUAAGCUAGCUCCCCCACUAAAUCUCAAAAAUGGUGAAAAUACCAUUUUACCCCUCCAUGGUCUCUAAGGUCCACAGUUGACCAAACCCUAAAACUCAACGUAAGUCAACGCUCAAGUCAACAGUCCAUGUUGACUAAACUCGUCGAAUGCAUCCAUGCGACUCGUUGAGUACCGUCGUUUUCUCUGAAGUAUCGGGAAAAUCCAACUCAACUCGUCGAGUUGUCUCAUCAACUCGCUGAGUUGUAACGCAUUUAGACUAUCAGGGAAAACCCUAGCUGACUAGUCGAGUUGUCUCAUGCACUCGUCGAGUCCCUCUAUACAAAUUCUCAUUUAGACUAUUCUAAGCAGGAAUAAGGUCCCAAACUCUAGAUCUAGCCUCCCAAGGCUGAAAUACCAUGUAAAGCUGCAAGCUUUACGUCUAUGCAUGGAAUCUAGCGCUCAAAAUGCUAAAACAAGCUCUAUAUAGGGUUUAAUGCAUAAAAUCUUGCCACUAGCUUGAUAAAGCUUGGACCUUUGGGCUCAAGGGACCUCAUAUUGUCCAUAUCUGAAGUCUCAAAUUCAUGGCAGGCUCAAACAACUCAAGUACUCAAAGAAGGAUGGAAAAAGGCCCUAAAACUCCUUAGAAAAGAGAUCUAACCAAAUAAUGAUCAAGGUGGUAACUUUUUACCUUCAAACAGAAGCUAGAAAUGAAUAAGCACCAGAUCCAAGAGCUCCCUCUCGUCCCAAGCCUUUUGUUCCUCAAUCUUUCUCCAAAAAUGCACCAAAAUACACAAUAUUAUCCUCUCCUUCUCUCACACAUAGAUAUAGCUCGAUUAGGGUUUCUCUCAGAGUUUUAGGAUGAUAAGGGAGGAUGAAAUGAAGGCUUAAGGUCCUUUAAAUAGGACACAAACCCUGAAAAUUGGGGUUUUCUCACUCUGCUCCUACUCGUCGAGUUGGGGUCCUCCAACUCGUCGAGUAGACUCUAAAAAUCACGCAACCUUUAACUCCUCUACUCGGCGAGUUGGGGCAUCCAACUCGUCGAGUUGCUCUGACAUCAUAAAUGCAAAUUUAUUAAAUGUUAUAUAUGGGAGCAGGAUGGUACAUGUAACGACCCAAUUUUCAUGACCAAAAAUUUUGUUUUAAAAACAUUACUUUAGAAAAUAUUAAAAGCUAAAAACAUUGUCGGAUCAAAUCAUAACACAAGUGAACCAUGUCUAAAAGCCAAUUCAUACAUUCAAUCAAAAUAUCAGAGUACAAAUCCCAGUGAAGCUCGUAAAUGCGGAAACCGGAGAGUGUGUGUGUGACAUGCUGCUACCGCGCCGGCUCCUUUCCCCUAGCUGAGGAGGUACCUGAAACCAAAACUGAAGACUGUAAGCACAAAGCUUAGUGAGUCCCCCCGUCGUACCACAUACCAUACAAACACGUAACAUACAUACUGUCAGGCUAUUCUGGGGUGCCUGACUACCCGGUACGGCCGUUCUGGGGUGCCGUCCUACCCGUGUCAAGCCAUUCUGGGGUGCUGACUACCCGUGUCAAGCCAUUCUGGGGUGCUGACUACCCAUGUCAAGCCAUUCUGGGGUGCUGACUACCCAUCGGUCCUAACAACCGAUCCUCGGGGACUAGUCCCCUCUUACUACCUUUAUCUCAUAUAACAUAACAAGCCAGCAUGCAAUCAUAUCAUCACGUACUGUCAGACAUAUCUGGGGUGUCCGACCUACCCUUCGGUCCUAACAACCGAACUCUACAACUAUCACAUAUACAUAUCAUGCCAGCAUAUAACAUAUCAGGUAGUAGCAAACCUAGAUGAUAUCACAAAGACAAUCAUCUAACAUACAACUCCUACUGGUGGGCCGGCAUUGUGGCCGUAGACCCACCGCUACUGGAAGGUAACUCACCUCGAAGUAGCUGCUGAUCUGAUCGGGAACUGACUGCCUACUGCUGCUGCUGCUGCUCCGGAAAUCCUCCGGCUGCAAUUCCCACAACAUACUCAAUCAAACACUGCUCACUGACCUUUGGGUAAAAUGACCAUUUUACCCCUGAUCAUGCCCUAAGUCAAAGUCAGAGUCAACUUUCAGUUGACCCGACUCGCCGAGUUGGCUUUCCAACUCGCCGAGUCCCUACCCAAACGACUGCCCUGAAACCCGAUCCUACCCGUCGAGUUAGGCGACGACUCGACGGGUUCACCUUCUUAACCAAUAUUCAAGUCCUUCAUUCUACUCGCCGAGUUGUAUGAACAACUCGCCGAGUUCAUCUUCAUCCGAAGAACACUUAUGCUAAGACUCGCCGAGUUGUAUGAACAACUCGCCGAGUCUGUUCUUGAUCUAAGGAGAUUGCCUUGAACUCGCCGAGUCAGGGCAUUGACUCGCCGAGUACCUCCAUAGAUGAGUUAAGCUUCCGACUCACUGAGUCACACCCCGUGACUCACUGCUCACUCGACACUACGAAAAGGGGACAAACUCGGAGACUCGCGAACAGACUCGCCGAGUCAUAUGAACGACUCGCCGAGUCGUUGCCAUGCAUCCACUAAAUACACAGAUUUGCUCGAUUCCAGUCCAUGCCAUUCAUAGAUCUGGGCUUCUAGGACACGAAUCACACGUAAAGUUUCCAACUUUACGUGUGGAUAUUCACCAAUAUGGAUUUUAGGGCUCAAAAUGUCUCAAAAGGGUAGAUCUAGGGCUAACAAGCAACAUGGGGCCAUAAAGCUAACAGAUCUGAGCUCCUGGAGCUCAAUCUUGCCUAGAUCCAGAGGCCAAACAUCUUAUUACGACAUACAAUGCACAUACAAGCUUGGGGAUUUGACCAAGAAGGACCCAAAUGAAGUUUUAAGCAUAGAAUCAAGGGGAAAACGGGUUAUACCUCAAAGGAACUGCUGGAAGAACACAAAUAAUGCCUGGAUGGCUUCCCUUCUUCUGGAUCUACUUCCUUCCUCCUUCCAAACCUUCAAAAACACACACACUAACCUCAAACUCUCAAGGAAUAGCUUAGAACGAGAGAUA
RNAcentral lists this long non-coding RNA (105808 nucleotides) under Lactuca sativa (garden lettuce). Its description in RNAcentral is "long non-coding RNA (LSAT_LNC003408)". The record is from RNAcentral. Lineage: Eukaryota; Viridiplantae; Streptophyta; Magnoliopsida; Asterales; Asteraceae.